This 146067-nucleotide long non-coding RNA is filed under the name Capsicum annuum. Its description in RNAcentral is "long non-coding RNA (CANN_LNC013020)". Lineage: Eukaryota; Viridiplantae; Streptophyta; Magnoliopsida; Solanales; Solanaceae. The record is from RNAcentral.
AGAAACACACUUAGGUGUCUCAUCCAACGUUCAAAUCACAAAAUUCUCGGAUAGAGGUUUACGAAUUCAUACAUAGGUGGAGUAUUUUCAUUGGCUUGUGAAGAUUAUUCCCUUUCCACCAAUUUCUAUGGGCCACUUUUUGGAAUUCCGUUUAACGAAAUCAAAAUAGAGGUACAGUUCGUUAGGGUCCGGAUCUUUUGAAUUUCAAAAAUGAACCCUUAAUCCCCUUCUAUAAGUAGCUCUCUUUAGAGCAAGAAAAAGGGAUUUUUUUGGGGAUUUUGGAAUUUUUUUCACUGGCCUCUCCUUUCCUUUAUGGGUUCUCCUCUUCUUUCUCUUUGGAGUUCGAAAUUUUAGACGCAAAGGGGGUUCAAAAGUUUUGGGUUGAAAAUUUGGGGUUAGAGAAAAUCUUCAAAAAUUUAGAAAUCCACAAAAAAAGGGGGUUAGAAAGGGGGGCUCUCAGAGGGAAAAAAUAUUCUCUUUACGCCUAAGAAACAUACAUUCUUAGGAGGUGCGUCUGAACUGUCGAAGCAGCUGCGAGUUUUUCGGUGGUCGGAAUCCUAUCUUCAGCUUAUUAUCCCAUUUUGCUGCCCCAAAAGAGGUAAAUACAUCUUUCUUUUUAAUUUUGUUGUGGUUAUCAUUUUCUUCUUCAUGGUUCCACUUCUGUUUACUGGGAAUGACUACUGUAGAGGCCUGGAAGGCAUAGGCUUUUCGUGUUUGAUAUAUUGUUCUACUAAAAAACUCAUUCUUGCCGUGUUUGAUUGGCUGUCGUUCAUGCUUGAUCUCUCUCAUUUUAUUCUAUCUGAAUAUUACUAGUCAGCUUUAAUGCUUCGACUUUAGAAACUAUUUUGCUGGUCUCAUUUUGAUGUUGCUUUCUAGUUCAUAGAGUAGGAGGGUAAAAUCUUUACGUAUUUUUGAAAUUCGAAAAAAAUUUUCAAAGAAUAGAUAUUAGGCAGCAUGUUCGCACAUUUUUUCGCUCAAACGCAGGAAAUUGUUAUAAAUAAGAACUCGCAUGUUAUUUUCUUCUGACUUGCCAUUCUCGAUGUACAAUAGUCUCAUUUGAUUCUAAAGUUUAUUUUAAAAUAUGAGAGUGGACCAUAGGGAUGAAUUAUGUUUUCUUCAUGGCUAAUUCAAUUUGCUGUAACUGACUCAUGAGAACAAAUUAAAGUUUGACAGGCUAAUGUUUCUUUCCUUUCUUGCUUUUCUUGUUCGCAUAUAAGUUGUGGCAUCUUGUCUCAUGAUUAAAUUACCUAAAAUUGGGUUUUUGUAGUUUUUGACUCUCAUUUGUUUGUUAACCCAGUGGUAACGAAGGAAUUAAGAUUUCAGCCUUGCUUUUCUUGAAGUUUCAGCUAUCGUAUUCCUUGCCUAAAGUGAUUAAGUCUUUAACUUUGUAUGUUUGGCAUUCUGGAAUUUGAACGUUGCUUGUGAUCCAUCGUUUAUGUAGUAUGAUCCAAGAGUUUUAACUCUUUUUUGUGACAUGCUUAAUUGGGUCCUUUUGUGGCAUUAAAGUGAUAAAUUAUUUUUUUUAUUUCGAUAAAGACCAUAAGAAUUCUUGUUGAAGCUUUAUUUCCUCCUGUAGUUGAAAUUUCUUUAAUUGAUUAUGAACAUUUUCUUCAAACAUUAUAGACUUUUUCUCCUGUGGCAUUUUUACCUGUGUAUGAGUGUAUUUGAAUGAAGCAGGAAUGCUAUAGCUUAUUAAUUGUUAAAAUCUUGGACGUAUGUUAAUUUCUUCAUUCCUUUCUUUGCAUGCACCCCCCUUGGAAUUCAAAUGGGCCCCUUCUCUCUUUGCAUUUCAUAAAUGGGCCAAUGAGGCCUAUCCUUCCGAGUUAAGCCAAAAAGAAAAUCCAAGAAUCCAUCGCAUGGCGUAUGGAUACGAGGAAUUGAAAGAAGAAUGGGUUAAAGUUCCAUCUUUGAAGCGGCAAACGGGACUUGAAAAUCUAGUUAUUUCUUCUUUAUUGAUUUAUUUAUCCAUUGUUUCCAUUAUUUAUUUAUUUACUUAUUUAUAUUUUUGUUUAUUUAGUGACUAAUUUAUUUAUUCAUUUGGGCCUCAAAGCCAAAGUUGUAAAUUUAAAACAGGUGGAGCGAGACUCGAGCCAAAAAGGUCUCGAAAACAUAAAAUAAAGACAGGUGAAAGAUGGGUCAAAAACCUAACUAGAUUAGAACAGGGUCGACGGUUUGGGCUUAAAAUCCUAAAUCACUACUUCUCCUCUUUCCCCUUUUUCUAUUUGCUUACUUGUUUUACGUUUGUUUUGCGAACCUAGUAAAAUCCUUAGUCAAGUCGCUAAAAAACUGGUUUUGCAUAAACACCAAAAUAUUCCUAAAAAUCGCUUUUCUUUUCAAAAAAUAAACUUUUUCAAAGUUAAUCAAAAGACGAUUUUCAAACAUUUGGAUAACCGCAAGUUAAAGGACAUUUUAGGUGCCUAAUACCUUCCUAAAAUGCUAGUAGGAACCGCUUAUCUAGAAUCUCUAACUUAAAAUGAUUUUUCUAUUUUGAAUCGUUUGCAGUAACUCUCUAAAGGUUUCUUAAUUCCUUUUAAAAAUUAAGUGGCUACUCUCAAAAAGUCAUAAUUUCCACAAAACAAUAUCAAUCACAAUCACAUCCACACAUCUACUACCCCCACCCGAAAGUAGCAGAUGAAUAAGGGUUUGUAGUAAUUCAAGUACCUUAUCCUCUUGACGCAUGCACUCCUUCUCUUUUAGUUCAUUAACAAAUUUGUUAAAUAUUUCAAGUAGAAAGCCCUCAUCACCCAUGAUUCUGUAAAAUAAUAACAGCAAAGAAAUUCACAUUCAAUGAUACGACAUAAUGAGAAUCAUGAGAUUAUGAAUAAAAAAGUAAAAAUCCAGAGCAUUUCAUUUUAUAGUCAAAGAGGCUAGACAAAUUAAAACUAGAGAUUUAGCAGCAUACUUCAUCAGAACCGUGAAACAAUUACAAAUGCCAGAAAUUAAAAAACUAAAACAAUCACAAACGUCAGAAAUUUAAAAACAAACUGCUAGAGCUAUUAAACGCCCAGUGUUGGAACAACUAAUAAUUGACAUCUACCAAUUUCUAGAGGGAUAAGUACAACAUUAGAAAUCACUUAGCAAAAUGGUAAUUCAUGCUAAUACUAUAAAGAAAUAGCCUACCAAAAUGUUGAGGAAUAUAAAACAACAAAUCAUUCAACACAACUAUUCUUCUAAGGUACAUUCUAGAACUAUGUGAAUUACUGAGUUUAGAAUAUUGAAGGAGUUGGUCCUUGAAAAUAAUAUCAAUUAUCAUUCUCCAAUGGUCCUUGCAAUCAUGUUACUAAUUCUAGAUCAAUAAAAGCAAAAGAAGCUACUUGCCUAUCUCUGAAGAGGGAUUUGCAGUCCUCCCAUUUCGAUGAUGCAGAAUUUCCUGCAACCACAGCAAACAAAUAGAUUAUGGUUUAAAGGAAAUAUCAUGGGAUCCCAUCCAUUACAAUGUGAGAGAUUGUAAACUGUUUACUAUACCUUUGAUGCAUGAAGAAGUUCAUAGAACUCAUCAGCUAGACGUUUAAGCUUUUUAGCUUUUUUUUCUUCUUUCUUCCUGGCCCUUUCCAGUAACUCCUCAAAGACAAACUAUGCAGAUGAAAUAUGCACAUUCAAUACUCAAUGACCCGGCAAGCCCAAACGCGUAGAACAUAUAGUUUAGAAAGGAAGAAUGGAAUAAGAUUCAGUAUAAUCCAUGUAUGUCCUCUUAUUCCUUCGUUUGGAAGGCAAGGGGGAUAUAAUGUAAGAGUAUUAUUACCAUCUUUUGGAGUAACUCCUCACAUUAUAAUCUUUGAUAAAAUGCUUUACAAAAGUUUUGAGCUAUUGAAAGUAAACUAAAAGCCUUAAGAGACCCAACCGUCUAAGCAUAAUUCUUCGACAAGAUACCCCUUGCAAUUCCCUCUUCCCACAUACAUAGAUUAUACGCCAUGACCAUAAAUAACCUCCAAAAUCCAAACGAUAUAUAAAGAAUAUCCUCAUUACAAAAAUAGCAAAUGAUCGUUUAUAUCAUCCAGUUAUGUUGUUUAACCAGUUUCGUAGAGUAAAACUCUUAUCCACUAACCGUAAAAAUAGAAAACUACAAGGCAAAUUGCUUUGAAUUAAGUAACUUAAGCUAUGUGUGGUAGGUGUAAUUGUAACACCCUAGAAAAUGGGUCCCGAAGCGUCACACGGUGCUUGAGGCUACGAGUAUCCCCAAGCUAACUCUUUGAGCCAUUUUCAUUCAGUUCAACACAAAUCAACGAGGUUUCCAUAAAUAACCCUCAAAUAUCAACAGAGUAAUCAUNNNNNNNNNNNNNNNNNNNNNNNNNNNNNNNNNNNNNNNNNNNNNNNNNNNNNNNNNNNNNNNNNNNNNNNNNNNNNNNNNNNNNNNNNNNNNNNNNNNNNNNNNNNNNNNNNNNNNNNNNNNNNNNNNNNNNNNNNNNNNNNNNNNNNNNNNNNNNNNNNNNNNNNNNNNNNNNNNNNNNNNNNNNNNNNNNNNNNNNNNNNNNNNNNNNNNNNNNNNNNNNNNNNNNNNNNNNNNNNNNNNNNNNNNNNNNNNNNNNNNNNNNNNNNNNNNNNNNNNNNNNNNNNNNNNNNNNNNNNNNNNNNNNNNNNNNNNNNNNNNNNNNNNNNNNNNNNNNNNNNNNNNNNNNNNNNNNNNNNNNNNNNNNNNNNNNNNNNNNNNNNNNNNNNNNNNNNNNNNNNNNNNNNNNNNNNNNNNNNNNNNNNNNNNNNNNNNNNNNNNNNNNNNNNNNNNNNNNNNNNNNNNNNNNNNNNNNNNNNNNNNNNNNNNNNNNNNNNNNNNNNNNNNNNNNNNNNNNNNNNNNNNNNNNNNNNNNNNNNNNNNNNNNNNNNNNNNNNNNNNNNNNNNNNNNNNNNNNNNNNNNNNNNNNNNNNNNNNNNNNNNNNNNNNNNNNNNNNNNNNNNNNNNNNNNNNNNNNNNNNNNNNNNNNNNNNNNNNNNNNNNNNNNNNNNNNNNNNNNNNNNNNNNNNNNNNNNNNNNNNNNNNNNNNNNNNNNNNNNNNNNNNNNNNNNNNNNNNNNNNNNNNNNNNNNNNNNNNNNNNNNNNNNNNNNNNNNNNNNNNNNNNNNNNNNNNNNNNNNNNNNNNNNNNNNNNNNNNNNNNNNNNNNNNNNNNNNNNNNNNNNNNNNNNNNNNNNNNNNNNNNNNNNNNNNNNNNNNNNNNNNNNNNNNNNNNNNNNNNNNNNNNNNNNNNNNNNNNNNNNNNNNNNNNNNNNNNNNNNNNNNNNNNNNNNNNNNNNNNNNNNNNNNNNNNNNNNNNNNNNNNNNNNNNNNNNNNNNNNNNNNNNNNNNNNNNNNNNNNNNNNNNNNNNNNNNNNNNNNNNNNNNNNNNNNNNNNNNNNNNNNNNNNNNNNNNNNNNNNNNNNNNNNNNNNNNNNNNNNNNNNNNNNNNNNNNNNNNNNNNNNNNNNNNNNNNNNNNNNNNNNNNNNNNNNNNNNNNNNNNNNNNNNNNNNNNNNNNNNNNNNNNNNNNNNNNNNNNNNNNNNNNNNNNNNNNNNNNNNNNNNNNNNNNNNNNNNNNNNNNNNNNNNNNNNNNNNNNNNNNNNNNNNNNNNNNNNNNNNNNNNNNNNNNNNNNNNNNNNNNNNNNNNNNNNNNNNNNNNNNNNNNNNNNNNNNNNNNNNNNNNNNNNNNNNNNNNNNNNNNNNNNNNNNNNNNNNNNNNNNNNNNNNNNNNNNNNNNNNNNNNNNNNNNNNNNNNNNNNNNNNNNNNNNNNNNNNNNNNNNNNNNNNNNNNNNNNNNNNNNNNNNNNNNNNNNNNNNNNNNNNNNNNNNNNNNNNNNNNNNNNNNNNNNNAAAUAAUUCUCGAAUCUGUCCUUUGGUGGACUGUUUUGAUAGUCUGAAGUAGAUCAACCAUAAUGUUUUACUCCGAUAUUCAAAUUGGAUGAAACCAAUUUCAUUAGAAAGAGGACUCUCAUAUAUUUCCGUUGAUAUAUAGUAUCUCACCCAUAUCAUUGUGUACGAGGAGUUAUGAUCGUUUGAAGUUGACCCAAAAAUUCACUUUUGAUAGGCUGAGUAGAUCGACCAUAACUUUUUGCUUUGAUAGUCAAAUUGGAUGAAACCAAUUUCAUUGGAAAAAGGACUCGCAGAGCUUUCCAUUUAUAUAUAGUAGAUCACCCAGAUCAUUAUGUACAAGGAGUUAUGAUCAUUUAUAGUUGGAGCAAAAAUACGCUAGGCCUCAGUACUUUUUCCUGCACGUUUUACUGUUCACUACUAUUCACAGUUCGAUCGGAAUGUUUUAUAACUCGUCGCUUGGGUGUCCAUUUUGGAUGAUCCACAUAUCAUUGAAAAUAUUAUUCGAUACUCUACACAAUGGUGAGUCAUAAUCUAAGACAUUUCGCACGAAAAAUUUAUAAUUCAUUCUAGAAUAUAGAACCCAACAUGUUUACGCACAAAAUUUUAUCGAAAAAUUUCCUGGGGUAUUACAGUAAUAUUAAACACCUCCGUCCAGGAAAUAAAAACUAAGGAAAAUGGUACCAAAACUGAAGAAUUGGAAGCAAAAGCUAACACCAAAUAUUUGAUCAAUUGGUCCUCGUCUUUAUUCUUGAAGGUUUCAGGCUUACUUGCUAACUGACACACUACUCUUCUAUUAACUCCAUUACAAGAACAUCCAAAUUUAAUGUGGGAUAGGUUAUGGUUGAUACUAAAGGAAAAUGCCACUAACCACAGUUGACUACCUAUGAGUUGCCAAUUUAGCAAUCACAAACUGGCCGAUUUCCAGUGAAACAUAACAUGGAAGUACUACUAAUGCUUCUGCACUCAAUCCACUCAUCUUAUGCAUGACCUGUCCCAAAGACAAAAUGGGGAAAAAUACAUAGAAAUCCAUUUAGUGAAUGGGGUACUUCAAUUUUCACAACAUUCAAUUCAAUAUGGGUCGAUGUGAAACAGUAUACAGUGCUUAGCCAUAAUUAGACCUUUAAGUUGGUAUCUGACAUUGGUGGAGAGCUAAUAUACUUGGCGAUUGCAACCUUAAAAUCAUCAAGCGUCCAGGCUGAUGUCAAUCCAAUCUGAAAGUAGAGACGGCUCAGCCAAAAUAUUAGGUACUAACCGAAGCACAACAGAGGUUAAAAUGAAGAGUGGUGAUUACCUCGGCCAUCCUAACUGCAUCUUGAAUUUGUGACUUGUCAUCAAGAUACUGAAGCAACAUACAAGUAAUAUAAAUUCAGAAUGCUUAUCAGUAACAAAAAUAGGAUACCAAAUGGAGCCUUGUCAAUGCAUUUGAGUUACCAUAAAGUCUAUAAAUUACAAUUAAGGUGAUGGGGAUGAAAUUUCUUUCAUGAAUACCAACAUUUCUCCACUUGUUCAAAGUCAUCUACAAUAUCACAAGACACUUGACACAUAAACUUAAUUGCACUGAUCAGGUGAAAUUGAAGGAAAAAUCAAGCACCCCUGUUUGGAUAAUAGAAAAAAAGUGAAUAAAUAAAAAUGGAUAGCAUCUCUGUUAACAACGCUUUCGUUAUAUUUACUUAAUAAGAAUCAUUUAUGCAUACAAACAGUAAUACAAACUUUAAAGAUAGAAGUUCACAUCUUUAUUUUACAAGGGAAAAAGAAAAGAUUUUCAGCAUCGGAGUUUAUGUAUAACUCUCACCAUCCCAUAGCAAGAGCCUAACUCAAGAAAACAUUACCAAAUUCAAUCAUUGAAUAAGAGUACGAACAGGAUCAUUACCAUGCUAGGAUACUAGGCAAACUCCCUCUUUCAUCAAGCAACGAGAUAAAUGCUAAUAACAUUUGAUCAUUCAAUUUCAAUUCUUUUUAGAAAGGGCAGAGGAUGAAACAAUAAAUCGUUUAGUUAGUCGCAAGUGUGUAUUACGGCCAAAAAAAUCAUAGCGAGGGAGAUGCAACUUUAUUUAGAGAAACAGAGAUUCUCUCAGGCACUUUUUCCGAGGCUAAUCUUUUGUAAGCCUUUACUUUCAUUACAUCUCAACUACCUCUUCAGAGGCGAAUUCUGGCACUAAGUUUAUUUAGUCCAAUUUAUAUGGUUGACAACACAAUAUAUUUUGAAUUGGGUUUUAAGUUGCACGAUAUCAUCCGAAGUGAAAUCAAAACUGGGGUAUGGUACAAAAGGACAAAACAUGGUCGAAACUUGACCAGACAAACUACUUUCAGGUCUAAUUUGUUUGCACUUAUUGGAUUUAUAAACCUGUUCAGACCUCAAACCAUUAAGUGCAUUUGUUUUUAUUAGGAUUUUAGCUCUUUAUAGGUCUGAGUAGGUCUUAAUCAUUCAGAUGUGGAACCAAAUCUAAAUAUCAUUUACAUAUAUUCUUGUGUAGGAUAAAAUUCACCCCCACUCUAUCCACAAUCACCUGUCCCCACCACCAACCACUUCCACCAUCACAACCAAAAUCACUACCAACUACACUGCCAGCCGCUACCACACCUACCACGUCCAUUAUUCUAAUUAUAUCCAUUGCCAACUAGGGGUGUUCACAGUUUGGUUUUUAACCAAACUGAACCACGAUCCAAACUAAACCGAUUAAAAAAAUCUAUAUAUGGUUAGGUUUGGUUUGGAUUUGAAUUUUAAAAAAUCGAUACUAAUUUGGUUUGGUUUGGUUUGGUUUUACUCUAAAAUAACGGACAAAAUAACCAAAACGAACCGAUAUACAUAUAUAUUAUAAUUAUUUAUAUGUUUUUCAUAAAUGUAAUCUAAAUAUUUGUUACAUUUUAUAUUUUAAUCAUGAUUUAACUUUAGUCGUAACACAUUCAGUCAUAUGUCUUCAUCUANNNNNNNNNNNNNNNNNNNNNNNNNNNNNNNNNNNNNNNNNNNNNNNNNNNNNNNNNNNNNNNNNNNNNNNNNNNNNNNNNNNNNNNNNNNNNNNNNNNNNNNNNNNNNNNNNNNNNNNNNNNNNNNNNNNNNNNNNNNNNNNNNNNNNNNNNNNNNNNNNNNNNNNNNNNNNNNNNNNNNNNNNNNNNNNNNNNNNNNNNNNNNNNNNNNNNNNNNNNNNNNNNNNNNNNNNNNNNNNNNNNNNNNNNNNNNNNNNNNNNNNNNNNNNNNNNNNNNNNNNNNNNNNNNNNNNNNNNNNNNNNNNNNNNNNNNNNNNNNNNNNNNNNNNNNNNNNNNNNNNNNNNNNNNNNNNNNNNNNNNNNNNNNNNNNNNNNNNNNNNNNNNNNNNUACAACACUCGGUUGACAUCUCAUAUGUUAGAUUGGAUUUGUUUUUUAUAAUUUUCAACUUUUAUCAUUAACUAAAGUUAUAAACCAAAAAAUCCGAAUCAAAGCGAACUAAACCGACAAGAACCAAACCGAUGGUUAUUUUUUUGUUUGGUUUUAGAAAUUUAAAAACCGAUUAAGUUGGUUUGGUUAUGGUUUUGACCAAUAACCGACCCAUAUCAACCCAUGAACACCCCUACCGCCAACGCCGCCACCAUCAACUACUACCGGUCGAUCCUUACUACCAACCAACUCAUCUAUCAGAACUAGCACUACCACUAAUGACCACCAACACAUCAUCAACUUGCACACAUCGCUAACAACCACUAACACAUCAUCAACUUCCACACAUUCUUCGGACACCAUCACCACCACUGUCACCAGCGUCACCACCUCUACCACCACCAUCCGCUACACUCGCUACAGUAUCUAUACUAACAACCAUUCCACCAUCACAGCUAACAGCAUAUCCAACGACCACCAACACAUCAUCAACCAUCAUGCAUACAGUUUUCCAUCACCACGAUCAACACCUCCAACUACUAACAUUAACCAACUUCACAUCAUAACCACCACCACCACUACCAAUCGCCAAUAUCAUGACAGUUACUACAAUGCCAGCUAUCUCUACUAUCACAACUAUCAUCACCAACAUUGCUAAUCACUAACAUCAAUUAAUUUAUUACAACCACCACCACCAUUACAAAUCAUCUCCAUUAUCACUAACAAACAUAAUUUUUUUUUAAUCAAAUAAUAAUUUAAUUGCAUUAAAUUAAAAAAAUUCUAAUAUUUAAUUAUAUUAUAUUUAAAAAUAAAUAAAUUUUGCACAUUCAGAUAUUGAGAAACACCCAACCUUAAUCAUUUAGUUUUCAGAUCUAGAGACAAUAUCUUAACCACUUAGAUGUGCAUUCAAAAUGAUUCAAAUGUCUGAAUAUUAAUAAAAACAAAUGCAGUCUUAGCUGAAACACAAUGGUGUGGUUGUGUGAUACUUUAAAGGAGUCCUCGAAAGUCAAAGAAACUACGUGAAAACAUGGAAGUUUGAUGAUCACUUCUCAGAGUUGUUCUGCUCGAUAAACUAUAACAAUUAAGGUAAUAUAACCAUUAACANNNNNNNNNNNNNNNNNNNNNNNNNNNNNNNNNNNNNNNNNNNNNNNNNNNNNNNNNNNNNNNNNNNNNNNNNNNNNNNNNNNNNNNNNNNNNNNNNNNNNNNNNNNNNNNNNNNNNNNNNNNNNNNNNNNNNNNNNNNNNNNNNNNNNNNNNNNNNNNNNNNNNNNNNNNNNNNNNNNNNNNNNNNNNNNNNNNNNNNNNNNNNNNNNNNNNNNNNNNNNNNNNNNNNNNNNNNNNNNNNNNNNNNNNNNNNNUUUUUUUUUUUAAAAAAGCAAGCAGAGGGGUAACUCUCAAAUCUCAAUCUCAUGCUUUUAUCCUACCAAGUAUGUUCUAUUGUUUAAUGCACUACAACAACAACAACAAACCCAGUAUAUUCCCACAUAGUAAUACACUAACUUCCUUUUUUACCUAAUGAAUUGAACUUUUUAGUGAGGAUCUAAAUGAUUUUCAGACUUUGUUUAACGUUUGAUUCAUUAAGAUGUAUUAACAGGUUGAAUCUUUAAAAAAAAAGCACUUAAUGGGCUGAUAUCUUAACCAUUCAGAUUCAGACCUUCAUUAAGUGAAAUCAAAUGAAAAGGGAUUGUAGUGUAAAGUCUAUAAAUAUGGCUUAGUGUAACAAAUGUAGUUGACACAAUUCAAUACUCCUAUUAGCAACGUAUUUCACCUGUUUCUCCAGCUCAUCCAUAACAUCUGUAAAUAAGUCUUUUGUUGUUGAUCCUGAAGUAUUUGAUGCAACAGCUAGAUAUGCAGCAAAAUCUUUAAUCUGAAAGCACAAAAUAAAGAAGGAAAUUAUUGGAUGAUAAAUUCAAAAAGACAAAAAGGGAACUCAAGAAGGUAAUCACUCACUGAACACAAGAAAGAAAAACUAACUUUGAUUCAAUAAUUACGCCAGUUAGUUUUUGCAUUAAGUAUUCCUAUAGCAACAUGCUUUUCCAUCAGUUUUCAGAACUCAACACGUUUUUUACGUUCAGCUUUCCUCAAUUCUUCCUAUUUGAAUCAACGGUGUAUGACCAGUGAGAAAGAGAUAAAUCAGAGUCUCCAAAUAUAAAUUUAAUUUUAACCCCCGAGUCUAAUAAGCAAUAUACCAUCCGCAGUUUCCUUUGCUCCUCCUCUUCGCUCUCUAAAUCACGUAUGUAUUCCUAAAAUAGAAAAGGUUGCAACUUAACUUUAAAACUGAGGAGUACAAAUAAGAUGUUUGGAAAAAGUUAUUUAUGAUGUAUUAGAAAAAUGAGUAGUACCUAGAAAAUCUCCAAGCGAUCAAUUUUCUCAAGGCGGGAGCGUCUUUCAUCAGUUUCCAAGCAGUCCUGAACUUUCUGCCACUGGCUACUGGCCUGAACAAAAGAAGUCAACAACAAUGGAACUAUGGAAGUUCUAUCUUCUGUAAAUAGAAAAACAUAAUCUAGGAACUGAUGCUAAUUCCACUAGAACAAAUACCUUAAUAAAGUCACAGGAUUUUAAAAAUUCUAAGUACUCCACUCUAUUGUGCUUUUGCUCCUCCAAUGCCUUCUGAUGCUCCUAAUAAAAUCCAGUACAAAGUAAAAAAAAUAAAAUUUCUCUAUAAUGAAGACAAUAUUUACAAAGAGACUUUAACUACACUUGCAUUAAAGUAUUGAAAAACUUUUUCUAUUUUACGAUGGAGGGGGGAGAGGAAGAAGCAUAUCAUAGUUUCAAGUUUCAAGAAAAAUUACAUACAAUACAUGGAAGUCUAUUUAAAUUGGAAUUCAAUGGUGAACAAAUUUAAAUGUUGUACCCUUGAGAAGCCAUUAAAAAUGUAUUCAAAGAACACAAGAUUCUAAGUUGAAUAUCUACAACAUUCCUUCUUUCUACUCUUUAAGCAAAACAAAAAAAGGGAACAAACUAAAAGACAUCCUGCAAAGGAAAGGAAUGGAAUAACUGUUGUUAAUCAAGUGGACCAACGCCUAACUCAACUUCAAAAACUAGUUCAGGUGGUGAAGAUUGUCCAAGAUCAUAUAAGGAAACUACAACACAUACACCUUACUAGUGUGGGAUUCUCAUACAUUAAUCCCACACCAAGACUAGACAUUUGUAGCAUCAGUUAACCUAGGUUGGCUAACAUCUAAUAGUAUAACAUCAAGAUAGAUCUGCCUCAAUUGGACCUUGUAUCUAUCUCAAAUGAAAGGCUAACUUAAUUAGUGAGGAGCCAAAGACCAUAUAAGGAAACUACAGUCCGCACACUUAGUUUUUAACAUAUAGAAGCUUACAAGAAAGUUUUGCAAAAGGAACUUCACCUUUUUCUCAAGUUCCUCCACAUAAUCUUCAAAAAGGUCCUCACGGUCUUUAGCUCGCUCAACAGCUUUAAAACGUUCAUCAUGUUCGAAUAUGGAGAUUGCCUAACUGAAUAAUCAAUAGCAAAUAGUUAGUGGAUCAAAUGGAACUUACACAAGUAAUGGAUCAACUUCAAGGUACCAAACACAUACAAAAAAUGACCAAGAUUAGAAAACAAGCAGCAGACAACUUAACAUUACAAGUGAAAGACAAACCUCUAUCUAGACGAUGGUGACAGCUCCUUGCAAUCCUGUAAGACUGAGAACAACAGACAUUGUUGUGAAAAAUACCACUUAUUCUUUUGAACAAGUCAAAUACCAGUCUCUAACACAUCAUGAAUACUAUGAUAAUAUUUUUUUAUUUUUGAAACUGGUAAUGUGAAUAUCAUGAUAUAUCAAAUGGAAGACACCCACAAAAGAAAAUUUCACUUCUAACAUUAUCCUGAAAUCUUCCUGAGCUUUUUNNNNNNNNNNNNNNNNNNNNNNNNNNNNNNNNNNNNNNNNNNNNNNNNNNNNNNNNNNNNNNNNNNNNNNNNNNNNNNNNNNNNNNNNNNNNNNNNNNNNNNNNNNNNNNNNNNNNNNNNNAUUGAAAGAGAGUUUUGGAAAAUGUUUUUCCUACUUUUUGAAGGGAAUUCAUUUUCCUUAAAUUUAAGGAAAAUAAGUUGAUUUGGAAAACAUUUUCCAAAAUAUUUAAGUCAACCAAACAUGAAGCAAUUGGAUAUCAAACACAAUCUAUCUUUUUGCAAUACGGUAUGUGAAACAUUGAAGCAACAAUUAACCCAUUCCAAUGCCGACUUGGAGAGAUACCUCAUUAAAAGCUUGCUUCCGCUCACAAAGGAAUUUUAGAGCACCAUAUCUCCGGUCAUUAAUUACUGCUCUCAUGGCUUGUCAAAUACAAUUCAUGUCAAAUGAUCUCCCUCAUUUGUUUGGUACACACAAAAUAGUCAAGUAAUAAACCUGAUCCCACGUGCAAUCAGACCCAAUAUUUGCAGAUUCCAAAAGAGUUUUGAAUGCACUCUUUGCCUCCUAAAUAAAAUUAGAUACUUAAAAUAGAAAUAAGAGAAAUUUCGAGAACAUACUUUAAACGGGACAAAAAGCAAUAAUCAACUAUACCGCUUUGCUCUCAUAAACUAAUGGUCCCAGCUCGACUGUUUUCUCAUNNNNNNNNNNNNNNNNNNNNNNNNNNNNNNNNNNNNNNNNNNNNNNNNNNNNNNNNNNNNNNNNNNNNNNNNNNNNNNNNNNNNNNNNNNNNNNNNNNNNNNNNNNNNNNNNNNNNNNNNNNNNNNNNNNNNNNNNNNNNNNNNNNNNNNNNNNNNNNNNNNNNNNNNNCAUAACAUCUACGAAAAGCUUUCUUGGUGUUUUAACCAGUAACCAGUAGUAAUUAACUAAUCGCAUAAGUAUUUCAGAAGGACAAAGUACCUCUCUAUUCUCUGAAGAAAAUCCAUCACCAUACACUACUGCAUCUUGAGUUGUAGUAGUCUCAGAACUAUACAAAAAUUGAAUUCCAAAUAAGAAGCAACACAAACCAGAGGCAAAUUUAUAACAUACAAAUCUGAUAAUAUACACCGGUGGCGCGAUAGAAUUUCCAAGGUUACUGCUAUUCCAAUUUUCUCCGAAUUAGCAACAGCUGGCGAAGUAGGUUCUGAAGAAUUCUUCAUUUCGACAGUUUCAAUCAUCAGAGAAGAAACCUUACCAUAUAAACUUGAUGAUUCUGAAGCCACAAUAGUUGGUAAGUUAGCAGCUGGUGACACAACAAUUGGGCUUGAUUUAGCACCGUAUGCCGAGACUAAUGAACCAUCUGCACCCGGGGAUGAUGUUUUAACAACAGAAAUGGAUCCAAAAUCAGAAGCGUGCUAAAUGGUGUCCUUUUCACAAGCCAACUGUGAAUUUAUAAAUAAUUGAACUUUAUGAGAAUAGAGUAUCCAAGAAAACAGAAUAUUGCCCCUUCUUACACGCUAUCAACUGUGAAUGUACAAAGAAUUUAUGAGAACUAGAGCAUCCAAGAAAACAGAAUAUUUUCCCUUCUUAUCAUGCUAUUUAAAGCACAGAACAAUCCCUUCUUAUCAUGCUAUUUAAAGCACGGAACAAACCCAUAUUGGAUUUAAAUCUAACAUCACCUUGAAUUCAUCAAGCAUUAACCUUGUUGUAGUAAUACCUACAGAAAACAAACAAAGCAAUUAGCAUUAUGCACAAGUAACACACAAAAGUACCCACUGUAGAAGAACAAUUGGAAAGAGGCCAAGAAAAUACAUAAGUUACACACUUUCUUCCCUCAGGACUUAUAAAUUCUCUCCAGUUAGUUGAUGUGUCUGCCCUCUGUCCCAAUGAAAAUAGCAUGAAAGAAGGUCAAGUCAAAAAAUAGAACAUAAACAGUACCCUGAGAGUAGAAAUCAGUAACUUCCAGCAGUACAAUACUGGAUGAAAGUGUUAGAAUAUGAAUUAUAUAAUGUCCCACAUGGAAAAGGACUAGAAUGUACUGUGUAGAAUAUAACUACAAGCAGGGUGGAAACAUUGCCAAGAUGCGGCCGAGCUACAGCUAUCCAAGGGUGAUCAACUGAACAACAUUCGCCUUCUGUCAUUUCUGAGUAUUUUUUAAUGAACACCCUUGCCACAAAAAACAAGACUGAGUGUGAUAGUAAGGGUGUUCAAAUCCUACACCGAGGUUCUAAGUUCCAUACUCAACACAGCCCCCCACAUAAUAUUUUUUCCAUUUGGACACAUUUGAAACUCAUAAACUACAGUUAUGCUUUUUUUCGAUGAAUCAAUUUUCGAACAUGUGUUUUUUGUCCCAAUUAGCUCUUGCAAAAGAUCUAGUAACUAGCAUGCCAUGUAUAAGAAUUUUGUUAAAAUAAACUUAAAGGUAAAUUUAUAAAGUGCUUGUUAUACUAGAUAUCUUGCAUGGGGCAGAGUGUUUGGCUGGUCAAGAGCUCGCAUGUUCGAAAGAUAAACAUAGCAGAAAUGAGGAUGUUGAGAUUAAUGUGUGGUCAUACUAGGAGAGAUAGAAUAAGGAACAAAGAUAUGCGAGAAAAAGUGGUAGUGCUCUCUGUGGUGGACAAUUGACAAGAAGACUAAAGGGUUGGGGAUAAAGAACCUAAAAAUUCAAAGUAAGGCUCUCGUGAUGAAAUGGUUAUCGAAAUAUGCAAACAAUAACCAACUGCUAUGGAGGAAAGUGAUUGGGGCUAAAUAUCCUGAAGAAGAUAGAUGGCUGACUAAAGAAGUGACCACACCAUACGGGAUUAGCCUCUAGAGAUCUAUUAGAUCUAUUAGACACUAGUGGAAUGAAGUUAAAAGCAACUCAAAAGUUAAAGUGAUGGAUGGAAACAAGACUAGGUUCUGGAAGGAUAAUUGACAUGAGGAUGGGAAUAUGGAAGUGAUUUUUCCAGAUAUCUACAACUUGGUAUUGUUUCAAUAGAGGACUAUAGUAGAAUUAUGGACACCACAUGGGUGGAACUUCAAUUUCAGAAAGAAACUUAAUAACCUAGAGGUAAUAAGAGUAGUUGAAUUUUUUAAUACUGUGGACUUAUUCAAUGGACUGCAGACAAUGAAGAACGUACUAUGGUGGAUAGGAAAUGAAAAAGGAAUGUUCAGUGUCAACAAAGCCUACAAGAUGAUAAACCAAAUAAAUCACUCGGAUCCAAGGUGGCCAUGGAAGCAAAUAUGGAAAAGUAGGAUACCUCACACAGUGUCAUGCUUUAUCUUUGUCUAGUUACUGACCAAGGAAGUAGUUCUUACACAAGAUAAUGUCAUGAAGAAAGGGAAAACCUUGUACUCCGGAUGUUUCCUCUGUGGAGAAACUUUAGAGACGGUUAACCAUGUAUUUCUACAUUGUAAGUACACCCAACAACUUUGGAGAAUCUUCUUAAGACUAAAAGGCAUUUCCAGCACAAUGCCUAGGAAAGUAUCUGAGACUUUAAUGUGCUGGGAGAAGAAGGUAUAGAUGUGAAGGACAGAAGUAGAUGGAGAAUUAUCCCAGGUGCUAUAUGGUGGGCUAUAUGGAAAGAAAGGAAUUCUAGAUGAUUUGAGAGCAUAGAGAAUAGUGUGUAGAAGGUUAAACUCAACUGCAUUUUGCUUUUAUGUUUUUGGUGUAAUCAACUAUACUCUAAUGAUACUGCCUCGAUAAUUGAUGUUCUAGACUAAAUUUAGAUAUAGAACAGUCGAUUUAGGAGUACUCUUGUAUAUAAAGGUUUCAGUACAACCCAUGUACUGUAUGAUAUAAUACAAAGUUACCAAUUUCAAAAAAAAAAGAUAAUAAUUUUUCAAGUACUAAAAGUUUAUAAAAUAACAAAUAAAUCAAUUAAAUCUGAGUUCAAAUUGGGUGGGUUGGGGUAUGACCCGCAUUUUAGAGCAUUUCAACCCAACCCAUUUCAACCCAAGUAGCUUUAGGGCGGGUUAAUAACCCACCUAUUUAUUAACUCAGACCUCUUUGAUCCAGCCAACCCCACCCAUUUGACACCUUUAGUUUAAUAGAAGUAAAGUGGACCAUGCCAGAACACAUACAAGAUCUAUUGAGUUAAAGUAAAGUGGACUAUCAAAGGACACACAACAAUCUGUUGAGCUGUUGGAUUAGAGGGUAUUAGCAAGAGUUAGAAGAAAUGGGGGAGAACAAUCCUUCCUUGUAUUUGGUGGACUGUAUGGAGCGAGAAAAUUUGAAGGUAUUUUGAAGAUAAAUAUAAUUCCAUUUAGAAAGUUAAAUGGAAUAGCAUUAAAGAUUUUUAUUUUUUGUUUAAGGGCCAAUGUGUACAGGAUGCAUAACAGGUAGUAGAUCUCUUUGAAUCCUCGCAUUAUUUUCAUUAUUUUUCAUUUCUUUUGGACUGCUAGCAUAACCUUAAUGCUGACGAAUACAAAGUAAUAACUCCAAAAAAAACUAUUUAUCUCAAAAAGAAAAGAAUCAAAAUGUUCAAACUUCCUUACAGCUCCAGUUGUUGGUCCCUUAAUACUUGUCCCUCACAACCAGCCAAACUUUCUUUGAUAACCGUCAUGUUUGGGUCAACUUUCACCUUGACUAGUUACACCAGGUACUGCUACCUCCCACCAGCACAGAUACUGGGUAACUCUAUCCAUCAAGGCUUGGACAGACAGUAAGAAAUCACCUAGUGUUUUUAUCUCUGUUGGAAAUUAAACCUGAGACCUCAUGGUUCUCAAUCUACUUCAUUGACCAUUAGGUCACACUCUUGGGUGCAAGUGUGCAACCAGCCAAACUAUUAUUCUAUAAACCAGAAUGAGAAGUGUGAACCGCAAUAUUAUAUCAGGUUUCCUCUCUCUAUAUCGCCAUUGAGUUACAAUAACAUUACAUUAAUCAGAAAGUAAAUAAAAUUGUUUAAAAUAGACCAAAUAUAAUCCUUCCUUGUAUGCUUAAACACAUUUUUUAGAACAAUAGUGUUAAAUAUAAAAUCUUUUAGAACUAUAUUGGAAAUAAAAGGUCAAUGCAAAUCCCAAAUGAAGCCUACAUAGUAUAGUAAGAUCGAGAAAAUCUGCUCGCUAAACAAACAUUCAACAGAAAUCACAUAUACUUAGGAAAGAAAAAGUGGUUCUACGAAGCUUCAUAGAAAAAGAAUUGUGUACUUCUUUUUUCAUUGAUAAGCAUAGGAAACUGGAUAAAACAACCCAUAAAAAUCUCGAUGAAACGAGAGCUCACCUCCAUUUCUAUCAUCAGCUCUCGAGGUUUCUCCCAGGUAGAGAUUCUUGUUCUUCUAUUAUAAUAGUAUCUAAAAAUCAAUUCAAGAAUUGUAAGAAUGAUAUUAAUUGGUUGGAGUAAUAAAGCCAUAGGAAAUAUGACAAUAUUAGCAACCAUAAUUAGCCUACUGAUCAUCAAAAGAUACUGAAAAUAGCAAUACCUACUAGCAUUUAGCCACAUGUAAAAUAUGUAAGAUAAUAGAGAAAUGGGGUCAAAAUAAAGUUAUCGGUAGAGGUGUAUCAAGUUCUGCUGAUCAACAGUCAGGUAGAAUUUGGUAGCGGUGAACGGCAGCCCAUAUGAUAACUUUGACAAAGAGGACUGAAACAAAGGGGCCUAUUAUCUCCAGUGCUAAUGGAAGAAGAAUGAUGUACAAAGAACUAGAUGUGGAUACUUGAGGCAUUUCUUGGCAGUGAUGGGGGCCAACAUAUCCACCACUUGUUCAUAGACAAGAAAUUAAGUGUUUGUGAUGUAGACAUUAAAUUAUUCAUAUGAGUAACCUAUGUGAAUAUAAUCCAAAAGGAAGAAUUCCAGAAAGCCAAAUUGGCAUGCUCUUUUUUUUGUCUGGAGAACACAAAGUGGUAAAAAGAUUGGAUCUGAAUGACAAUGAUAUUUUUGCAGAGCUCCUUUUCUUGUAUACCACGGUUUUACACCUUUUUUGUUCACUGGAAUCUUAAUUUUCUUACUAAAAACUAUCAUAGAAUUCAAAUGUUGACUCUCUCAAUCAACACACACCCAUUAACCCAUUAACUUAAGCAUGUUACCUGUUGACAAUAUUUAUGCAAAACGGGUACAAUAAAACACAUUGAAUUCUUACCGGAAUAACCAAGGGAGCUGCUAAUUCUCCAGUCUUCUGCAUAGUUGUUGCAGAAUUCACAUUAUGAUUACUUAUUGGCAUCCAGGGUUGUACCCCUGAUGGAAACCUAUGAUCAUUUAUCUAUGUCUGAUACUGGGAGCCAAAAGAAUCUACAUUUACCUGCUGUUAAAGAUGAUAACAAAAUGUAUUUCAUCAAUAUAUGAAUGGAACAUCGGAAACCGAUUGACAAUAACCACAAAAGAUCUUCCCAAGGACCUACAUUAUAUGAAGAAGAAAGAGGUAAAUUUGGGCCACCAGAACCAGGCAUGUGGUUAUUUGACAUCGCAAAAUUUCACUGAAAAUCAUGGGGAAUAGGUGGUCCCUGAGGCAUACUAUGCAUUCCUACUACAGGUCUACUAGUAACCUGUUGCAUAGGUUGAGGAAAUUGGAUUUGAGAAGGUUGUGACAUCGCAACAUUUGCAUGUCCAAGUGGUAAAAAUUGUUGAGAUGACCCAGAACCAUAAGGUUGUGCCUGCUGGGCUAGAAGCAUAGGCUGGAACUGCUAAAGAUGUGGGGAAAAUAGUUAUCAUAAUGUCUCUACAUUCAAAAGUCAUUUAUCCCUCCCCCAAGCCUCCAUAACUUUACCUACAGUGACAUGGAUGGAAUAGCACCAGGAGCAGGACUAGCCAGAGGAGGUAUAGGAGGCUUCUUAACUAAUAUCCAUGCAAGGAAGAACAGACGAAAUCAGAAUAUAGCUACUUUUCAAUCAUAUUUAGUUAAUUUUCCAAUCAAUGUUGAAAGCUUGUAUCCAUGCACAACUCCCUAAAUUAAUUUAAAGGACAAGGCAAGAAUUUUGAAGCUAAACCACAUAGUAACAUGAAGCCCUUUUCUUCAUCUAAUAAAUAGAAAGCUUGAAACGAGAAUAAAGAGAGAUAGGAAAUAGAUGACCUAUCACAACGUUAGACUAGAAUGGACAAAAUGAUAAGCAUCUUUACCUUAUGGCUUGGGUUCAACAGCUACUGAUGGCCUAAGUAUCUUUUCUUCGGGUGUAAAGAAGCACGUCUGUUAAUGCAAAACUAUGAUCAUUGAACUGAAACAUGAGGUAUGAGUAGGUAUUAGGAUAACCAAAAAAUACUGAGACUGGAAUGGGUUGAGCCUCAAUCUUCCCUUCUGAUGUUCUAUGUGAUACUGACAUCACUACUAGAAUCUGAAAGCCUGACUUGGUUAUUCUCUCUAUCAUCUCUCCCUUAGCUUUAAGCCAUCAAAUUAAGUUUGGGAGAUCCCUUACUAGACUCUAAACUAAAGUACACUCACUGUACUCUGGGGUCUGGAAAACUACUAUACACGCAUAUCAUGGCACUUAACCCUAAUGACUACACCUGAAAUUGGAAAACCCACUAUUAAUACUACCUUCUGAGAUACACUUUAUCAUUCUAUAGACCCAGUAGUCAUCAUAUAAUACUUGCAUACUUACUAACUUCGGGUCUUCAUGGGUAUCCCCAUAGUCGAAGUGCACACCCUCUAGUGCUUUAACUCUUAUUUCUAUUAGUUAAGCCUUUAAAAACUCAAACUUAGAAUCUAGCACUCAACAUGGAUAUAACCAAGCCUUCAAUGAAUCAUACCACUUCCUACAUAGCCUACCAAUAUUGCGACUCUAAACUUACAUCUCUCUACUAUAAGAAUCAAGAUCAUAUAAAAGGGCUCAACACUAUUAAUCAAAACUCCUUAAUUUGGCUAUUCAGAACACCAUAUACCAUCUAACUAGUCUUUCUCCACCUAGCAACUCAACGGUACCACUUGUCACACAAAACAUGUAAUAGUCUUAGAAAAUACCGCAACCUCAGAUCACCUUGGGCAUACUUCUACAUUAUAUAUGCAACAUCAUACUUCACUGCGAAUCAAAUAAACUUAAGCUCUUGCAUAUAUCAUUCAAGCCUAUUAGAUUACUUCCAUAAAACUAGUAUCAGUAACCAAGAAAUCAUCACAUCCACCUUCAUGGACAUCAAUUGUUCAAAACUUAAUGUCUAGUGCUAAACAUGAUGUUACAACCCAACCUUACGUAUGAUUCUCACUUGGAUACCAUGAAAUUGACAUCAAGAAACACUAGUACACUAGAACUUCCAAACAACAAAUAAUUGAUCUUGAUCUUACGGUCUUCCUUAUCAUAACUCAUUAGCACGGACUAUUUUAACACAUCAAGCCUACUAAUUUUUUCCCACAAAACAUAGAUCAUUAAUCUCAUGCCACUAUUUUUACCACCACAUUGUACAUUAAAUUCAAGAAUAUAGUCUUGUACCAAUCAUCUAUCACUACUAAAAAAUGCAACAUAACAUGCUAGUUCAUAAAAUUUGGGACAUACUAUACAAGCGCCUCAAAAAUCACUACUUACCUUCUCACAAGUAGUACUAGUUUACAAUAGAAGGUCAAGGGGUAAAGUUACAUAAUAAACAUUAUCAACCUUAAUCUUAUAUUAUAACCCCAUACAAUCUUUUCUACUUAUACGGAUUUCUCUCCGCAUACUUACUUACCCAAACAUACAUUUAGAGUACCUACAAAUUCCACAACAACCAUGAGUCUAUACUUACAACUUACUGGCUAAUAUAGCCAUUUUCAUACUUCAAGCAAUCGAGAAAUCAACCUAACUAACAACUCCCUCUCUAUCUUCUACUAAACUAACACACAAGGACAAAUCACCUUUCUACCAACUCAAUCUUAUGCAAACAGAUUCAGCUAUAUAUAUAUAUAUAUAUAUAUAUAUAUAUAUAUAUAUAUAUAUAUAAAAAAAACAAAAAAAANNNNNNNNNNNNNNNNNNNNNNNNNNNNNNNNNNNNNNNNNNNNNNNNNNNNNNNNNNNNNNNNNNNNNNNNNNNNNNNNNNNNNNNNNNNNNNNNNNNNNNNNNNNNNNNNNNNNNNNNNNNNNNNNNNNNNNNNNNNNNNNNNNNNAAGUCAACUAUGCUAGUGAAUCGAAAGAGCCCCACAGGGCUUCACUAGACUUUAUUUUUUUCAACAACACCUUGAUUACAAGAUUACAUAAGAUAGAAAUUUAAUAUGCAAUAUCCAAUGAACUAGGAAUACACAUCUUUCUCUGUAUAAAUAAAAUUAGAGUCAAACAAUUCCUCCACGGACUACCAUACCUUCCACACAUGCUACUAGUUACCACAUUAGUCUAUCACCAUAAGGGGUAAAUCAUUCUCAAACAUCGUUUAUUCAACUAAAAUAUUCAUUUACAUAAAAGUCACCCUCGCUCUGACUUCUAACUUUGUGACUUCACAUCACCAACUUCUUGGUCUAAUUUCACUACCAAUAGGUCAUGACAACAACACUUUAACGCAUACUACUAUUUAGGUGGAAAUAUAGUUCCAACAUUCUACUACACACCAUCCCACCCCUUAAGCAAGACAUUUGUAACAUAAAUUUGAAGGGGACUAAAUGCAAUUAAUACCUCAAACUGAAAAGCACGAUUCCAUCAGGAUCAAUGUUUACAUCAGAAUCAAUACACAUUGAAGCAAUCAACUAAUUAAUUUCAAUUAAUUAGAAUCAAUUUUAUGAUCAUAAUAUAUAGACUCAAGUUCCUUAAAUUUAAUGUUGUAUGUAAAUUUUAAAAUAUAUUUAUAGCUAAAGUAGUAGUCAAUGUUCGUUGUUUUUUACCAAUAUAUGCAUAUCAAUUACGAAUCUUUCCAUAUAUAUAUUUUUUAUUAAAGUAAUUGUCAGUAUUAACUAAUUUCUAGUUCAAUUUAGUCUAAUUAAUUUGAUAGCAAUAAAAUUAUUAUUAAUAUUAUAUAUUUAUUUACCAUAAAUCUGGCCUAAUUUUAUAGCUUGAUUAUAUUUAAUUAAUCUACAAUUGUAUAAAGGGCUCAAAUACGAAAAUAAUUGAUAUUAAUUACAUGUUUUUAUAGAUUGAUUACAUUAAAUUGAUAUCAAUUACCUUUUUAAUUUUGGAAAGAAUUUUAAAAAGGUAACAAUUAUUUAUUUUUCUAAUUACUAAUUUAGUUUUCAAAUAUUUCUUAUAAAUUUAUAAUUUAAUUAUAGUCAAUUAAUUAUUAUUAUAUUUAUAAUUUGCUAAACACUCAAAUAAGGUAACAAUUUUCUUUUUUCCUAAUUACGGAUUUUCUUAUAUUCAUUCAUUUAUUUGUUUACAAAAAUAGGUCAAACUUAAUUAUUUUGAGGGAUGACACCUUUUUUUAAUAUUUUUUACUCAGAAUGAUUACAAUAUUUUUUUAUAUAAAUUGAUCAGUUACUAUUUAUUAAUUGGUUAUUCUCUUAAAUAAUUUUUUCUUGUAAUAUUUCUUUUAGUCAAUUGUAAUUAAAUCAAUAAUAUUUAUUUUCUUAUAAUACUAUUAUUAAAAACAUUUGAAAUGUAAUUUAUUAAAUAUGAAAUAUGAAAUAAUAUUAAAUAUUUAAAUAAUCAACAAAAUAGUUUUUUGUUAUGAAAUGAUGGUUUUUUGUUGUAAAAAUUCAAAUAGGUAGUUCUCAAUAUGACACUUGUCUUAGUUUUAGGCUAGACUAUCCUCCUUUAUUAUAUAGAUAGAUAAUUUCAACAAAAUUAAUUAGAGUAUUUUCUUAUAAAAUUUUAUAAAAAUAAUAUAAAAUAUGGCAUAUUAAUAAUAUUUGCAUUAAUUAUUCUUCUAUUUUCUUACGCAGUAUUUGAUUCUACGUAUUAAAAAUAACAUUGAAUCAAUGGUGAAAGUGGAGGGACUUCUUUCUUUAUUGGGGUUUUUCUUUUUGGGAAAGCUAACACUUUCUUGACUACCAACCACCCAACACAAAGCUGACACUUCUUGGUAGAUUGGCUAUUUUUUCAUACGGUACUAAUUUAUAUACAUUUUCUUUGAUAUUUGUUAUAUUGUUAGUUUUAUUUUGCAUAUUGUAUUAGUUUAAAUGCAUUUAUCUUUUAUGUUUGGUAUAUUAUUAUGAUCCUAAGCUGGGAGUCUAUCAGAACAUCCUCUCUACUUCACCUGAGUAGUGAUAUGAUCUGCAUACACUAACCUCCCUAGACCUCACUAUGUGGGAAUACACUGGGUGUUGUUGUUGUUGUUGUUCUUUCUUACACAGUAUUUGAUUCAACGUAUUAAAAAUAACAUUUAUUACAUAAUUUUUUUUUUACAUAAUACCCCCACUUUAAGCAUGUUAAUGCAUGCAUUAGAUCCAUUGCAUUACUAAUGUCAUAAAUUUUGAGGUAUUAGUAAUACACACCUCAAUAUACAACAGAGUAUAUAACUAAUUUUUGCAUUAGUUAUACAUAAGAUAAAAAGAUAUAUAUCAAACAAGGGACUACUAAUAGACAUUAAAUUAAUGGAUGCAUUAGUUUUUACGUAAAACAUUCCAUGCUUUAUCACAGAUUUGGUUAUUAUUCCAUGUCUUGAGCUGGGAGUCUAUCAUAAACCACCUUUCUACUUCUCCGGAGGUAGUGAUAUGGACUACGUACAUCUUACCCUCUCCAAACCCCACUAUGUGGAAAUACACUAAAUUUAUUGUUGUUGUUGUUAUUAAUUUUUUAAUACACUCUAUCAAAAGACUCCAUGCUUCUCAUUUAAUAAUACCUUUAGCUCCUCUUUAAUUAUGAUAAUUGCUCUCUGACUCCACCUUGCUUUUUUAAAAUAUACAUAAAUAACAAUGAAUUUAAUUUUGCUCAUUACUCUACUAAUUGUAGUAAUGUUAGGUGAAUUCAUCAACUUAAAAUUAGAGUACAUUCACUUAAGCUACAUGUUAUAGCUAUAGCUCAAAAAAGGAAUUAUACGUUUGACAUAAUACAUAAAUGUGUUUUCAACUUGACAUCAUCAGUAAAUAUUUAUAUAUUUUAAUUUUGAGUGUUGCACAAAUAAAUACUUAGACUAUCAUAUAAAGUUAAAAUAAAGAUAUAUAUGCUAGUCUUGUAUCGCAAUUUGUCAUGCAAAAUGCAUGCAUCUCAUACAAUUUGUCAAGUAAUUAAAGCAUUUGUGUCUAGGAGAGUGCAUCAGUCGGUUCGGUUGGGUAUUACAUAUUAUCGUUAGAUUUAUCGGUUUUCAAUUUUUAAAUAUGUUAAACCAAUAACCAAACUAAUAAAGUAUUUUUUUCGGUUUUUAGUCCUUAACGAUUCGAUUUUUGGUUUAACCGAUAAGAAAAUGCACAUAAAAUAGAAAUAGAAGUAACUAACAUGUAAAAAAUGAAUGUUAGUUGCAAGAAAAAUCCUACAUGAAGUGUUUAAAUUUACAAAAAUCUUCAAGUUUGAACUAAAUAUUGUUAGGAGAAAUUAAGAGUUUAUAUAAUUGAAAUAAUAGGUUUGUUUAUUUGUAGAAAUAAAAGAUAAAUAUAAUAAUAAGUCAUAUAUAUUCUUAUUGGGUUAUCGGUUUACCCAAUAACCCAAUAAGAAAAAAUCGAACCGAAACAAUAACCCAAUAAUUUUUUGUAACACCCCAUACUUUCAGACUUGAACGUAAAUUGUUAUUCUACUUGUACACAUUCCAAAAACCAUAAAUAUAUUGUGAAUAUAGUGUUUUAAUCAACUAUGUGGUGUAUAAAUCUAGUUGAUCAUGAAUUGAGAUCAUAGAGGUCCCCUAACUCAAGGACGAGUUCAAAGCUUUUCCAUCGAUUGAGUUUUAGUAAGUGUCAAAACUUGGGUCAAUUUCAAUCAGUCAUUAAUCUUUGUAUAUAUUGAAUUAGAGUGCCUACUAUAUAUCAAAUAAAAUCCCUUCGAAUUAUCUUUCCAACGAUAUCAAUUUCGCAAAUAUCCAACACUCAAGGAAGAAGUUAUGACUUUGCAAAGUGGAGUAUGUCAUGCAGCAUAAGGUGUGCGACGCACACCCUAACUUAUUCCAUAAGGUGUGCGACGCACAACCUAAUGUGUGAGAUUAAGAGUGCGCUGCACAACCUAUAUUAUGCGAUAAGGUGUUGUCCGCAUACAUUACUACUCAAGUGACUUAAACACUCCAUUUUUGGGGCAAAAUGGUCCUUUUCCCACCCUUAUUUAGCCAUAAACACGAAAUUCAGUCACUAAAUACCCCAAAAUACACCUUCAUUCAUCAAAAUUGCUCAAGAACUCUCCUUAGCAUUUCAAAAUAAAACUCGGGCAACUUAAAAUUCAACCGUGGGUUUUUGAAACUAAUUGCAUAUUUGGAAUCCCUAAAACGUAGGCUUCAAGAAACACCUAUCAUCUUUGCAUAUAGAGGUACGUGGGGUUAUCCUAAAAUCUCAUGGGCCUUUAAAUUCAUGUUUUAAAAUGGGGGUUUUGAAACUACGAAUAUAAUCAUGUUUUGAACUUUUCUAUAAUAUUGAUUUCGUCUUUAGGCCUAUUUCCGAUGUGAUUUGACAUAUUAUAUAUAUAUGCAUGUGUUUUGAAAAGGUGUUAAUUUGAGAGCAUGAAUUAUAUGGAAUCCCUCUCUUGAUGUGAAUUUGUUUUAAAUGUUCAUAUGGUGUAAAUUGUUUGAAAACAUCUUGAAAAGCAUGACAUAAAAUGUUUUGAGAAUUGAUAUGAUUUUGACUUGAAAACGAGAGGGCUAUUUGUGUUGAAACAUGUUGACUAAAAUGGUUGAAUGAGAAGAAUGAUGUGAUAUUGAUGGCUUACAAGUCGGGUAUGACGAUACCCUAUAGAAUAUGAUAUGUGAUUGAAUCAGAUGAAAUUUGAAUGCAUUGAUUUUACAUGAGAUAAGUGGAUGCUCGACGAAGGCAUUUGAGUGUAAGGGCUCAUCAUUGGAAACCGUGUUUGUCGACAUGGGAAUUUGGUAACCUGCUUUGUGAUCUUGCGUACCUGACUUUAUGUCAUUCCCAAGUUGGGAUAUGGUUAGGAGCCCUGCUUUAUGAUCUUGCGCACUACCAUUGGGUCGAGACACCCUGCUGUGUAAUCUUGUGUAUCUUUCCCUCACUUAUACUCUAAUUUCAGCGGCAACCGAGGUUUGACAGUUGGUGUAAAUAUGAUAUGUAGGGUAUUCUACCUAGCUCAACUGUAUUACAUUGUUGUUGAAAACAAUUACAUUACGCCAAUGUGUUUUCAAAUGAUUUGAUAUGAAACUGCUUUAUAAUGGCUCUCAACUAUAUUUUUUUAAAAUGUUAUGUUUUGUUUUGAUAUCUCUGUGUACCAGUACUUUUAUAUUGACCCCCUUCCCUUCCAGGUUUGGAGGCACAGUCUAGCUGUCCAGAAAAUUAGUAGAUUCCUCAGACAGAUUUGUAGAGUCACUUGUGAGCCUUCUAUAUUUCGGAAGGCCUGAUAUCUGGCAGUUUCAUUUAUCAUUUAUUAGUUUUGGAUCUACUGGGGGAAUUGUCCCAGUUUUCAGAGAGAUAUUUAUUUCAACCAUGUAGUAGAGAUUUCGCAGACGUUAUAGAGAUGUCGUGUUGAGAUUGUGGGACAUUAUUCCCAGUUAUUGAUUUCAUAAGAUUCUUGACCAUGUUUUCGUAAUAUUGUUUAUCUUCCGUAUUUCUUUUAUGAUAUGAGUUAUGUGCAUGAUUAUCAGACAAAUAGGGGUGUUUUGGGCCUUCAUGGUUCGGAAUGAUCGUCAUGGCCAGGGCCCCGAUUCGGGUCGCGAAAAACUUUGUAUCAGAGCACGGUUCAUGGUCCCAGGGUGUCUGCAAAAUCAUGUCAGGUAGAGUCUUAUUUAUGGGUGUGUAGCGCGCCACACUUAUAAGCAGGAGGCUACUUAGCGUUUAGGAAUGUCUCUCUUUCUUCAUGUUCCAGUUCGUGCAAUAGAGUCAAAAUGUUCCUCUUUCAUACUGUCAUUCAUGCUAUGGUGUCACCCAUAUGAAGGUAAAUUCAUCCCAAAUUCUUUCCUUACUCAGAUGUUCUCAGACAUGUCCCAUUAUUGGGGUGAUUCAAGUGCAAAAAGCUUAUAAUCUCUAUGAUAUAGUCUUUUUCGAUUAUGUCAUAUAAGAAAAAAAAAUUGUGCAAAGACUCGAGAGGAGUUUGUUGGUGCUUCAAUAUGUGUUGAUUCUGAUGUAAACAUUAAUCCUGAUGGAAUCAUGCUUUCCAGCUUAAGGUAUUAAGUGCAUCUAGUCCCUCCGAAAAAUCUUGAUACAGAUGUGGAUGGUGUAUAGCAGAAUGUUGGAACUGUAUUUCCACCAGAAUAGUAGCAUAAGUUAAAGUGUUGUUGUCAUGACCUAUCGGUAAUGAAAUUAGACCAAGAAGUUAGUGAUGUGAAUUCACAAAGUUAGAAGUCAGAGUGAGGGUGAUUUUUGGUGUAAAUGAAUAUUUCAGUUGAAUAACCGAUAUUUGAGGAUGAUUUACCCCUUUAUAGUGAUAAACUAAUGUGGUAGCUAGUAGCACAUGUGGAUGGUAUGGUAGUCCAUGGGGGAAGUAUUUUACUCAGAUUUUAAUUUAUACAAAGUAAGAUGUGUAUUCUUAGACCAUUAAAUAUUGUGUCAAAUUCCUAUCUCUUGUAAUAUGUAAUCUUCUUAUCAUGGUAUUUUUGAAAAAAAAAAAUUAAAGUAUAGUGAAGCCGUGUGGGGCUCUAUCGAUUCACUAGCAUAGUUGCCUUGUCAUCCAUCUCAUUUUCUUGUUCAAAAUACAAAACCAAAUUCUAGUGAAGCCGUGUGAGGCCUAUUUCGAUUCACUAGCAACUUGUUGUCCAGCUUGUUGUUCUUUUGUUGGUUUAAUAUAUGUAUGGCUGAAUCUGCUUGCAUGAGAUGGAGUUGGUAAAGAGGUAAUUUAUCCUUGUGAGUUAGUUUAGUAUAAGGUAGAGAAGGAGUUGUUAGUCAGGGUGAUUUGUUGGUUGCUUGAAUGUGAAAAAUGGCUAUAUUAGCGAGUAAGUUAUGAUUAUAGACUCAUGGUUGUUUGAGGAAUUUGAAGACAGUCUAAAUGUAUGCUUGAGUAAGUAAGUAUGAGGUGAGAAAUCCUCAUAAGUAGAUAAGAUCGUAUGGGGUUAUAAUAUCAGAUUAAGGUUGAUCAUGUCUAUUAUGUGACCUUACCCCUUGACUUUUUUCUAUGAGAAGGUAUGUAGCAAAUUAUGAGGUAUUUGGAUAGUACUACAUGAUUGGCACAGAUUUUUUGAAGUUUUGCAGGAGUUCUCGAAACUAUUUUCUAAAAAAUUAAGAGAUUUAGCAGCAUACUUCAACAGAACCGUGAAACAAUCACAAAUGCCAGAUAUUAAAAAACUAUAACAAUCGAAACUAACUGCUAGAGCUAUUAAACGCCCAGUGUUGGAACAACUAAUAAUUGACAUCAACCAAUUUCUAGAGGAAUAAGUUCAACAUUAAAAAUCACUUAGAAAAAUGGUAAUUCAUGCUAAUACUAUAAAGAAAUAGCCUACCUAAAUGUUGAGGAAUAUAAAACAACAAAUCAUUCAACACAGCUAUUAUUUUAAGGUACAUUCUAGAACUAUGUGAAUUACUGAGUUUAGAAUAUUGAAAGAGUUGGUCCUUGAAAAUAAUAUCAAUUAUCAUUCUCCAAUGGUCCUUGCAAUCAUGUUACAAAUUCUAGAUCAAUAAAAGCAAAAGAAGCUACUUGCCUAUCUCCGAAGAGAGAUUUGCAGUCCCCCCAUUUCGAUAAUGCAAUAAUUUUCUACAACCACAGCAAACAAAUAGAUUAUGGUUUAAAGGAAAUAUCAUGGGAUCCCAUCCAUUGCAAUGUGAGAGAUUGUAAACUGUUUAAAAUACCUUUGAUGCAUGAAGAAGUUCAUAGAACUCAUCUGCUAGACGUUUACGCUUUUUAGCUUCUUUUUCUUCUUUCUCCCUAGCCCUUUCCAGUAACUCCUCAAAGACAAACUAUGCAGAUGAAAUAUGCACAUUCAAUACUCAAUGACCUGGCAAGCCCUACCGCGUAGAAAUAAUGUUUAGAAAGGAAGUAUGGAAUAAAAUUAAGUAUAAUCCAUGUAUGUCCUCUUACUCCUUCGUUUGGAAGGCAAGGGGAAUAUAAUUUAAGAGUAUUAUUACCAUCUUUUGAAGUAACUCCUCACGUUAUAAUCUUUGAUAAAAUGCUUUACAAAAGUUUUGAGCUAUUGAAAGUAAACUAAAAGCCUUAAGAGACCCAACCAUCUAAGCAUAAUUCUUCGACAAGAUACCCCUUGCAAUUCCCUCUUCCCACAUACAUAGAUUAUACGCCAUGACCAUAAAUAACCUCCAAAAUCCAAAUGAUAUAUGAAGAAUAUCCUCAUUACAAAAAUAGCAAAUGAUUGUUGAUAUCAUCCAGUUAUGCUGUUAAACCAGUUUCGUAGAGUAAAACUCUUAUCCACUAACCGUAAAAAGAGAAAACUACAAGGCAUAGUGCUUUGACUUAAGUAACUUAAGAUAUGUGCGGUAGGUUUAAUAUUAAACACCGUCGUCCAGGAAAUAAAAACUAAGGAAAAUGGUACCAAAACUGAAGAAUUGGAAGCAAAAGCUAACACCAAAUAUUUGAUCAAUGUGGUCCUCGUCUUUAUUCUUGAAGGUUUUAGGCUUACUUGUUAACUGACACACUGCUCUUCUAUUAACUCCAUUACAAGAAGAUCCAAAUUUAAUGUGGGAUAGGUUAUGGUUAAUACUAAAGAAAAAUGCCACUAACCACAGUUGACUACCUAUGAGUUGCCAAUUUAGCAAUCACAAACUGACCAAUUUCCAGUGAAACAUAACAUGGAAGUACUACUAAUGCUUUUGCACUCAAUCCACUCAUCUUAUGCAGGACCUGUCCCAAAGACAAAAAGGGGACAAAUACAUAGAAAUCCAUUUUGUGAAUGGGGUACUUCAAUUUUCACAACAUUCAACUCAACAUUGGUCGAUGUGAAACAGUAUCCAGUGCUUAGCCAUAAUUUGACUUUUAAGUUGGUAUCUGACAUUGGUGGAGAGCUAAUAUACUUGGCGAUUGCAACCUUAAAAUCAUCAAGCGUCCAGGCUGAUGUCAAUCCAAUCUGAAAGUAGAGACGGCUCAGCCAAAAUAUUAGGUACUAAUCGAAGCACAACAGAGGUUAAAAUGGAGAGUGGUGAUUACCUCGGCCAUCCUAACUGAAUCUUUAAUUUGUGACUUGUCAUCAAGAUACUGAAGCAACAUACAAGUAACACAAAUUCAGAAUGCUUAUCAGUAAAAAAAAUAGGAUACCAAAUGGAGCCUUGUCCAUGCAUUUGAGUUCCAUAAAGUCUAUAAAUUACAAGCAGUGUGAUGGGGAUGAAAUUUCUUUCAUGAAUACCAACAUUUCUCCACUUGUUCAAAGUCAUCUACAAUAUCACAAGNNNNNNNNNNNNNNNNNNNNNNNNNNNNNNNNNNNNNNNNNNNNNNNNNNNNNNNNNNNNNNNNNNNNNNNNNNNNNNNNNNNNNNNNNNNNNNAAAAAAGUGAAUAAAUAAAAAUGGAUAGCAUCUCUGUUAACAGCGCUUUCGUUAUAUUUACUUAAUAAGAAUCAUUUAUGCAUACAAACAGUAAUACAAACUUUAAAGAUAGAAGUUGACAUCUUUAUUUUACAAGGGAAAAAGAAAAGAUUUUCAGCAUCGGAGUUUAUGUAUAACUCUCACUAUCCCAUAGCAAGAGCCUAACUCAAGAAAACAUUACCAAAUUCAAUCAUUGAAUAAGAGUACGAACAGGAUCAUUACCAUGCUAGGAUAGCAGGUAAACGCCCUCUUUCAUCAAGAAUGGAGAUAAAUGCUAAUAACAUUUGAUCAUUCAACUUCAAUUCUUUUCAGAAAGGGCAGAGGAUGAAACAAUAUAUCGUUUAGUUAGUCGCAAGUGUGCAUUACGGCGAAAAAAAUCACAGUGAGGGAGAUGCAACUUUAUUUAGAGAAACAAAGAUUCUCUCAGGCACUUUUUCCAAGGCUAAUCUUUUCUAAGCCUUUACUUUCAUUACAUCUCAACUACCUCUUCAGAGGCGAAUUCUGGCACUAAGUUUAUUUAGUCCAAUUUAUAUGGUUGACAACACAAUAUAUUUUGAAUUGGGUUUUAAGUUGCACGAUAUCAUCCGAAGUGAAAUCAAAAUUGGGGUGUGGUACAAAAGGACAAAACAUGGUCGAAACUUGACCAGACAAACUACUUUCAGGUCUCAUUUAUUUGCACUUAUUGGAUUUAUGAACCUGUUCAAACCUCAAACCAUUAAGUGCACUUGUUUUUAUUAGGAUUUUAGCUCUUAAUAGGCCUGAGUAGGUCUUAAUCAUUCAGAUGUGGAACCAAGACUAAAUAUCAUUUACAGAUAUUCUUGGGUAGGAAAAAAUUCACCACCACUCUAUCCACAAUCACCUGUCACCACCACCAACCACUUCCACCAUCACAACCAACAUCACUACCAACUACACUGCUAGCCGCUACCACACCUACCACUUCCAUUAUUCUAAUUAUAUCCACCGCCAACUAGGGGUGUUCACGGUUUGGUUUUUAACCAAACUGAACCGCGAUCCAAACCAAAUUGAUUAAGAAAACCUAUAUUUGGUUAGGUUUGGUUUGGAUUUGAAUUUUAAAAAAUCGAUACUAAUUUGGUUUAGUUUGGUUUGGUUUUACUCUAAAAUAACCAAACCGAACCGAUAUACAUAGAUAUUAUAAUUAUUUAUAUGUUUUUCAUAAAUGUAAUCUAAAUAUUUGUUGCAUUUUAUAUUUUAAUCAUGAUUUAACUUUAGUCGUAACACAUUCAUUCAUAUGUCUUCAUCUAGUUGACAAUACAUUAUGAAAUUCUAAAUGAAUUUCAUAUUUUGAAUGACAAAUGAUACUAAUUGUGAAAAUAAUAUCUUGUUAUAUAUUGAAAUUUACUGCUGAAAUUCAUUAGAUUAUACACAAUCACUAAUUUUAACUUUCUUUUGAACCUUGUUGAGCAAGAAGUUUAUGUGUUCACCUUUUGGGGGUAUAUCAUAUCAUUCUAUUAAAUAUAGUUUUUAAAUAUUUUUCUAAAAGCGUUCAUAUGGUGUUAUCAUGGCUUUGCCGAAGUAUAACACUCAAUUGACAUCAUAGUUUCAAGAUUGAGCUACAACACUCGGUUGACAUCUCAUAUGUUAGAUUGGAUUUGUUUUUUUAAAAUUUUCAACUUUUAUCAUUAACUAAAGUUAUAAACCAAAAAACCCGAAUCAAACCGAACUAAACCAACAAGAACCAAACCGAUGGUUAUUUUUUUUUUUUUGGUUUGGUUUGGUUUUAGAAAUUUAAAAACCAAUUAAGUUGGUUUGGUUAUGGUUUUGACCAAUAACCGACCCAUAUCGACCCAUAAAUACCCCUACCGCCAACGCCGCCACCAUCAACUCCUACCAGUCGACCCCUACUACCAACCAACUCAUCUAUCAGAACUAGCACUACCACUAAUAACCACCAACACAUCAUCAACUUCCACACAUCGCUAACAACCACUAACACAUCAUCAACUUCCACACAUUCUGCGAACACCAUCACCACCACUGUCACCAGCAUCACCACCUCUACCACCACCAUCCGCUACACUCGCUACAGUAUCUAUACUAACAACCAUUCCACCAUCACAGCUAACAGCGUCUCCAACGACCACCAACACAUCAUCAACCAUCAUGCAUACAGUUUUCCGUCACCACGAUCAACACCUCCAACUACUAACAUUAACCAACUUCACAUCACAACCACCACCACCACUACCAAUCGCCAAUAUCAUGAUAGUUACUACAAUGCCAACUAUCUCUACUAUCACAACUAUCAACACCAACGUUGCUAAUCACUAACAUCAAUUAAUUUAUUAGAACAACCACCACCAUUAAAAACCAUCUCCACUAUCACUAACAAACAUAAAUGUUUCUUUUUUUCAUCAAAUAAUAAUAUAAUUGCAUUAAAUUUAAAAAAAUUCUAAUAUAUAAUUAUAUUAUAUUUAGAAAUAAAUAAAUUUUGCACAUUCAGAUAUUGAGAAACACUCAACCUUAAUCAUUUAGUUUUCAGAUCUAGAGACAAUAUCUUAAUCAUUCAGAUGUACAUUCAAAAUUAUUCAAAUAUCUGAAUAUUAAUAAAAACAAAUGCAGUCUUAGCUGAAACACAAUGGUGUGGUUGUGUGAUACUUUAAAGGAGUCCUCGAAAGUCAAAGAAACUACGUGAAAACAUGGAAGUUUGAUGAUCACUUCUCAGAGUUGUUCUGAUCGAGAAACUAUAACAAUUAAGGAAAUAUAACCAUUAACAGCAUUCAAUGGAGGAGAAGUCAAUUACAAUUAUCCGUGAAGUAGAAUUUAAUACAGCUUGACUAUAUUGAAAGAAUCAUCUAUAUCUAUACUACAUUAAAAGCAUGGAACCCCUAACUUAAAAGUUUACGACAAUACCAUUCCUGUCAGCCUAAUUACCUACUAUCUAGUAAAAAAAAAAGAGGAAACUAAUUGGCAUAAAGAGAAACAAUGCAGAUGUUUAAUAGGAACAACCGGUCAUUGUUUUUAUCUGAACAAAAUAUGUGUUAUUUAAAAAAAAAAAAAGCAAGUAGAGGGGUAACUCUCAAAUCUCAAUCUCAUGCUUUUAUCCUACCAAGUAUGUUCUAUUUUUUAAUGCACUACAACAACAACAACAAACCCAGUAUAUUCCCACAUAGUAAUGCACUAACUUCCCUUUUUACCUAAUGAAUUGAACUUUUUAGUGAGAAUCUAAAUGAUUUUCAAACUUUGUUUAACAUCUGAUUCAUUAAGAUGUAUUAACAGGUUGAGUCUUUAAAAAAAACACUUAAUGGGUUGAUAUCUUAACCAUUCAAAUUCAGACCUUCAUUAAGUGAAAGCAAAUGAAAAGGGAUUGUAGUGUAAAGUCUAUAAAUAUGGCUUAGUGUAACAAAUGCAGUUGACACAAUUCAAUACUCCUAUUAGCAACCUAUUUCACCUGUUUCUCCAGCUCAUCCAUAACAUCUGUAAAUAAGUCUUUUGUUGUUGAUCCUGAAGUAUUUGAUGAGACAGCUAGAUAUGCAGCAAAAUCUUUAAUCUACAAACACAAAAUAAAGAAGGAAAUUAUUGGAAAAAAAAUUUAAAAAGACGAAAAGGGAACUCAUGAAGGUAAUCACUUACUGAACACAAGAAAGAAAAACUAACUUUGAUGCAAUAAUCACGCCAGUUAAUUUUUGCAUUAAGUAUUCCCGCAGGAACAUGCUCUUCCAUCAGUUUUUGAAACUCAUCACGAUUUUUACGUUCAGCUUUCCUCAAUUUUUCCUAUAUGAAUCAACAGUGUAUGCCCGGUGAGAAAGAGAUAAAUCAAAGUCUCCAAACAUAAAUUUAAUUUUAACCCCCGAGUCUAACAAGCAAUAUACCAUCCGCCAUUUCCUUUGCUCCUCCUCUUCGCUCUCUAAAUCACGUAUGUAUUCCUAAAACAGAAAAGGUUGCAACAUAACUUUAAAACUGAGGCGUACAAAUGAGAUGUUUGGAGAAAGUUAUUUAUGAUGUAUUAGAAAAAUGAGUAGUACCUGGAAAAUCUCCAAGCGUUCGAUUCUCUCAAGGCGGGAGCAUCUUUCAUCAGUUUCAAAGCAGUCCUGAACUUUCCGCCACUGGCUACUGGCCUGAACAAAAGAAGUCAGCAACAAUAGAACUAUGAAAGUUCUAUCUCCUGGAAAUAGAAAAAAAUAAUCUAGGAACUAAUGCUAAAUCCACUAGAACAAAUACCAUAAUAAAGUCACAAGAUUUUAAAAAUUCUAAGUACUCCACUCUAUUGCACUUCUGCUCCUCUAAUGCCUUCGCAUGCUCCUAAUAAAAUCCAGUACAAAGUAAAAAAAAAAAAAAAUUUCUCUAUAAAGAAGACAAUAUUUAAAAAGUGACUUUGACUACACUUGCAUGAAUGUAUUGAAAAACUUUUUCUAUUUUACGACGGAGGGGGGAGAGGAAGAAGCAUACCAUAGUUUCAAGUUUCAAGAAAAAUUACAUACAAUACAUGGAAGUCUGUUUAAAUUGGAAUUCAAUGGUGAACAAAUUUAAAUGUUAUACCUUUGAGAAGCCAUUAAAAAUGUAUUCAAAGAACACAAGAUUUUAAGUUGAAUAUCUACAACAUUCCUUCUUUCUACUCUUUAAGCAAAACAAAAAAAGGGAACAAACUAAAUGACAUCCUAUAAAGGAAAGGAGUGGAAUGACUGUUGUUAAUCAAGUGGACCAGCGUCUAACUCAACUUUAAAAACUAGGUCAGGUGGUGAAGAUUGUCCAAGAUCAUAUAAGGAAACUACAGUACAUACACCUUACUAGUGUGGGAUUCUCAUACAUUAAUCCCACACCAUGACUAGACAUUUGUAGCAUCAGUUAACCUAGGUUGGCUAACAUCUAAUAGUCUAACAUUAAUAUAGAUCUACCUCUAAUACCAUGUUUAAGAAAUUGGACCUUGUUUCUAUCUCAAAUGAAAGGCUAACUUAAUUUGUGAGGAGCCAAAGACCAUAUAAGGAAACUACAGUCCGCACACUUAGUUUUUAACAUAUAGAAGCUUACAAGAAAGUUCUGCAAAAGGAGCUUCACCUUUUUCUCAAGUUCCUCCACAUAAUCUUCAAAAAGGUCCUCACGGUCUUUAGCUUGCUCAACAGCUUUAAAACGUUCAUCAUGUUCGAAUAUAGAGAUUGCCUUACUGAAUAAUCAAUAGCAAAUAGUUAGUGGAUCAAAUGGAACUUACACAAGUAAUGGAUCAACUUCAAGGUACCAAACACAUACAAACAAUGACCAAGAUUAGAAAACAAGAAGCAGACAACUUAACAUUACAAGUGAAAGACAAACCUCCAUCUUGACGAUGGUGAUAGCUCCUUGCAAUCCUGUAAGAUUGAGAACAACGGACAUUGUUGUGAAAAAUACCACUUAUUCUUUUGAACAGGUCAAAUACCAGUCUCUAACACAUCAUGAAUAUUAUGAUAAUAUCUUUUUAUUUUUGAAACUGGUAAUGUGAAUAUCACGAUAUAUCAAAUGAAAGACACCACAAAAGAAAAUUUCACUUACUUCUAACAUUAUCCUGAAAUCUUCCCAAGCUUUUUUCUGCUUAACACGCCUCUCUUCAGCUUCCAGUGUUUUCUUUUGGCUCAGAUACUGAUACUGGAACAGACACACAACUUCAAAAUGAUCACUAUAGACCUUGGGUGUGUUUGAUAUGAAGGAAAAUGUUUUCCUAGAAAACAAGUUGGUUUCUUACUUGUUUUCUUAUGUUUGGUUGAUGAAAGGAAAACAUUUUUCAGAAAAUGUUUUCUAGUGUUUGGUUGGUGAAUAAAAAAAUAUUUUUCAAAAAAUACAUUUGAGAGUUGUAUAAACAUUUCAACUUAAGAGUGAGAUUGAAAGAGAGUUUUGGAAAAUGUUUUUCCUACUUUUUGAAGGGAAUUAAUUUUCCUUAUAUUUAAGGAAAAUAAGUUGAUUUGGAAAACAUUUUCCAAAAUAUUUAAGUCAACCGAACAUGAAACAAUUGUAUAUCAAACAAAAUCCAUCUUUUUGCAAUACGGUAUGCUGAAACAUUGAAGCAGCAAUUAACCCAUUCCAAUGCCGACAUGGAGAGAUACCUCAUUAAAAGCUUGCUUCCGCUCACAAAGGGAUUUUAGAGCACCAUAUCUCCAGUCAUUAAUUACUGAGCUCAUGCCUUGACAAAUACAAUUCAUGUCAAAUGAUCUCCCUCAAUUGUUUGGUACGCACAAAACAGUCAAGUAAUAAACCUGAUCCCACGUGCAAUCAGACCUAAUAUUUACAGAUUCCGGAAGAGUUUUGAAUGCACUCUUUGCCUCCUAAAUAAAUCAGAUACUUAAAAUAGAAAUAAGAGAAAUUUCGAGAACAUACAUUAAAUGGGACAAAAAGCAAUAAUCAACUAUACCGUUUUGCUCUUAUAAACUAAUGGUCCCAGCUCGACUAUUUUCUCAUCUGAUGGAGUAGCACCUCUAAUUUCAGUUACUGCAGCAUCUUUCUUGACAUUCUGCAUUUUAGGCACAACAUCAAGCGCAAAGGACAAAAGCAAACCUCAUUGGAAUUUCGAGCAUAUUCUUCACCUGUUAGCAGUUGACUAACAACUGCACUACAAAAUUGUUAGAUCAACAUCCAGCAUAACAGCUACGAAAAGCUUUCUUGGUGUUUUAACCAGUAACCAGUAGUAAUUAACUAAUCGCAUAAGUAUUUCAGAAGGACAAAGUACCUCUCCAUUCUUUGAAGAAAAUCCAUCACCAUACACUACUGCAUCUUGAGUUGUAGUAGUCUCAGAACUAUACAAAAAUUGAAUUCCAAAUAAGAAGCAACACAAACCAGAGGAAAAUUUAUAACAUACAAAUCUGAAAACAUACACCGGUGGCGCGACAGAAUUUCCCAAGGUUACUACUAUUCCAAUUUUCUCCGAAUUAGCAACAGCUGGCGAAUCAGGUUCUGAAGAAUUCUUCAUUUCGACAGUUUCAAUCAUUGGAGAAGAAACCUUACCAAAUAAACUUGAUGAUUCUGAAGCCAUAAUAGUUGGUAAGUUAGCAGCUGGUGACACAGCAAUUGGGCUUGAUUUAGCACCGUGUGCCGAGACUAAUGAACCAUCUGCACCCGGGGAUGAUGUUUUAAUAACAGAAAUAGAUCCAAAAUUAGAAGCGUGCGAAAUGGUGUCUUUUCACGAGCCAACUGUGAAUUUAUAAAUAAUUGAACUUUAUGAGAAUAGAGUAUCCAAGAAAACAGAAUAUUGCCCUUUCUUAUCAUGCUAGCAACUGUGAAUGCAUAAAGAUUUUAUGAGAACUAGAGCAUCCAAGAAAACAGAAUAUUUUCCCUUCUUAUCAUGAUAUUUAAAGCACAAAACACGGAAUAUUUUUCCUUCUUAUCAUGCUAUUUAAAGCACAGAACAAUCCCUUCUUAUCAUGCUAUUUAUAGAACGGAACAAACUCAUAUUGGAUAUAAAUAUAACAUCACCUUGACUUCAUCAGGCAUUAACCUUGUUGUAGUAAUACCUACAGAAAACAAACAAAGCAAUCAGCAUUAUGCACAAGUAACACACAAAAGUACCCACUGUAGAAGAACAAUUGGAAAGAGGCCAAGAAAAUAUAUAAGUUACACACUUUCUUCCCUCAGGACUUGUAAAUUCUCUCUAAUGAGUUGAUGCAUUUGUCCUCUGUCCCAAUGAAAAUAGCAUGAAAGUAGGUCAAGUCAAAAAACAGAACAUAAAUAGUACCCUGAGAGUAGAAAUCAGUCACUUCCAGCAGUACAAUACUUGAUGGAAGUGUUAAAAUAUGAAUGAUAUAAUGUCCCACAUGGAAAAGGACUAGAAUGUACUAUGUAGAAUAUAACUACAAGCAGGGUGGAAACAUUGCCAAGCUGCGGCUGAGCUACAGCUAUCCAAGGGUGAUCUUCUGUCGUUUCUGAGUAUUUUUAAUGAACACCCAUGCUACAAAAAACAAGACUGAGUGUGACAGUAAGGGUGUUCAAAUCCUGCACUAAGGUUCUAAGUUCCAUGCUCAACACAGCCCCCCAUAAUUUUUUUUCCAUUUGGACACGUUUGAAACUCAUAAACUACAGUUAUGCUUUUUUUCGAUGAAUCAAUUUCUGAACAUGUGUUUUUUGUCCCAAUUAGCUCUUGCAAAAGAGCUAGUAACUAGCAUGCCAUGUAUAAGAAUUUUGUUUAAAUAAACUUACAGGUAAAUUUAUAAAGUGGUUAUUAUACUAGCUAUCUUGCAUGGGGCAGAGUGUUUGGCUGGUCAAGAGCUCACAUGUUCGAAAGAUAAACGUAGCAGAAAUGAGGAUGUUGAGAUUGGUGUGUGGGCAUACUAGGAGAGAUAGAAUAAGGAACAGAGAUAUGCGAGAAAAAGUGGUAGUGCUCUUUGUGGUGGACAAUUGACAAGAAUACUAGAGGGUUGGGGAUAAAGAACCUAAAAAUUCAACAUAAGGCUCUCAUGAUGAAAUGGUUGUGGAAAUAUGCAAACAAUAACUAGCUGCUAUGGAGGAAAGUGAUUGGGGCUAAACAUCCUGAAGAAGAUAGAUGGAUGACAAAAGAAGUGACCACACCAUAUGGGAUUAGCCUCUAGAGAUCUAUUAGAUCUAUUAGACACUAGUGGAAUGAAGUUAAAAGCAACUCAAAGGUUAAAGUGAUGGAUGGAAACAAGACUAGGUUCUGGAAGGAUAAUUGACAUGAGGAUGGGAAUACGAAAGUGAUUUUUCCAGAUUCUACAACUUGGUAUUGUUUCGAUAGAGGACUAUAGCAGAAUUAUGGACACCACAUGGGUGGAACUUCAAUUUCAGAAGGCAACUUAAUGACCGGGAGGUAAUGAGAGUAGUUGAAUUGUUUAAUACCGUGGACUUAUUCAAUGGACUGCAGACAGUGAAGGACGUACUAUGGUGGAUGGGAAAUGAAAAACGAAUGUUCACUGUCAACAAAGCCUACAAGAUAAUGAACCAAAUAAAUAAAUCACCUGAAUCCAAGAUGGCCAUGGAAGCAAAUAUGGAAAAGUAGGAUACCUCACACAGUGUCGUGCUUUGUCUUUGUCUGGUUACUGACCAAGGAAGUAGUUCUUACACAAGAUAAGGUCAUGAAGAAAGGGAAAACCUUGUGCUCCAGAUGUUUCCCCUGUGGAGAAACUUUAGAGACGGUUAACCAUGUAUUUCUACAUUGUAAGUACACCCAACAACUUUGGAGAAUCGUCUUAAGACUAAAAGGAAUUUCCAUGACAAUGCCUAGGAAAGUAUCCGAGACUUUAAUGUGCUGGGAGAAGUAGGUAUACAUGCGAAGGACAAAAGUAGAUGGAGAAUUAUCCCUGGUGCUACAUGGUGGGCUAUAUGGAAAGAAAGGAAUUCUAGAUGUUUUGAGAGCAUAGAGAAUAGUGUGUAGAAGGUUAAACUCAACUAUAUUUUGCUUUUAUGUUUUUGGUGUAAUCAACUAUACUCUAAUGAUACUGCCUCGAUAAUUGAUGUUCUAGACUAAAUUUAGAUAUAGAACAGUCGAUUUAGGAGUACUCUUGUAUAUAAAGGUUUCAGUACAACCCAUGUACUGUGUGAUAUAAUACAAAGUUACCAAGUUCAAAAAAAAAAAAGAUAAUAAUUUUUAAAGUACUAAAAGUUUAUAAAAUAACAAAUAAAGCAAUUAAAUCUGAGUUCAAAUUGGGUGGGUUGGGUUAUGACCCGCAUUUUAGAGCAUUUCAAUCCAACCCAUUUCAGUCCAAGUAGCUUUAGGGUGGGUUAAUAACCCACCCAUUUAUUAACUCAGACCUCUUUGAUCCAGCCAACCCCGCCCAUUUGACACCUUUAGUUUAAUAGAAGUAAAGUGGAGCAUGCUAGAACACAUACCAGAUCUAUUGAGUUGAAGUAAAGUGGACUAUCAAAGGACACACAACAAUCUGUUGAGCUGUUGGAUUAGAGGGGAUUAGCAAGAGUUAGAAGAAAUGGGGGAGAACAAUCCUUCCUUAUAUUUGGUGGACUGUAUGGAGCAAGAAAAUUUGAAGGUAUUUUGAAGAUAAAUAUAAUUCAAUUCAGAAAGUUAAAUGGAAUAGCAUUGUAGAUUUUUGUUUUUUGUUUAAGGGACAAUGUGUAUAGGAUACCUAACAGGUAGUAGAUCUCUUCAAAUCCUCGCAUUAUUUUCAUUAUUUUUCAUUUCUUUUGGACUGCUAGCAUAACCUUAACGCUAACUUAUACAAAGUAAUAUCUCCAAAAAAAAACUGUUUAUCUCAAAAAGAAAAGAAUAAAAAUGCUCAAACUUCCUUACAACUCCAGUUGUUGGUUCCUUAAUACUUGUCCCUCACAACCAACCAAACUUUCUUUGAUAACCGUCGUGUUUGGGCCAGCUUGCACCUUGACUAGUUACACCAGGUACUGCUACCUCCCACCAGCACAGAUACUGGGUAACUCUGUCGAUCAAGGCUUGGACAGAUGGUAAGAAAUCACCUAGUGUUUUUAUCUCUGUUGGAAAUUAAACCUGAGACCUCAUGGUUCUCAAUCUACUUCAUUAACCAUUAGGUCACACUCUUGGGUGCAAGUGUGCAACUAGCAAAAUUAUUAUUCUAUAAACUAGAAUGAGAAGUGUGGACCACAAUAUUAUAUCAAGUUUCCUCUCUCCAUAUCGCCAUAGAGUUACAAUAACAUUACAUCAAUCAGGAAGUAAAUAAAAUUAUUUAAAAUAGACCAAAUAUAAUCCUUCCGUGUAUGCUUAAACACAUUUUUUCAGAACAAUAGUGUUAAAUAUAAAAUAUUUUAGAACUAUAUUGGAAAUAAAAGGUCAAUGUAAAUCCCAAAUGAAGCCUACAUAGUAUAGUAAGAUCAAGGAAAUCUGCUCGCUAAACAAACAUUCAACAGAAAUCACAUAUACUUAGGAAAGAAAAAGUGGUUCUACGAAGCUUCAUAGAAAAAGAAUUGUGUACUUCUUUUUUCAUUGAUAAGCACAGGAAACUGGAUAAAACUACCCAUAAAAAUCUCGAUGAAACGAGACCUCACCUCCAUUUCUGUCAUCAGCUCUCAAGGUUUCUCCCAGGUAGAGAUUCUUGUUCUUCUAUUAUAAUAGUAUCUAAAAAUCAAUUAAAGAAUUGUAAGAAUGUUAUUAAUUGGUUGGAGUAAUAAAGCCAUAGGAAAUAUGACAACAUUAGCAACCAUAAUUGGCUUACUGUUCAUCAAAAGAUGCUGAAAGUAGCAAUACCUACUAGCAUUUAGCCACAUGUAAAAUAUGUAUGAUGAUAGAUAAAUAGGGUCAAAAUGAAGUUAUCGGUAGAGGUGUAUCAAGUUCUGCCGAUGAACAGUCAGGUAAAAUUUGGUAGCGGUGAACGGCAGCCCAUAUGAUUACUUUGACAAAGAGGACUGAAACAAAGGGGCCUUUUAUCUCCAGUGCUAAUGGAAGCAGAAUGAUGUACAAAGCACUAGAUGUGGAUACUUGAGGGAUUUCUUGGCAGUGAUGGGGGCCAACAUAUCCACCACUUGUUCAUAGACAAGACAUUAAGUGUUUCUGAUGCAGACAUUAAACUAUUCAUAUAAGUAACCUAUGUGAAUAUAAUCCAAAAGAAAGAAUUACGGAAAGCCAAAUCGGCAUGCUCUUUUUUCUGUCUGGAGAACACAAAGUGGUAAAAAGAUUGGAUCUGAAUGAAAAUGAUAUUUUUACAGAGCUUCUUUUCUUGUGUACCGCGGUUUUACACCUUUUUUGUUCACUGGAAUCUUAAUUUUCUUACUAAAAACUAUCAUAGAAUUCAAAUGUUGACUCUCUCAGUCAACACACACCCAUUAACUUAAGCAUGUUACUUGUUGACAAUAUUUAUGCAAAACGGGUACAAUAAAACACAUUGAAUUCUCACCAGAACAACCAAGGGAGCUGCUAAUUCUCCAGUCUUCUGCACAAUUGUCUCAGAAUUCACAUUAUGAUUACUUAUUGGCAUCCAGGGUUGUACCCCUGAUGGAAACCUAUGAUCAUUUAUCUGUGUCUGAUACUGGAAGCUAGAAGAAUCUGCAUUUACCUGCUGUUAAAGACGAUAACAAAAUGUAUUUCAUCAAUAUAUGAAUGGAACAUCGGAAACCAAUUGACAAUAACCACAAAAGAUCUUCCCAAGGCCUUACAUUAUAUGAAGAAGAAAGAGGUAAAUUUGGGUCACCAGAACCAGGCAUGUGGUUAUUUAACAUCGGAAGAUUUCCCUGAAAAUCAUGGGGAGUAGGUGGUCCCUGAGGCAUACUAUGCAUUCCUACUACAGGUCUACCAGUAACCUGUUGCAUAGGUUGAGGAAAUUGGAUUUGAGAAGGUUGAGACAUCGCAACAUUUGCAUGUCCAAGUGGAAAAAAUUGUUGAGAUGACUCGGAACCAUAAGGUUGUGCCUGCUGGGAUGGAAGCAUAGGCUGGAAUUGCUAAAGAUGUGGGGAAAAUAGUUAUCAUAAUGUCUCUGCAUUCAAAAGUCAUUUAUUCCUCCCCCAAGCCUCCACAACUUUACCUGCAGUGACAUGGAUGGAAUUGCACCAGGAGCAGGACCAGCCAGAGGAGGUAUAAGAGGCUUCUCAACCAAUAUCCAUGCAAGGAAGAACAGAUGAAAUCAGAAUAUAGCUACUUUUCAAUCAUAUUUAGAAAGCUUGAAUCCAUGCGCAACUCCCUAAAUUAAUUUGAAGGACAAGGCAGAAUUUUGAAGCCAAACCACAUAGUAACAUGAAACCCUUUUCUUCAUCUAAUAAAUAGAAAGCUUGAAAUGAGAAUAAAGAGAGAUAACAAAUAGAUGACCUAUCACAGCGUUAGACGAGAAUGGACAAAAUGAUAAGCAUCUUUACCUUAUGGCUUGGGUUCAACAGCUACUGAUGGCCUAAGUAUCUUUUCUUCGGGUGUAAAGAAGCACGUCUGUUAAUGCAAAGCUAUGAUCAUGGAACUGAAACGUGAGGUAUGAGUAGGUAUUAGGAUAACCGAAAAAUACUUAGACCGGAAUAGGUUGAGCCUCACUCUUCCCUUCUAAUGUUCUAUGUCAUACUGACAUCACUACUAGAAUCUGAAAGACUGACUUGGUUAUUCUCUCUGUCAUCUCCCCCUUAGCUUCAAGCCAUCAAAUUAAGUUUGGGAGAUCCCUUACUAGACUCUAAACUAAAGUACACUCACUGCACUCUGGGUCUGGAAAACUAUUAUACACACAUAUCAUGGAACUUAACCUGAAUGAAUACACCUGAAAGUGGAAAACCCACUGUUAAUACUACCUUCUGAGAUACACUUUAUCAUUCUAUAGACCCAGUAGUCAUCAUAUAAUACUUGCAUACUUACUAACUUCAGGUCUUCAUGGGUAUCCCCAUAGUCAGAGUGCACAGCCUCUAGUGCUUUAACUCUUAUUUCUAUUAGUUCAACCUUUAAAAACUCAAACUUAGAAUCUAGCACUCAACAUGGAUAUCACCAAGCCUUUAAUGAAUCAUACCACUUCCGACACAGACUACCAAUAUCGCGACUCCAAACUUGCAUCUCUCUACUAUGAGAAUCAAGAUCAUAUAAAAAGGCUUAACACUAUCAAUCAAAUCUCCUUAACUUGGAUAUUUAGAAAACCAUAUACCAUCUAACUAGUCUUUCUCCACCUAGCAACUCAACGGUACCACUCGUCACACAAAACGUGUAAUAGUCUUAGAAAAUACCGCAACCCCUUACGCAUGAUUCUCACUUGGAUACCAUGAAAUAGACAUCAAGAAACACUAGUACACUAGAACUUCCAAACAACAAAUAAUUGAUCUUGACCUUACGGUCUUCCUUAUCAUAACUCAUUAGCACGUACUAUUUUAACACAUCAAGCCUACUAAUUUUUUCCCACAAAAUAUACAUCAUUACUCUCAUGCCACUAUUUUUAUCACCACAUUCUACAUUAAAUUUAAGCAUAUAGUCCUGUACCAAUCAUCUAUCACUAUUGAAAAAUGCAACAUAAUAUGCUAGUCCAUAAAAUUUGGGACAUACUAUACAAGCGCCUCAAAAAUCACUACUUACCUUCUCACAAGUAAUACUAGUUUACAAUUACCGACGAAAAGAAGGUCAAGGGGUAAAGUUGCAUAAUAGACAUGAUCAACCUUAAUCUUAUAUUAUAACCCCAUACAAUCUUUUCUACUUAUACGGAUUUCUCACCUCAUACUUACUUACCCAAACAUACAUUUAGACUACCUUCAAAUUCCACAAACAACCAUGAGUCUAUACUUACAACUUACUGGCUAAUAUAGCCAUUUUCACACUUUAAGCAAUCGAGAAAUCACCCUAACUAACAACUCCUUCUCUACCUUCUACUAAACUAACACACAAGGACAAAUCACCUCUUUCAAUCUCAUGCAAACUGAUUCAGCUAUAUAUAUAUAUAUAUAUAUAUAUAUUAAACUAACACAAGAACAACAAGUUGGACAACAAGUUGCUAGUGAAUCGAAAUAGGCCUCACACGGCUUCACUAGACUUUACUUUUGUAUUUUUAACAAGAAAAUGAGAUGAAUGACAAGUCAACUAUGCUAGUGAAUCGAAAGAUCCCCACAGGGCAAGAUUAAUACGCAAUAUCCAAUGAACUAAGAAUACACAUCUUACUCUGUAUAAAUAAAAUAGAGUCAAACACUUCCUCCACGGACUACCAUACCAUCCACACAUGCUACUAGUUACCAUAUUAGUCUAUCACCAUAAGGGGGUAAAUCAUUCUCGAACAUCGGUUAUUCAACUAAAAUAUUCAUUUACACAAAAGUCACCCUCGCUCUGACUUCUAACUUUGUGACUUCACAUCACCAACUUCUUGGCCAAAUUUCACUACCAAUAGGUCCUGAUAACAACACUUUAACGCAUACUACUAUUCAGGUGGAAAUAUAGUUCCAACAUUCUACUACACAUCAUCCCCCCUUAAUCAAGACAUUUGUAAUAUAAAUUUGAAGGGGACUAAAUGCAAUUAAUACCUCAAGCCGAAAAGCACGAUUCCACCAGGAUCAAUGUUUACAUCGGAAUCAAUACACAUUAAAGUACUAACGAACUCUUCUCAAGUCCUUGCACAGAUUUUAACUCUUAUAUGGUUCAAUUAGAAAGGAACAUACCAUUUAGAUUCUAAACUUCUGCACUUGAAUCACCUCAAUAAUGAGACAUAUCUGAGGACAUUAGAGUAAGGAAAGAAUUUGGGAUGACUUUUUUUUUACUUUCGUAUGGGCGACACCAUAGCACGAAUUAGAGUAUGAAAGAGGAACAUUCUGACUCUAUUGCAUGAAGUAGAACAUGAAGAAAGAGAGACAUUCCUAAACGCCUAGUAUCCUCCUACUUAUGAGUAUGGCGUGCUACACACCCAUAAAUAAGACUCUACCCGAUGCAAUUUCACAGACACCCUAGGCCCAUGAACUGUGCUUUGAUACCAAGUUUGUCAUGACCUGAACUGGGGCUCUGACCGUGACGAGCAUUCCGAACCAUGAAGGCCCGAAACACCCCUAUCUAUCUGGCAAUCAUGCACAUAAUUCAUAUGAUAAUAAGAUAUGUAGAAGAUACACAAUAUUAUGAAAAACAUGGUCAUAAAUCAAAUGAAAUCAACAAAGGGGAAAUGAUGUCCCACAACAUAUAUCGACAUCUGAACAAUCGUCUAUGAAAUCUCUAAAACAUGACUGAAAUAAAUUACUGUCUGAAAACUGGGACAAGGCCCCCAGUAGACCCAAAACUACUAAAUGAUAAAUGAAUUGACAGACAUCAGGCCUUCCAAAAUAUAGAAGUCUCACCACUUGAUUCUGCAAAUCUGUCGGAAGAGAUCUACUGGUUAUUUGGACCCCUAAACUAUGCCUCCAAACCUGGGAGGGAAAGUGUUCAAUACAAAAGUACUAGUACGCAGAGAAACCAAAAACAAAAUAUAAUGUUUUUUCCAAAUAUAGGUGAGAGCUAUUAUAAAGCAGUUCCAUAUCAAAUCAUUUGAAAACACAUGGGCAUAAGUUAGGGUGUGCGUCGCACACCUUAUGGCAUAAGUUAGGGUGUGCGUCGCACACCUUAUGCUGUACGACAUACUCCACUUUGUAAAGCCAUAACUUCUUCCUCGGGUGUCGGAAUUUCGCAAAAUUGGUAUCGUUGGAAAGAUAAUUUGAAUACCUUUCAUUUGAUAUAUAGUAGGCACUGUAAUUCAAUAUAUACAAAGAUUAAUGGUCGAUUGAAGUUAACCUAAGUUUCAACGUUCACUAAAAUUCGAACGAUAGGAAAACUUUCAACUUGUCCUUGAGCUUGGGGACCUUUAUGAUCUCAAUUCAUGCUAAAAUAGGUUUCUACACUACAUAAUUUAUUAACACACUAAACUUGCAUUGGAUUUAUGGCUUUUGGAACCUUUACGUGAAGAAAAUGACGAUUUUCGUUCUCGUCCGAAAUGCGGGGUGUUACAAAAUUUUGUUAGAAAAUGGAAAAUACAACAAUAUGGAGGACAUUUUAGCUGCACCGUACUCCCAAUAUACACCGUCCUCCUAAUACACUAAACUGAACAUUAAAAGUACUAAUGCAUUUCUUACCUGCACCGUACUCCAAAUACACUAAACUGAACAUUAAAAGUACUAAUGCAUUUCUUACCUGUUGGUGUGUAGCAUUCAAAAGUUUUAUUGUCUUUUGUCGGAAGAUAGCCACAACGACGGUUUCAAGAAUGAAGAUUAAACUUAAAAGAUGCCAUGCUCGCUCUGGAGUUCCUGCUACAUGAUACAACAUGACUCUACAAUGUUGAAGCCACUUUCCUAAUCCUUGGAGUCUAAGUUCUUACGAGAAUGAAAUAUGAUUAGGUAACACAUCCUCAACAUUAUUUGAAUUAGUGACAGGAGGGUUACUGUCGCGAUGUUCUCGAUCAGCGUCCAAACUACUUCUCUGCAACAAGGCUAGAAUCUUUGGGUCUAAUCCAUUCUCCUUCAGCAUCACUGCAAAAUUAGGAUCAAGCCCUUUAUCUUGCAAUAAAUUAGCUAAUUCACGAUCAGUGUGUCUUCCUUUCUGCUUUAAUAUAGAUGUAAUCCUGGGAUCACUCAACUUUUCUUGAAAUGCUAGUGCCAAAUUCAAGUCGAGUAUCUGUUGGUUUGCAGAAGUGGAUUUACUAGAAUCACCACCUUGGCUUUCAAGUCCACUGCUAGAACAAACAACCAAUGAAAUAUUAUGCUCUAAAUUUCUAUCAACAUAUGAGGAUCCUACUUCAGGCUCUUGAACAACUGAACGACAGGAACUACUACGUAGAGCUAGACUUGGUCUUCCACUGUCUAUGCUCUUAUCACUAUUAAUCCCCUCAAUGUUAUUCCAGGUACUGCCAUCACCAGUGCAAGGCAUAGUUGCAUUACCAAGAUGACCAGCAUCAGCACUUCUAAUGCGUUUGACACUUGAGCCACACCCCUCAGAAGAGCUUACGGAGCUAUUUUGGUCUUUUCUGCGGAAACCUUCUCUACGGCGGAUAACUAUACUCUGCAAGGCAUCUUGUUAGCUGCUAAUGGGUCUGUAACUGAUAAAUGCUGUGAAACAGCAGCACCCAACAGCACAGAUGCUACAACUACAUAACUGAUACAACAAAAUUGUUGCAAUAAAAGAUUAGAAUAUUUUUUUUUGAUAACAAAAGAUUAGAAGUUUCUAUUCAACAAAUAAUAUUAAAAGGGAUGCAUAUGCCACAAGUAUAAGAAGAUUUGAUUAUGGAAGAAAAUGAAUUAGCAUAGGUUAACAACAAACCAGUAAUGAACUCCAAAACAGACCAGGAACACCCGAGAUGUUCCGACAACAAUAAGUAUGAUGACUCAGCUUUUCAAAAGCUUAAAACCAUACAAGAAAGCUUCCAAGUUCCAAUCUAAUUGAAUGAAAAGAUAGUGAAUUCAUUACUUACCACAAAGAAAUAAGAAAUUAUUUCACAAUACGAGUCAGAAAAGGAGACAGAUAUAUGUAGGAAAUUAACUACCAAGGAUUAUCAUGGCAGCUGAUGUUGUAGCCCCAAGCCAGUUUGAUUCCUUUGUUGUCAGACCAUACAGGAUCGAAUACACAAGAAGUACUACAAGUGAACCAAUAUAUAGAAGUCCAAGAUUGAGAGCCCUGCAGAGCCCAAGUUCAAAGUGAAGAAGAGUAAAUUAUAGACUUCAGAGAAAAUGUUGAAAAGAUAGUGCAGAAAAUAUGAUGAGCAGUAUAAAUGAGAACCCACUGAACACAUAAUAUAACAAGGUGACUUUAUAAUCUAAAGCAGAAUUUAAAUUAAUUUGCUUAGCAGUGAGAUUUUAAGAUCUACUGUUUUUACUGGACUACUGGAGAGUGUGUUUUGUUCUCUCAGAGUUAGUAUUCCUUUUAUUCAAAUAGAUUUGAGUUACACCCAUUGUUUAGCGUUCUUUGGCUCUUAAUUUUAAAAGUCUGUUAGUUGAGAACAUUUUGGCCUAUCUUCAUAUCUUCCAUAUCUUAUAAAAAAAAUUAUGUUCCAUCCAGAAAAAGAGUUGUCAUAUUAGUCAUCCCUGUCCUUUAUAUAGAGCUCUUCCCAUCUUUGUUCAAAUCCCUAGCCAACAAGAAUGAUGUCCCCUUCAAAAAGUAUUACAUCUUACUCUGUCUUUCUAUUGCCUAUAAACAGUCUAGCACAUCAAUGAUGUCUUCUGCUAGAGCUAAUCAUCAUGUUUACACCAAAAAUAAAGAAGUGCUAAACUAUUCAAGUUGAUCUUCUGGACAUCCUCAAAACAACCCUUGUUUCUUUCUGUCCAAACUGUCCACCAUAUACAUGUUGAACAAUUUUCCAUCUCUCCUCCUUUAUUACAUUUACAUCCCCAUUCAUGCUGCUUAGUACUUUUUUAAUGCCACUAGGUUCUACCCACCUGAUCCCCUUCAGGUUGAAAACAUUCUCUACAGUUGCUCUGUCCGUUUCCAAUGUAAGAAAGAUGGUUGAUUAUGUAAAGAAAGGAUCUUGGGCCUAACUCAACCCUAAAAGCUAGCACAUGAGGGGAGGAUUGCUCAAGUCCAUAUAAUAAGACCGACAGUUAACUCCCCAACAAUGUAGGACUUUCACCUACUCUAACACCACCUUCACGCCCAGGCCCAAUAAGAGCGUGGUACGAGAGCUCAAACGUGGAUGGACCUGUUGUUUGAGAAGGAAUAUUAACUGCUGUUUGUAUGCAAGAGAGAAUAGAUAAGAUGUUUUUACUGAAUACAUUGGGUCUAUCAGCACAUACAGGUUCAUGCAUUAUGCCAUUAGGUUUUGCAGCAGUUCCAAUAUUUUCAGCAGCACCACAAGUUGAAUUUUGAUGCACUGCAGUAAGGAAAGAAAACUUAAACAUUAACUUGAGACAACAACACAAGCUUCUCAAAUGCAGGUUCUAGCAAGAACAAAGAUAACAAGCAAAUAGAAGGCAAUGAAGAUAAGGAUAAGUCUAGAUGAGCUUGGGGACAGGCUCCAAACUGAACACAGUGCUCGUUAUUCUUGUUGUAGAUAAGAUCAGACAACUUAUUAUUUUGACGUUAAGAGUUUCUUGUAGAGGAUGCUGAAUCCAUUUUGCAACUUUGGAGGCCUUGUAAAGCACAGAGAGGCUCAUUUUUGUAAAGAAAAUACUGCCCACAUAGUAUCUAUGCUAUCAUUUUUAAAAAAAUAUGGUGCUUGCUGGUUUUACCAAUAUCUUGUAUGCUUGUACCUUCCAAUGCAACCUCCCGGCGAAAAAACUAACCACCAAUAGGCAUCUUUUAGCAUAGAAGAUUCUAAGACUGUCUUACUAGGAAUUAGGUAAGUACAAGUUCUUGAAGGGAAAUUGUUUGCAUCAUUGAAGAUCAGAAAGCCAGGUAUAUAGGAGAUUAGACAUUUUAAAGAAAAAAUAACAGGUUUAAUAUCAGGAAAGACAUCAAAAACUCUUAUUUACAUAUAAAUGAUGGAUCCCAAAUAACUUCAGAAGUUACACACAAAAGGAAAAUGGUACAGAAACCAAUUCCACCUUCAUAAUAACUAUGUCUGCUUGAUGUAAGCAUAAACAUUAUCAAGAAAGACAUCAAAGACUCUCAUUGACAUAUAAAUAAUGGAACACAAAUAACUUCAGAAGUUACACGCAAAAGGAAAAUGGUACAGAAACCAAUUCCACCUUCAUAAUAAUUGUGUCUGCUUGAUAUAAGUAUAAACAUAAAGAACAUACUGACAUACCAAAAAAUUAUCAAAAUGUUCUACAAUGUAGUGCUAAUUUUUUUUGUUUUUUGAAAUUAAACGCAGUGUAUAGUUUAAAAAUGUGCAAACAACAUUUAAUGUGGCACGUGAAGCAUCAGGUACUGGAAGGAAAAUUUAAAACAUGGUGGAGGCAAAUGAAUCAAAUAUACUAAGACAAAGAAGGCAUUUGAUUGCAGAUCAAAUGGAAGAGUCUGCCAACCGACCAGAUUUAGGAGCAGCUCUGGUCCAUGCACCAUUUUGAGGUAAAUUUAUAUGGUUAAAAAUUUGGAUGUUACUUAAUAUAUGCACAAACUGAACAUGAACUGCCCGGUUAGACAAGUGCUUUUUGUAGCUACCCAGUGACAACCUUAGUGAAAGAAUACAUCAAUGAGAAGUUAACUCAGUAAGCUUAAUGAGCUUUCCCCUGUAAGGAAUGAAAGUGUGGAUGACCCGACAUCAAAUAUACGAUUGUUAUUAUACACACAAUCUCUAUACAAUAGCAACAACAUACCCGAUGUAUAUUCGGGCAGAAUAUAUGGAAACCAUACCUCUACCUCAAAGACGAGAAGAAAACGGUAGCACCAAUCCUCACUAAAUACUUCAUAAGAUAAAAAAACAGCCAAUACUUACAAAACCAAAUGAAGCAAAAGAAGUUCAUUUUCUUGAUCACCAGCAAGUAAAAGAAAUGUUUACAAUUGGAGAUUUAAAAAGGUUGCAAAAGAAAGAAGCAAACUUUCUAUUUAACAAGUGUCAAAGUGGGGAAAGAAUAAGAGUAAAACCAAUAAGUAUACGAGAAGUCUGAACACUAUAGUCAAUGAACAAAAUAUGAAUUGUAGUUUGGAAAUUUAGUAUCCAUCACUCCAACAGAGAAUCAGGACUUGCAAGAAGGUUGAAAGGUUUGCCUAUCGAGUUUUUCAAGAUUGUGAUUUGACCCUUUUUCAUAAGAAAGUCUUCAUCGAGGGUGUCUACCUUUCUUUUCAACAUGUUGAUCUCAUAAUUCAACAACAUGUUCAUCUCACUGUAGCUCUUAACUUCCUCCCACAUGAAAUCCCUCUCCUGAAAUACUUUUGGUAGUAUCGCCUUUACAACGCAAAGUUCCUUCAUGCAUUCUUGCAAAUCAUUGGUGAGCUAGUUGAUAUUUUCAUCCCUUUUUAGCACCUGUGAGAAUCAACCGUAAACCAUGAAAAACAAAAAAGACACAAAGAUCACCAAUAACAUUUCAUCAGAAAUUCAAAACAAACUCAUAGCCUAGAAGUUCAACCAAAUCAUGAAUCCUUUUUAACUAUUAAAAUUCAUAGUAGAUAACUCCUGAGCUUGUCCAAGAAUUAAGUAAGAUGAACGAGCAAAGUUACCAAAACCCCUUCGGGUAACUUUACCACAUCAGAGCAUAAUCAGAUCAAUGGAUUUGACGAUAUCACAAAGUUUAUCAUGUUCUUGGUUGGUUCAAGUGAUGACACAUUAAGGCGAUCAGAAAUUUCACAGAAGACUACCACAUGCCAGCAACUCAUGUAUACAAGUUCAUAAAGAAAUCUGUGAACUUUAGAUGGAACAAAGAUGAACCUAAAAUCAAAUAGAAGUAGAAAGCUAAUGCAGAGAGAGUAACAUGCGAACAGGCUAUCAUAUAUGAAGACAGGGUAUCCAAAGUUGAAAAAUAAAAACUAUUCAGUUGCAACGAGAUAUUAACAUUGCCUGCUUACCUGAAGUUUGAGAUAUUUCAACUUGGGUGUGGCAUAAGAAAGAGCAUCCAGUUUAUUUUGCACUUAACAUUGGAGAAUGUCGUUACCUCUAACUGUUAUGGCUAGAUUAGCCUGAAGUUGCUUUAUGUCCAUCUCCUCGGAAUAGAGCUUCUCCCUUAGCACAGUUGUCAGCAAAGUCUCUGAUUUAAGCCCUUUAACCUUUUCCUGGUAGUUUUCUCAGACAUAAUCUCUAUUGUCUUGAGAUACUCGAUAUUCCACUUGUAACUAAGUGAGAUGCUGCCGUAGAUUUUAAUUCUCCUCUGACACUUGCUCUAUUCUCUUAGACAAAUCUUCAAGGUGUUUCUCCGAAAAUGAUAUCUUGAUUCUAUUAUCUACUUCCUUCUCAUUAAAUGAAGAGACUUCCCUUUGUAGAGACACAUUCUGCUCUGCAAGCUCCCUCGCCCUUUCACGGGUCUAUGUUGUUCAAUUUGGUAUUUCUCAAGUUUUAGAGACCAAUUGUUGGAUCUUCUAUCCAACUUCUUUUCCAAUACUGAUUUUAACUCAUUCUUUUCUGUCUCCAAUCUUCGUGUCCGUGAAUCUAGUUCUGCCUGUAAUAUGCUGGCUUCUUGCUUAGCAGAAGCCCUUUCAGCAACUUGAUUCCAUAGCAUGCUUGAAACUUCAGAAGCCAUUUGUACCUUCUCCUUUGUCAAUCUUGUAAUAGUCCGAAUCAAUAAUGGAACGCUAAGGUCUCUGCCAUGAAGAAACAUUUGUUAUUACUUUGGACAAGCAAAUGCAAAUUAAAACAUCAGUUUAAGUGUGAAAAAGGAAGCUAAAGCAAAAUGAUAUGCAUACCGGCUUGAAUCACGACUAGAUUUCUUAGGAUGAACUUUCUUACUGUGACCAUGGGGAGAUUUGCUCAGAUCCAUGAAAUUCUUUUUUCCUAACCCACUGUCAUAGAAGGAUUCGGAUGAUAAUGAAACACUCCUCCAAGAAGAAACUUCCUUGGACUUUAAUGGUGGUGAAGGGGUCUUGUUUUCAUCAUUAGUUGAUGAUCGAAAAAAGAAGAAGUUGUUCUUCAUCAUCUCUAUGUAUGGAGACUGUACAUGAAUCAAACUAGUGUCCAUGAGAUUUCAAAGGGCAAAGCAAAACACUCAUAAAUAGCCACUCACAAAUCAUUAUCCAUUCAUGAAAAUACUGCAAGCUAACUAAAUACUUAUGAGACAAAGCAAAACAUCUCUCUUUCUACAUGCUUCUUCUUCAACAACAACAUACGUAACCCCUACCUUGGCAAGUAGAAAAUUUGUUUCUCAUAAAUCCUCGGCAAGGAAAGCAAAANNNNNNNNNNNNNNNNNNNNNNNNNNNNNNNNNNNNNNNNNNNNNNNNNNNNNNNNNNNNNAUACAACAAGUAGAAAAGAAAAAUAUAUACUAAUACUACUACCAGAAGAGAUAUGACGUGAAACUAUUUACUAAUAGUCUUCUACUGAAAAUUAAUAAAAUACCCCAUAAACAAAUAGCACAAGAACAAUUCAAAGAACUUAUCAAAUCCUUCUGAUAAAACAAAUAAUCAUGGUAAAUAAUCAAAAAAUAAGAGAAAUUACUGAAUCAAAGAGUUGAAAGAGUAAGAGCCGGCAAAAUGUUGUCAUAAUUUGUACGAUUCUUGUCAUUUUUUCUUGAAAUGUAAAAAUAGCAAAAGACUAGAAUUCUGUGUCUUUCAUUCAUCAUCGUACAAUGCAUAUAUACAACUAACAAGGAUCUGUAAAUUUCAAGUAAUAUUUACAAGGAUCUGUAAAAUUCAAGUAAAUAUUUACAAGGAUCUGUAUAUGGCAAGUGAAUAUUUACAAGGAUCCAGAAAUAUGGCAAGUGAAUAUUUAUAUACUCAUAAUGAAAAACUUAAGAAAUACCUAUGAGAGAGAGAAGAAAAGUGUAACAAAUAUUUUGUGUUAUUCAAUAGCUAUAAAUAGCCAUAUGAGAUCAAAUUUUCCAUAUAAUAGAAAUAAAAUUAAAACUAUAAAUUAAAUUUUUCAAAUUAGCACACAAAUUAACUUAAAUUAUGAAAUUUAAGAUAUUUAUUUUUUCAAAAUUUAACUUUUUCAUAUAAACAUCACUGAAUUGAUAUAAACAAUAUUUUGAAAUGUGAUAAAUUAAUUAAAUAACCCAAAAAUAUUGUAAUAUUGUAUUUNNNNNNNNNNNNNNNNNNNNNNNNNNNNNNNNNNNNNNNNNNNNNNNNNNNNNNNNNNNNNNNNNNNNNNNNNNNNNNNNACUUACCAUUUAAAAAUUGUUUCAUUUGAAUUAAUAAGAUCAUAGUAGAUUGUACAAAAUCAGUUAAUAAAUGAUAUAUAUUUCAAUUAAAUAAAUAAAGUACAAUAUAAUUGUAAUAAGAAUACACAAUCAACUAAUUAAUUUCACUUAAUUAGAUUAAAUUUUAUGAUCAUAAUAUAUAGACUAAAGUUCCUUAAAUUUAAUGUUGUAAAUUUCAAAAUAUAUUUAUGGCUNNNNNNNNNNNNNNNNNNNNNNNNNNNNNNNNNNNNNNNNNNNNNNNNNNNNNNNNNNNNNNNNNNNNNNNNNNNNNNNNNNNNNNNNNNNNNNNNNNNNNNNNNNNNNNNNNNNNNNNNNNNNNNNNNNNNNNNNNNNNNNNNNNNNNNNNNNNNNNNNNNNNNNNNNNNNNNNNNNNNNNNNNNNNNNNNNNNNNNNNNNNNNNNNNNNNNNNNNNNNNNNNNNNNNNNNNNNNNNNNNNNNNNNNNNNNNNNNNNNNNNNNNNNNNNNNNNNNNNNNNNNNNNNNNNNNNNNNNNNNNNNNNNNNNNNNNNNNNNNNNNNNNNNNNNNNNNNNNNNNNNNNNNNNNNNNNNNNNNNNNNNNNNNNNNNNNNNNNNNNNNNNNNNNNNNNNNNNNNNNNNNNNNNNNNNNNNNNNNNNNNNNNNNNNNNNNNNNNNNNNNNNNNNNNNNNNNNNNNNNNNNNNNNNNNNNNNNNNNNNNNNNNNNNNNNNNNNNNNNNNNNNNNNNNNNNNNNNNNNNNNNNNNNNNNNNNNNNNNNNNNNNNNNNNNNNNNNNNNNNNNNNNNNNNNNNNNNNNNNNNNNNNNNNNNNNNNNNNNNNNNNNNNNNNNNNNNNNNNNNNNNNNNNNNNNNNNNNNNNNNNNNNNNNNNNNNNNNNNNNNNNNNNNNNNNNNNNNNNNNNNNNNNNNNNNNNNNNNNNNNNNNNNNNNNNNNNNNNNNNNNNNNNNNNNNNNNNNNNNNNNNNNNNNNNNNNNNNNNNNNNNNNNNNNNNNNNNNNNNNNNNNNNNNNNNNNNNNNNNNNNNNNNNNNNNNNNNNNNNNNNNNNNNNNNNNNNNNNNNNNNNNNNNNNNNNNNNNNNNNNNNNNNNNNNNNNNNNNNNNNNNNNNNNNNNNNNNNNNNNNNNNNNNNNNNNNNNNNNNNNNNNNNNNNNNNNNNNNNNNNNNNNNNNNNNNNNNNNNNNNNNNNNNNNNNUAUUUAUUUACCAUAAAUCUGUCCUAAUUUUAUAUCUUGAUUGUAGUUAAUUAAUCUACAAUUACAUAAAGGUCUCAAAUAUGAAAACAAUUGAUAUUAAUUACCUUUAUAAUUUUGGCAAUUCAAUCCCAUGAAUUUCUCAUGUUUUUUAUAGAUUGAUUAUAUUAAAUUUAUUUCAAUUACCUUUUUAAUUUUGGUAAGAAUUUAAAAAAGGUAACGAUUAUUUUUUUUCCUAAUUACUGAUUUAUUUCUCAAAAAGUUCUUAUAAAUUCAUAAUUUGAUUAUAGUCAAUUGAUUAUUUAAUUAUCUUUAUAAUUUGCUAAAAGCUCAAAUAAGGUAACAAUUAUUUUUUUCUAAAUUAUGGAUUUUCUUAUAUUCAAUCUUUUAUUGUUUUACUAUAAUAGUUCAAAUUUAAUUGUUUUGAGGGAUGACAACUUUUUGUGUCUAAAUCUUUUUUAAUACAUAGGAAAUGCUAAAGGCAUACAAUAAUCUCCUUUCUUUUUAUAAUCCAAACUUACCAUUUACAAAUUAUUUCAUUUGAAUUAAUAAGAUCAUAGUAGCUUGUACAAAAUCAAUUAAUUAAUUAUAUGUAUUUUGAUAUAAAAAAAAAUGAUGUACGACAUAAUUGUAAUAAAAUUACACAAUCAACGAAUUAAUUUCAAUUAAUUAGAAUCAAUUUUAUAAUCAUAAUAUAUAGACUCAAGUUCCUUANNNNNNNNNNNNNNNNNNNNNNNNNNNNNNNNNNNNNNNNNNNNNNNNNNNNNNNNNNNNNNNNNNNNNNNNNNNNNNNNNNNNNNNNNNNNNNNNNNNNNNNNNNNNNNNNNNNNNNNNNNNNNNNNNNNNNNNNNNNNNNNNNNNNNNNNNNNNNNNNNNNNNNNNNNNNNNNNNNNNNNNNNNNNNNNNNNNNNNNNNNNNNNNNNNNNNNNNNNNNNNNNNNNNNNNNNNNNNNNNNNNNNNNNNNNNNNNNNNNNNNNNNNNNNNNNNNNNNNNNNNNNNNNNNNNNNNNNNNNNNNNNNNNNNNNNNNNNNNNNNNNNNNNNNNNNNNNNNNNNNNNNNNNNNNNNNNNNNNNNNNNNNNNNNNNNNNNNNNNNNNNNNNNNNNNNNNNNNNNNNNNNNNNNNCAUGAAUUUCACAUAUUCUUAUAGUUUGGUUAUAUCAAAUUUAUAUUAAUUACCUUUAUAAUUUUGGGAAGAAUUUUAAAAAGGUAACAAUUAGUUUUUUUUUCCAAUUACUGAUUUAUUUCUCAAAAAUUUCUUAUCAAUUUACAAUUUGAUCAUUUAAUUAUCUUUACAAUUAGCUAAAAGCUCAAAUAAGGUGACAAUUAUUUCUUUUCUUAGUUACGGAUUUUCUUAUAUUCAAUCUUUCAUUGUUUCACUAAAAUAGUUCAAAUUUAAUUGUUUUGAGGCAUGACAUCUUUUUGUCUAUAAAUCUUUUUUAAUACAUAAGAAAUGCUAAAGUCAUACAAUAAUCACCUUUAUUUUUAUAAUCCAAACUUAUCAUUUAAAAAUCAUUUCAUUUGAAUUAAUAAAAUCAUAGUAUAUUGCACAAAAUCAAUAAAUUAAUUAUAUGUAUUUUUAUUAAAUAAAUUAUAUACGAAAUUGUUGUGAUAAAACUAUACAAUCAAGUAAUUAAUUUCAAUUAAUUAGAAUCAAUUUUAUGAUCAUAAUAUAUAGACUCAAGUUCCUUAAAUUUAAUGUUGUAUGUAAAUUUUAAAAUAUAUUUAUAGCUAAAGUAAUAGUCAACGUUCGUUGUUUUUUUUACCAAUAUAUGCAUAUCAAUUACGAAUCUUUCCAUAUAUUUUAUUAUUAAAGUAGUUGUCAAUAUUAACUAAUUUCUAGUUCAAUUUAAUCUAAUUAAUUUGAUAGCAAUAAAAUUAUUAUUAAUAUUAUAUAUUUAUUUACCAUAAGUCUGUCCUAAUUUUGUAGCUUGAUUAUAUUUAAUUAAUCUACAAUUGUAUAAAGGGCUCAAAUAUGAAAAUAAUUGAUAUUAAUUACCUUCAUAAUUUUGGAAAUUCAAUCCCAUGAAUAUCUCAUUUUUUUAUAGAUUGAUUACAUUAAAUUGAUAUCAAUUACCUUUUCAAUUUUGGAAAGAAUUUUAAAAAGGUAACAAUUAUUUAUUUUCCUAAUUACUAAUUUAUUUUUCAAAUAUUUCUUAUAAAUUUAUAAUUUAAUUAUAGUCAAUUAAUUAUUAUUAUCUUUAUAAUUUGCUAAAAACUCAAAUAAGGUAACAAUUAUUUUUUUCCUAAUUACGGAUUUUCUUAUAUUCAUUCAUUUAUUUGUUUACAAAAAUAGGUCAAACUUAAUUAUUUUGAGGGAUGACACCUUUUUUUAAUAUUUUUUAUUCAAAAUGAUUGCAAUAUUUUCUAUAUAAAUUGAUCCGUUACUAUUUAUUAAUUGGUUAUUCUCUUAAAUAAUUUUUUCUUGUAAUAUUUCUUUUAAUCAAUUGUAAUGAAAUAAUUCAUAUUUAUUUUCUUAUAAUACUAUCAUUAAAAACAUAUGAAAUGUAAUUUAUUAAAUUCUUAGUUUUAGGCUAGACUAUCCUCCUUUAUUAUAUAGAUAGAUAAUUUCAACAAAAUUAAUUAGAGUAUUUUCUUAUAAAAAUAAUAUAAAAUUUUAUUUUAUAAAAAUAAUAUAAAAUAUGGUAUAUUAAUAAUAUUUGCAUUAAUUAUGUUUCUAUUUUCUUACAUAUUAUUUGAUUCUACGCAUUAAAAAUAACAUUGAAUCAAUGGUGAAAGUGGAGGGACUUCUUUCUUUAUUGGGGUUUUUCUUUUUGGGAAAGCUGACACUUUCUUGACUACCAACCACCCAACACAAAGCUGACACUUCUUGGUAGAUUGGCUAUUUUUUCAUACGGUACUAAUUUAUAUGCAUUUUCUUUGAUAUUUGUUAUAUUGUUAGUUUUAUUUUGCGUAUCGUAUUAGUUUAUAUGCAUUUAUUUUUUAUGUUUGGUAUGUUAUUAUGAUCCUAAGCUAGGAGUCUAUCGGAAACAUCCUCUCUACUUCACCUGAGUACUGAUAUGAUCUACAUAUACUAACCUCCCCAGACCCCACUAUCUGGAAAUACACUGAUUUUUGUUAUUGCUGUUGUUGUUUCUUAUACAGUAUUUGAUUCAAAGUAUUAAAAAUAACACGAAUUACAUAAUUUUUUUUUACAUAAUACCCCAACUUUAAGCAUGUUAAUGCAUGCAUUAGAUCCAUUGUAUUACUAAUGUCAUAAAUUUUGAAGUAUUAGUAAUACACGCCUCAAUACACAAUAGAGUAUAUUACUAAUUUUUGCAUUAGUUAUACAUAAGAUAAAAAGAUAUAUAUCAAACAAGGGACUACUAAUACACAUUAAAUUAAUGGAUGCAUUAAUUUUUACGUAAUACAUUCCAUGCUUUAUCACAGAUUUGAUUCCUUGUCUUAAGCUGGGAGUCUAUCGGAAAUAGCCUUUCUACUUCUUCGGAGGUAGUGAUAUGAACUACGUACAUCUUACCCUCUUUAGACCCCACUAUGUGGAAAUACACUGAAUUUAUUGUUGUUGUUGUUAUUAAUUUUUGAAUACACUCUAUCAAAAGACUCUAUGCUUCUCAUUUAAUUAUACCUUUAGCUCCUUUUUAAUUAUGAUAAUUGCUCUCUGACUCCACCUUGCUUUUUAAAAAUAUAAAUAAAUAGCAAUGAAUUUAAUUUUGCUCAUUACUCUACUAAUUGUAGUAAUGUUAGGUGAAUUCAUCAACUUAAAAUUAGAGUACAUUCACUCAAGCUACAUGUUAUAGAUAUAGUUCAAAAAAGGAAUUAUACGUUUGACAUAAUACAUAAAUGUGUUUUCAACUUGACAUCAUUAGCAAAUAUUUAUAUAUUUUAAUUUUGAAUGUUGCACAAAUAAAUACUUCGACUAUCAUAUAAAGUUAAAAUAAAUAUAUAUAUAUGUGAGUCUUGUAUCGCAAUUUGUCAUGCAAAAUGUGUGCAUCUCAUACAAUUUGUCAAGUAAUUAAAGCGUUUGUGUCUAGGGGAGUGCAUCGGUCGGUUCGGUUGGGUUUUACAUAUUAUCAUUAGAUUUAUCGAUUUUCGGUUUUUAAAUAUGCUAAACCAAUAACCAAACCAAUAAAAUAUUUUUUUUUGGUUCUUAGUCCUUAACGAUUUGGUUUUGGGUUUAACCGAUAAGAAAAUACUCAUAAAAUAGAAAUAGUAGUAACUAACAUGUAAAAAAUGAAUCUUAGUUGCAACAAAAAUCCUACAUGAAGUGUUUGAAUUUACAAAAAUCUUCAAGUUUGAACUAAAUGUUGUUAGGAGAAAUUCAGAGUUUAUAUAAUUGAAAUAACAGGUUUGUUAAUUUGUAGAAAUAAAAUAUAAAUAUAUAAUAAUUCAUAUUAUAUAUGUAUAUGCAUAUGUUUUGAAAAGGUGUUAAUUUGAGAGCAUGAAUUAUAUGGAAUCCCUCUCUUGAUGUGAAUUUGUUUUAAAUGUUCAUAUGAUGUAAAUUGUUUGAAAACAUCUUGAAAAGCAUGACAUGAAAUGUUUUGAGAAUUUAUAUGAUUUUGACUUGAAAACUAGAGGGCUAUUUGUGUUGAAACAUGUUGAAUACAAUGGUUGAAUGAGAAGAAUGAUGUGAUAUUGAUGGCUUGGAAGUCGGUUAUGAUGAUACCCUACAGAAUAUGAUUUGUGAUUAAAUCGGAUGAAAUUUGAAUGCAUUGAUUUUACAUGAGAUAGGUGGAUAUCCGAAGAAGGCAUUUGAGUAUAAGGGCUCAUCGCUAGAAAUCGUGUUUGCCGACAUGGGAAUUUGGUACCCUGCUUUGUGAUCUUGCGUACCUGACUUUAUGUCAUUCCCAAUUUGGGACUAUGGUUAGGAGCCCUGCUUUGUGAUCUUGUGCACUACCAUUGGGUCGAGAUAUCCUGUUGUGUGAUCUUGUGUGUCUUCCCCUCACUUAUACUCUAAUCUUGGCGGCAACCGAGGUUUGACAGUUGGUGUAAAUAUGAUAUGUAGGGUAUUCCACCUAGCUCAGCAGGAUUAUAUUGUUGUUGAAAACAAUUAUAUUAUGCCCAUGUGUUUUCAAAUGAUUUGAUAUGAAACUGCUUUAUAAUGGCUCUCAACUAUAUUUUGUAAAACUAUUAUGUUUUGUUUUGAUAUCUCUGCGUACCAGUACUUCUGAAUUGAACCCCUUUCCUCCCGGGUACAAAGGCACAGUCUAGGGGUCCAGAAAAUCAGUAGAUUCCUCAAACAGAUUUACAGAGUCACUUGGUGAGCCUUCUAUUUUUUGGAAGGCCUGAUAUUUGGAUCUACUGGAGGCCUUGUCCCAGUUUUCAAAUAGAUAUUUAUUUCAGUCAUGUAGUAGAGAUUUCACAAACGUUAUAGAGAUGUUGUGUUGAGAUUGUGGGACAUUAUUCCCCGUUAUUGAUUCAUAUGAUUCUUGACCAUGUUUCCAUAAUAUUGUUUGUCUUCCAUAUUUCUUUUAUCAUAUGAGUUAUGUGCAUGAUUAUCAGACAAAUAGGGGUGUUUCGGGCCUUUAUGGUUCGGAAUGCUCGUCACGGACAGGGCCCCAAUUUGGGUCGUGACAAACUUGGUAUCAGAGCAAGGUUCAUGGUCCCAGGGUGUCUACAAAAUCAUAUCGGGUAGAGUCUUAUUUAUGGGUGUGUAGCGUGCCACACUUAUAAGUAGGAGGCUCCUAAGCAUUUAGGAAUGUCUCUCUUUCUUCAUGUUCCAGUUCGUGCAAUAGAGUCAAAAUGUUCCUCUUUCAUACUGUCAUUCAUGCUAUGGUGUCGCUCAUAUGAAGGUAAAGUCAUACCAAAUUCUUUCCUUACUCUGAUGUUCUCAGACAUGUCCCAUUAUUGGGGUGAUUCAAGUGCAAAAAGUUUAGAAUCUACAUGAUAUAGUCUUUUUCGAUUGUGUCAUAUAAGAAAAAAAAUUGUGCAAAGACUCGAGAGGAGUCUGUUGGUGCUUCAAUAUGUGUUGAUUCUGAUAUAAACAUUGAUCCUGAUGGAAUCGUGCUUUCUAGCUUAUGGUAUUAAGUGCAUCUAGUCCCUCCCAAAAUUCUUGAUACAGAUGUGGACGGUGUAUAGCAGAAUGUUGGAACUAUAUUUCCACCCAAAUAGUAGCAUAAGUUAAAGUGUUGUUGUCAUGACCUAUUGGUAAUGAAAUUAGACCAAGAAUUUAGUGAUGUGAAGUCACAAAGUUAGAAGUCAGAGUGAGGGUGAUUUUUGGUGUAAAUGAAUAUUUCAGUUGAAUAACCAAUAUUUGAGGAUGAUUUACCCCUUUAUAGUGAUAAACUAACGUGGUAGCUAGUAGCACGUGUGGAUGGUAUGGUAGUCCAUGGGGAAGUAUUUUACUCAAAUUUUAAUUUAUAAAGAGUAAGAUGUGUAUUCUUAGACCAUUAAAUAUUGUGUCAAUUUCCUAUCUCUUGUAAUAUGUAAUCUUGUUAUCAUGGUAUUUUUGAAAUAAAUUUUAAAGUCUAGUGAAGCCGUGUGGGGCUCUUUCGAUUCACUAGCAUAGUUGCCUUGUCAUCCAUCUCAUUUUCUUGUUCAAAAUACCAAACCAAAGUCUAGUGAAGCCGUGUGAGGCCUAUUUCAAUUCACUAGCAACUUGUUGUCCAACUUGUUGUUCUUUUGUUGGUUUAAUAUAUGUAUGGCUGAAUCUGUUUGCAUGAGAUGGAGUUGGUAAAGAGGUGAUUCAUCCUUGUGAGUUAGUUUAGUAUAAGGUAGAGAAGGAGUUGUUAGUCAGGGUGAUUUGUUGGUUUCUUGAAUGUGAAAAAUGGCUAUAUUAGCGAGUAAGUUAUGAUCAUAGACUCAUGGUUGUUUGAGGAAUUUGAAGGCAGUCUAAAUGUAUGCUUGAGAAAGUAAGUAUGAGGUCAGAAAUCCGCAUAAGUAGAUAAGAUCUUAUGGGGUUAUAAUAUCAGUUAAGGUUGAUCAUGUCUAUUAUGUGACCUUACUCCUUGACUUUUUUCGUUGGUAGUUGUAAACUAGUACUACUUAUGAGAAGGUAUGUAGCAAAUUAUGAGGUAUUUGGAUAGUACUAUAUGACUGGCAGAGACUUUUCAAAGAUUUGCAGGAGUUCUCGAAACUAUUUUCUAAAAAAUUAAGAGUACUUUGAAAAAAAUCUAUAUAAAUCUUUUACUUAGUGAUUGCCUAGACAUCAAUUAGGAUGGGGAGUCAGGGGUGGAAGUCCCAACAUGAUGAAAUACCUAAAAGAUGGCAAGGGCAAAUCAAGGAUCGUAGGAGGUCAACACGGAGUAGUUUCUUUCAAACUAAUCAUUUUUUGUGGCUGCAGGGAUUGAUACACAAAAUGAGCGUUUCUUUCGAAAAAUCCCCAAGCAAGUCGGGAGCCAUGACAGAGCAUAUAAGGCUUAGUAACGGUACCUUUGGUAGCCCAAAAACCGGCUCAACACCCAUUUAUUGACGACCUUUCGAAUUGUCCAUCUCAUUUCUUGAGACCAUGGAGGACAAACAAAGUGUCUUGUCUUUUUUACAAAUAUUGUAUUUAGAAUUUUUCUAAAAAAAAAAAUAGUCGCUAGCAAAAGCGACUUUGUGUCUACUAAUCGUCUACCUUGAGUACGGGUACAUGCAGAAAGCAAGACCCUGACAAAUGAUUUCAGGAGAAACUAUUUUUAAUUUAUCGGAAGAACCAUUGCAUGUCAUUGCCAAGAGGGCCAUUACAUAUCAUCGUCAUUCAAUAUCUGUUGGCGUGCUAGACACAAUGCUAGCAUCGAGGAUAUCAUUAGCAUUCAAUAUAUCCAUUGACAUGCAAGACACAACACUGGCGUCGAGGAUAUCAUCAUCAUAUAAUAUCUAUUAACGCGCUAGACACAACGCAGGCAUUGAGGAUAUCAUCAACAUUCAAUAUAUCUGUUGACACGCAAGACACAAUGCUAGCGUCGAGAAUAUUAUCAUCAUUCAAUAUCUAUUGACGAUCUAGAUACAACGCUGGCGUCGAGGAUAUUAUCAGCAUUCAAUAUAUCUGUUGACACGCAAGACACAAUGCUGGCGUCGAAGAUAUCAUCAUCAUUCAAUAUAUGUUGACGCGCUAGACACAACGCUAGCGUCGAGGAUAUCAUCAUUAAUAUAUAACUAUUGACACGUAAGACACAACACUGGCAUUGAGGAUACCAUCAUGAUGCAAUAGCUGUUGACAUGCAAGACAUAACUCUGGCGUCGAGGCUAUCAUCAUCAUGCAAUAUUUGUUGACGCGGAAGACACAAUGCUAGUGUCGAGGAUAUCAUCAGCAUUCAAUAUAUCUGUUGACACGUAAGACACAACACUGGCAUCGAGGAUAUCAUCAUCAUUCAAUAUAUCUGUUGAUACGUAAGACACAACGUUGGCGUCGAGGAUAUCAUCAUCAUUUUAUUUCUGUUGACAUGCAAGACAUAAACACUAGCGUCGAGGAUAUCUUAUCAUUUUAUGAAUCAGCAUCCGAAUGCAUCAAGAGCACAUGAUUUGAAGGGACGCCUUUAAGUCGCUAUCUAAGGAUGAAUGAUAUAUAAGAUUUCCUAGAAAUUUACAAUUUGAGGGUCAUCUAUAAGUUAUAUUAUUUGAAAUAUGAUAGUGUACAAGAUCACCUAUGAGUUGAUAGCCGGUAGGUCAUCCGUAAGCCACAACAAAAUUCUAACCGGAUAGUGUGCAAGAUCGCCCAAAAAUUGAUAGUUCAAAGGUUAUCCAUAAGUCGCAACUAAAUCCUUACCAGAGAAUAUGCAAGAUUAUCAAAUGGAUACAUCCAAGGGUUCUCUAUAAGCCGUGUCAUAUCCAAGUUCGAUUAUAUGCAGGAUUACCCAAAGACUAACAAUUUGAGGGAUUAUCUAUAAGUCAUAUUAUAUCCUAGGUCGGAUGAUGUGCAGGAACACCUGAAAUCUAGCGAUUGGAGGGAUAUAUGUAAGCCAUCUCUUAUUUAAAGUCGGACAAUGUGCAGGAUUACCUAAAAGCUAGAAAUCAAAAGGAUAUCUGUAAGUCGCCUCGUAUCCAACAUCAAAUAAUGUGUAAGAUUAUCUAAAGAUUGAUAAUUUAAAGGAAAUUUAUAAAUCGAUCAUCGGCUAUAACUGGAGAGGUUAUCAUUCCACAUGCAACAAAUGAUAUAGGUACCCAAAGGGUUGCCACACCAGCACGCCAUUGUCCAAAAGGGCCACCCACUUUGAAGACAUAUUCAACCGACAAAUGUCAUAAUUAUACAACAACCAAGAGGGUUGUUGUGUUUGGUAUUGUCGGUUAUUUCAUUCCAAACAGGUACAUGAAGAGAUGACUCCACUUUUCAGGCCACAACUCACGUGGAGAUAUGGUAAAAGACUGCAUGCCUCUUUCGUGAAUUAUGUUUAGCACUAAAAAUUUUUGCUUGAAGCAUUGUCGAGGGCAUCCGUGAGGAUGAAAAUCUUAAAUCAAAACCACAGGUACGGAUGACUUCAAAUAGGAUGCAAUACCCGAAUCCAACCCGUUUUCUUUUUCCUCGUUAUGAUCACGCACGUUCCACAUGAAUCCAUACGAGAAGAUGCUAAGAAUAUUCUAGAAACACACUUAGGUGUCUCAUCCAACGUUCAAAUCUCAAAAUUCUCGCAUAGAGGUUUACGAAUUCGUACAUAGGUGGAGUAUUUUCAUUGGCUUGUGAAGAUUAUUCCCUUUCCACCAAUUUCUAUUGGCCACUUUUUGGAAUUCCGUUCAAGAAAAUCAAAAUAGAGGUAUAGUUUGUUAGGGUCCAGAUCUUUUUAAUUUAAAAAAUGAACCCUCAAUCCCCUUCUAUAAGUAGCUCUCUUUAGAGCAAGAAAAAGGGAUUUUUUAGGGGAUUUUGGAAUUUUUUUUCACUGGCAACUCCUUUCCUUUGUGGGUUUUCCUCUUCUUUCUCUUUGGAGUUUGAAAUUUUAGAAGCAAAAGGGGUUCAAAAGUUUUUAUUUGAAAAUUUGGGGUUAGAGAAAAUAUUCAAAAAUUCAGAAAUACACAAAAAAAAGAGGGUUAGAAAGGGGGGCUCUCAGAGGGAAAAAAUAUUCUCUUUACGCCCAAGAAACAUACAUUUUUAGGAGGUGCGUCUGAACUGUCGAAGCAGUUGUGAGUUUUUCGGUGGUUGGAAUCCUAUCGUCAGCUCGUUAUACCAUUUUGCUGCCCCGAAAGAGGUAAAUACACCUUUCUUUUUAAUUUUGUUGUGGUUAUCAUUUUCUUCUUCGUGGUUCCACUUCUGUUUGCUGGGAAUGACUGCUGUAGAGGCCUGAAAGGCAUAGGAUUUUCAUUUUUGAUAUAUUGUUCUACUAAAAAACUCAUUCUUGAUCAUGUUUGAUUGGUUGUCGUUCAUUCUUAAUCUCUCUCAUUUUAUUCUGUCUGAAUGUUACUAGUUAGCUUUAAUGCUUCAACUUUAGAAACUAUUUUACUGGUCUCAUAUUUGUUGUUGCUUUGUAGUUCAUAGAGUAGGAGAGUAACAUAUUUACGUAUUUUCGAAAUUCGAAAAAAUGUUCAAAGAAUAGAUAUUAGGCAGCCUGUUUGCAUAUCUUUUUCGCUCAGACGUAGGAAAUUGUUAUAAAUAAGAACUCCAAUGUUAUUUUCUACCGACUUGCCACUCUCGAUGUACGAUAGUCUCAUUUGAUUCUAAAGUUUAUUUUAAAAUAUGAGAGUGGACCAUAGGUCUGAAUUAUGUUUUCUUCAUGGCUAAUUCAAUUUGCUGUAAUUGACUCAUGAGAACAAAUUAAAGUUUGACGGGCUAAUGUUUCUUUCCUUUCUUGCUUUUCUUGUUCGGAUAUAAGCUGUGGCAUCUUGUCUUAUGAUUAAAUUACCUAAAAUUAGGUUUAUGUAGUGUUAGAAUCUCAUUUGUUUGUUAACCCAGUGGUAACGAAGGUAUUAAGAUUUCAGCCUUGCUUUUCUUGAAGUUUCAGCUAUCGUAUUCCUUGCCUAAAGUGAUUAAGUCUUUAAUUUUGUAUGUUUGGCAUUCUGGAAUUUGAAAGUUGCUUGUGAUCUAUCGUUUAUGUAGUAUGAUCUAGGAUUUGUAACUCUUUUUUGUGACAUGCUUAAUUGGGUCCUUUUGUGGCAUUAAAGUGAUAAAUUAUUUUCUUUAUUUUGCUAAAGACCAUAAGAAUUUCUUGUUGAAGCUUUAUUUCCUCCUGUAGUUGAAAUUUCUUUAAUUGAUUAUUAACAUUUUCUUCAAACAUAAUAGACUUUUUAUCCUAUGGCAUUUUUACCUGUGUAUGAGUGUAUUUGAAUGAAGAAGGAAUGCUAUAGCUUAUUAUAUGUUAAAAUCUUGGACGUAUGUUAAUUUCUUCAUUCCUUUCUUUACAUGUUCAUUCCUUUCUUUACAUGCACCCCCUUUGGAGUUCAAAUGGACCCCUUCUCUCUUUGCAUUUCAUAAAUGGGCCAAUGAGGCCUAUCCUUCUGAGUUAAACCCAAAAGAAAAUCCAAGAAUCCAUCACAUGGCGUAUGGAUACAAGGAAUCGAAAUAAGAAUGGGUUAAAGUUCAAUCUUUGAAGCGGCAAAGGGGACUUGAAAAUCUCGUUAUUUCUUAUUUAUUGAUUUAUUUAUCCAUUGUUUUCAUUAUUUAUUUAUUUAUUUACUUAUUUAUAUUUUUUUUUAUUUAGUGACUUAUUUAUUUAUUCAUUCGGGCCUCGAAGCCAAAGUUGUAAAUUUAAAACAGGUGGAGCGAGACUCGAGCUGAAAAGGGCUCAAAAACAUAAAAUUAAGACAGGUGAAAGAUGGGUCAAAAACCUAACUAGAUUAGGACAGGAUCGACUGUUUGGGCUUGAAAGCCUAAAUCACUACUUCCCCCCUUUCCCUUUUUUCUAUUUGCUUACUUGUUUUACGUGUGUUUUGCGAACCUAGUAAAAUCCUUAGUCAAGUCGCUAAAAAAAUUGGUUUUGCAUAAACACCAAAAUAUUCCUAAAAUUGCUUUUCUUUUCAAAAAAUACACUUUUUCAAAGUUAAUCAAAAGAUGAUUUUCAAACAGUCCGGAUAACCGCAAGUUAGCGGACAUUUUAGGUGCCUAAUACCUUCCUAAAACGUUAAUAGGAACCGCUUAUCUUGAAUCUCUAACUUAAAACGAUUUUUUUGUUUUGAAUCGUUUGCAGUAACUCUCUAAAGGUUUCUUAUUUCCUUUUCAAAAUUAAGUGGCGACUCUCAAAAAGUCAAAAUUUCCACAAAAAAAUAUCAACCACAAUCACAUCCACACAUCUACUACCCCCACCCGAAAGUAGUAGAAGAAUAAGGGUUUGUAGUAAUUCAAGUACCUUAUCCUCUUGACGCUUGCACUUCUUCUCUUUUAGUUCAUUAACAAAUUUGUUAAAUAUUUCAAGCAGCAAGCCCUCACCACCCAUUAUUCUGUAAAAUAAUAACAGCAAAGAAAUUCACAUUCAAUGUUACGGCAUAAUGAGAAUCAUGAGAUUAUGAAUAAAAAAGUAAAAAUCCAGAGCAUUUCAUUUUAUAGACAAAGAGGCUAGACAAAUUGAAACUAGAGAUUUAGCAGCAUACUUCAUCAGAACCGUGAAACAAUCACAAAUGCCAGCAAUUAAAAAACUAAAACAAUCACAAAUGUCAGAAAUUUAAAAAACUAACUGCUAGAGCUAUUAAACGCCCAGUGUUGGAACAACUAAUAAUUGACAUCAACCAAUUUCUAGAGGGAUAAGUUCAACAUUAAAAAUCACUUAGCAAAAUGGUAAUUCAUGCUAAUACUAUAAAGAAAUAGCCUACCUAAAUGUUGAGGAAUAUAAAACAACAAAUCAUUCAACACAGCUAUUAUUCUAAGGUACAUUCUAGAACUAUGUGAAUUGCUGAGUUUAGAAUAUUGAAGGAGUUGGUCCUUGAAAAUAAUAUCAAUUAUCAUUCUCCAAUAGUCCUUGCAAUCGUGUUACGAAUUCUAGAUCAAUAAAAGCAAAAGAAGCUACUUGCCUAUCUCUGAAGAGGGAUUUCCAGUCCUCCCAUUUCGACGAUGCAGUAAUUUCCUGCAACCAUAGCAAACAAAUAGAUUAUGGUUUAAAGGAAAUAUCAUGGGAUCCCAUCCAUUGCAAUGUGAGAGAUUGUGAACUGUUUUCUAUAUCUUUGAUGCAUGAAGGAGUUCAUAGAACUCAUCUGCUAGACGUUUACGCUUUUUAGCUUCUUUUUCUUCUUUCUCCCUGGCCCUUUCCAGUAACUCCUCAAAGACAAACUAUGCAGAUGAAAUAUGCACAUUCAAUACUCAAUGACUCGACAAGCCCAAACGCGUAGAACAUAAAGUUUAUAAAGGAAGUAUGGAAUAAGAUUCAGUAUAAUCCAUGUAUGUCCUCUUAUUCCUUCGUUUGAAAGGCAAGGGUGAUAUAAUGUAAGACUAUUAUUACCAUCUUUUGGAGUAACUCCUCGCAUUAUAAUAUUUGAUAAAAUGCUUUAAAAUAGUUUUGAGCUAUUGAAAGUAAACUAAAAGCCUUAAGAGACCCAACCGUCUAAGCAUAAUUCUUCGACAAGAUACCCCUUGCAAUUCCCUCUUCCCACAUACAUAGAUUAUACGCCAUGACCAUAAAUAAACUCCAAAAUUGAAAUGAUAUAUGAAGAAUAUCCUCAUUACAAAAAAAGAAAAUGAUCGUUGAUAUCAUCCAUUUAUGCUGUUUAACCACUUUCGCAGAGUAAAACUCUUAUCCACUAACCGUAAAAAUAGAAAACUACAACGCAAAUUGCUUUGAAUUAAGCAACUUAAGAUAUGUGCGGUAGGUGUAAUAUUAAACACCGCCAUCCAGGAAAUAAAAAGUAAGGAAAAUGGUACCAAAACUAAAGAAUUGGAAGAAAAAGAUAACACCAAAUAUUUGAUCAAUGUGGUCCUCGUCUUUAUUCUUGAAGGUUUCAGGCUUACUUGCUAACCGACACACUACUCUUCUAUUAACUCCAUUACUAGAAGAUCCAGAUUUAAUGUGGGAUAGGUUAUGGUUGAUACUAAAGGAAAAUUCCACUAACCACAGUUGACUACCUACGAUUUGCCAAUUUAGCAAUCACAAACUGACCGACUUCCAGUGAAACAUAACAUGGAAGUACUACUAAUGCUUUUGCACUCAAUCCACUCAUCUUAUGCAGGACCUGUCCCAAAGACAAAAAGGGGACAAAUACAUAAAAAUCCAUUUAACGAAUGGGGUACUUCAAUUUUCACAACAUUCAAUUCAACAUAGGUCGAUGUGAAACAGUAUACAGUGCUUAUCCAUAAUUAGACCUUUAAGUUGGUAUCUGACAUUGGUGGAGAGCUAAUAUACUUGGCGAUUGCAACCUUAAAAUCAUCAAGCAUCCAGGCUAAUGUCAAUCCAAUCUGAAAGUAGACAUGGCUCAGCCAAAAUAUUAGGUACUAACCAAAGCACAACAGAGGUUAAAAUGAAGAGUGGUGAUUACCUCGGCCAUCCUAACUGCAUCUUUAAUUUGUGACUUGUCAUCAAGAUACUGAAGCAACAUACAAGUAACACAAAUUCAGAAUGCUUAUCAGUAACAAAAAUAGGAUACCAAAUGGAGCUUUGUCCAUGCAUUUGAGUUACCAUAAAGUCUAUAAAUUACAAGCAGGGUGAUGGGGAUGAAAUUUCUUUCAUGAAUACCAACAUUUCUCCACUUGUUCAAAGUCAUCUACAAUNNNNNNNNNNNNNNNNNNNNNNNNNNNNNNNNNNNNNNNNNNNNNNNNNNNNNNNNNNNNNNNNNNNNNNNNNAAAAAUGGAUAGCAUCUCUGUUAACAGCGCUUUCAUUAUAUUUACUUAAUAAGAAUCAUUUAUGCACACAAACAGUAAUACAAACUUUAAAGAUAGAAGUUGACAUCAUUAUCUGACAAGGGAAAAAGAAAAAAUAUUCAGCAUCUGAGUUUAUGUAUAACUCUCAACAUCCCAUAGCAAGAGCCUAACUCAAGAAAACAUUUCCAAAUCCAAUCAUUGAAUAAGAGUACGAACAGGAUCAUUAUCAUGCUAGGAUACCAGGUAAACUCCCUCUUUCAUCAAGCAAGGAGAUAAAUGCUAAUAAAAUUUGAUCAUUCAACUUCAAUUCUUUUCAGAAAGGGCAGAGGAUGAAACAAUAUAUCGUUUAGUUAGUCGCAAUGGUGUAUUACGGCCAAAAAAAUCAUAGUGAGGGAGAUGCAACUUUAUUUAGAGAAACAGAGAUGCUCUCAGGCACUUUUUCCGAGGCUAAUCUUUUCUAAGCCUUUACUUUCAUUACAUCUCAACUACCUCUUCAGAGGCGAAUUCUGGCACUAAGUUUUUUUAGUCUAAGCUAUAUGGUUGACAACACAAUAUAUUUUGAAUUGGGUUUUAAGUUGCAUGAUAUCAUCCGAAGUGAAAUCAAAACUGGGGUGUGGUACAAAUGGACAAAACAUGGCCAAAACUUGACCAGACAAACUACUUUCAGGUCUCAUUUGUUUGCACUUAUUGGAUUUAUGAACCUGUUCAGACCUCAAACCAUUAAGUGCAUUUGUUUUUAUUAGGAUUUUAGCUCUUAAUAGGUCUGAGUAGGUCUUAAUCAUUCAUAUGUGGAACCAAGUCUAAAUAUCAUUUACAGAUAUUCUUGUGUAGGAUAAAAUUCACCACCACUUUAUCCACAAUCACCUGGCACCACCACCAACCACUUCCACCAUCACAACCAACAUCACUACCAACUACACUACCAGCCGCUACCACACCUACCACUUCCAUUAUUCUAAUUAUAUCCACCUCCAACUAGGGGUGUUCAAGGUUUGGUUUUUAACACAACUUAACCGCGAUACAAACAAAACCGAUUAAAAAAAACUAUAUUUGGUUAGGUUUGGUUUGGAUUUGAAUUUUAAAAGACCGAUACUAAUUUGAUUUGGUUUGGUUUGGUCUUACUCUAAAAUAACCAACAAAAUAACCAAAACGAACCAAUAUACAUAUAUAUUAUAAUUAUUUAUAUGUUUUUCAUAAAUGUAAUCUAAAUAUUUGUUACAUUUUAUAUUUUAAUCAUGAUUUAACUUUAGUCGUAACACAUUCAGUCAUGUGUCUUCAUCUAGUUGACAAUACAUUAUGAGAUUCUAAAUGAAUUUCAUAUUUUGAAUGACAAAUGAUACUAAUUGUGAAAGUAAUAUCUUGUUAUAUAUUGAAAUUUACAGCUGAAAUUUAUUAGACUAUACACAAUCACUAAUUUUAACUUUCUUUUGAACCUUGUUGAGCAAGAAGUUUAUGUGUUCACCUUUUGGGGGUUUAUCAUAUCAUUCUAUUAAAUAUAGUUUUAAAAUAUUUUUUAAAAGCGUUCAUAUGGUGUUAUCAUGGCUUUGCCGAAGUAUAACACUCAGUUGACAUCAUAGUUUCAAGAUUGAGAUACAACACUUGGUUGACAUCUCAUAUGUUAGAUUUGAUUUGUUUUUUAAAAAUUUCAACAUAUAUCAUUAACUAAAGUUAUAAACUAAAAAACCCGAAUCAAACCAAACUAAACCGACAAGAACCAAACCGAUGGUUAUUUUUUUGUUUGGUUUGGUUUGGUUUUAGAAAUUUAAAAACCAAUUAAUUUGGUUUGGUUAUGGUUUUGACCACUAACCGACCCAUAUUGACCCAUGAACACCCCUACCGCCAACGUCGCCACCAUCAACUGCUACCAGUUGAUCCCUGCUACCGACCAACUCAUCUAUCAGAACUACCACUACCACUAAUAACCACCUACACAUCAUCAACUUCCACACAUCACUAACAACCACUAACACAUCAUCAACUUCCACACAUUCUUCGGACACCAUCACCACCACUGUCACCGGCGUCACCACCUCUACCACCAGCAUCCGCUACACUCGCUACAGUAUCUGUACUAACAACCAUUCAACCAUCACAGCUAACAGUGUCUCCAACAACCACCAACACAUCGUCAACCAUCAUGCAUACAGUUUUUCAUCACCACGAUCAACACCUUCAACUACUAACAUUAACCAACUUCACAUCACAACCACCACCACCACUACCAAUCGCCAAUAUUAUGACAGUAACUACAAUUCCAACUAUCUCUACUAUCACAACUAUUAUCACCAACAUUGCUAAUCACUAACAUCAAUUAAUUUAUUACAACCACCACCACCAUUACAAACCAUCUCCACUAUCACUAAUAAACAUAAAUGUUUCCUUUUUUAAUCAAAUAAUAAUUUUAUUGCAUUAAAUUAAAAAAAUUUCUAAUAAAUAAUUAAAUUAUAUUUAGAAAUAAAUAAAUUUUGCAUAUUCAGAUAUUGAGAAACACCCAACCUUAAUCAUUUAGUUUUCAGAUCUAGAGACAAUAUCUUAACCAUUCAGAUGUGCAUUCAAAAUGAUUCAAAUGUCUAAAUAUUAAUAAAAACAAAUGCAGUCUUAGCUGAAACACAAUAGUGUGGUUGUGUGAUACUUUAAAGGAAUCCUCGAAAGUCAAAGAAACUACAUGAAAACAUGGAAGUUUGAUGAUCACUUCUCAGAGUUGUUCUGCUCGAGAAACUAUAACAAUUAAGGUAACAUAACCAUUAACAGCAUUCAACGGAGGAGAAGUCAAUUACAUAUGUCUGUGAAGUAGUAUUUAAUAUAGCUUGGCUAGAUUGAAAGAAUCAUCUAUAUCUAUACUACAUUAAAAGCAUGGAACCCCUAACUUAAAAGUUUACGACAAUAUGAUUCCUAUCAGCAUAAAUACGUACUAUCUAGUAAAAAAAAAGAGGAAACUAAUUGGCAUAAAGAGAAACAACACAGAUGUUUAAUAGGAACAACCGAUCAUUGUUCUUAUCUCAACAAAAUAUGUGUUAUUUAAAAAAAAAAAAAGCAAGCAGAGGGGUAACUCUCAAAUCUCAAUCUCAUGCUUUUAUCCUACCAAGUAUGUUCUAUUCUUUAAUGCACAACAACAACAACAACAACAACAACAAACCCAGUAUAUUCCCACAUAGUAAUGCACUAACUUACUUUUUUACCCAAUGAAUUGAACUUUUUAGUGAGGAUCUAAAUGAUUUUCAGACUUUGUUUAACAUCUGAUUCAUUAAGAUAUAUUAACAGGUUGAAUCUUUUUUUAAAAAAAGCACUUAAUAGGCUGAUAUCUGAACCAUUCAGAUCCAAACCUUCAUUAAGUGAAAGCAAAUGAAAAGGGAUUGUAGUGUAAAGUCUAUAAAUAUGGGUUAGUGUAACAAAUGUAGUUGACACAAUUCAAUACUCCUAUUAGCAACCUAUUUCACCUGUUUCUCCAGCUCAUCCAUAACAUCUGUAAAUAAGUAGUACCUGGAAAAUCUCCAAGCGAUUGAUUUUCUCAAGGCAGGAGCAUCUUUCAUCAGUUUCCAAGCGGUCCUGAACUUUCCACCACUGGCUACUAGCCUGAACAAAAGAAGUCAGCAACAAUGGAACUAUGGAAGUUCUAUCUUCUUGAAAUAGAAAAACAUAAUCUAGGAACUGAUGCUAAGACCACUAGAACAAAUACCUUAAUAAAGUCAAAGGAUUUUAAAAAUUCUAAGUACUCCACUCUAUUGCGCUUCUGCUCCUCCAAUGCCUUCGCAUGCUUCUGGUAAAAUCCAGUACAAAGUAAAAAAAAUAAAAUUUCUCUUUAAAGAAAACAAUAUGGACAAAGAGACUGUAACUACACUUUCAUGAAAGUAACGAAAAACUCUUCCUGUUUUACGAUGGAGAGGGGAGAGGAAGAAGCAUAUCAUAGUUUCAAGUUUCAAGAAAAAUUACAUACAAUACAUGGAAGUCUAUUUAUAUUAGAAUUCAAUGGUGAACAAAUUUAAAUCUUGUACCCUUGAGAAGCCAUUAAAAAUGUAUUCAAAGAACACAAGAUUUUAAGUUGAAUAUCUACAACAUUCCUUCUUUCUACUCUUUAAGCAAAACAAAAAAAGGGAACAAACUAAAAGACAUCCUGCAAAGGAAAGGAAUGGAAUGACUGUUGUUAAUCAAGUGGACCAGUGCCAAACUCAACUUCAAAGUCUAGGUCAGGUGGUGAAGAAUGUCCAAGAUCAUAUAAGGAAACUACAGCACAUACACCUUACUAGUGUGGGAUUCUCAUACAUUAAUCGAACACCAAGACUAGACAUUUGUAGCAUCAGUUAACCUAGGUUGGCUAACAUCUAAUAGUCUAACAUCAAGAUAGAUCUGCCUCUAAUACCAUGUUUAAGAAAUUGGACCUUGUUUCUAUCUCAAAUGAAAGGCUAACUUAAUUUGUGAGGAGCCAAAGACCAUAUAAGGAAACUACAAUCCGCACACUUUGUUUUUAACAUAUAGAAGCUUACAAGAAAGUUCUGCAAAAGAAGCAUCAACUUUUUAUCUUAUUCCUCCACAUAAUCUUCAAAAAGGUCCCCACAGUCUUUAGCUCGCUCAACAGCUUUAAAAUGUUCAUCAUGUUCAAAUAUGGAGAUUGCCUUACUGAAUAAUCAAUAGCAAAUAGUUGGUGGAUCAAAUGGAACUUACAUAAGUAAUGGAUCAACUUCAAGGUACCAAAACACAUACAAACAAUGACCAAUAUUAGAAAACAAGCAACAGACAACUUAACAUUACAAGUGAAAGACAAACCUCCAUCUUGAUGAUGGUGACAGCUCCUUGCAAUCCUGUAAGAUUGAGAACAACGGACAUUGUUAUGAAAAAUACCACUUAUUCUUUUGAACAAGUCAAAUACCAGUCACUAACACAUCAUGAAUAUUAUGAUAAUAUCUUUUUAUUUUUGAAACUGGUAAUGUGAAUAUCAUGAUAUAUCAAAUAUAAGACACCCACAAAAGAAAAUUUCACUUACUUUUAAAAUUACCCUGAAAUCUUCCCGAGCUUUUUUCUGUUUAACACGCCUCUCUUCAGCUUCUAGUUUUCUCUUUUGGCUCAAAUACUGGAACAGACACACGACUUCAAAAUGAUCACUAUAGACCUUAGGUGUGUUUGGUAUGAAGGAAAAUGUUUUCCUAGAAAACAAGUUGGUUUCUUACUUGAUUUCUUAUGUUUAGUUGAUGAAAGGAAAAUAUUUUUUAGAAAAUUUUUUCUAGUGUUUGGUUGGUGAAUAAAAAAAUAUUUUUCAGAAAAUACAUUUGAGAGUUGUAUAAAAAUUUCAACUUAAGAGUGAGAUUGAAAGAGAGUUUUGGAAAAUGUUUUUCCUACUUUUGGAAGGGAAUUCAUUUUCCUUAAAUUUAAGAAAAAUAAGUUGAUUUGGAAAACAUUUUCCAAAAUAUUUAAGUCAACCAAACAUGAAACAAUUCAAUAUCAAACACAAUCUAUCUUUUUGCAAUAUGGUAUGCUGAAACAUUGAGGCAACAAUUAACCAUUCCAAUGCCGACUUGGAGAGAUACCUCAUUAAAAGCUUGCUUCUGCUCACAAAGGGAUUUUACAGCACCAUAUCUCCGGUCAUUAAUUACUGCUCUCAUGGCCUGACUAAUACAAUUCAUGUCAAAUGAUCUCCCUCAAUUGUUUGGUACGCACAAAACACUCAAGUAAUAAACCUGAUUCCACAUGCAAUCAGACCCAAUAUUUGCAGAUUCCAAAAGAGUUUUGAAUGUACUCUUUUCCUCCUAAAUAAAAUCAGAUACUUAAAAUAGAAAUAAGAGAAAUUUCGAGAACAUACAUUAAACGAGACAAAAAGCAAUAAUCAACUAUACCGCUUUGCUCUCAUAAACUAAUGGUCCCAGCUCGACUAUUUUCUCAUCUGAUGGAGUAGUACCUCCGAUUUCAGUUAUUACAACAUCUUUCUUGACAUUCUGCAUGUUAGGCACAACAUCAAUCACAAAGGACAAAAGCAAACCUCAUUGGAAUUUGUAGCAUAUUCUUCACCUGUUAGCAGUUGACUAACAACUACACUACAAAAUUGUUGGAUCAACAUCCAGCAUAACAGCUAUGAAAAGCUUUCUUGGUGUUUUAACCAGUAACCAGUAGUAAUUAACUAAUUGCAUAAGUAUUUCAGAAGGACAAAGUACCUCUCUAUUCUUCGAAGAAAAUCCAUCACCAUACACUACUGUAACUUGAGUUGUAGUAGUCUCAAAACUACAGAAAAAUUGAAUUCCAAAUAAGAAGCAACAUAAACCAGAGGCAAAUUUAUAACAUAUAAAUCUGAAAACAUGCACCGGUGGCGCGACAGAAUUUCCCAAGGUUACUGCUAUUCCAAUUUUCUCUGAAUUAGCAACAGCUGGCAAAGCAGGUUCUGAAGAAUUCUUCAUUUCAACUGUUCCAAUCAUCGGAGAAGAAACAUUACCAGAUAAACUUGAUGAUUCUAAAGCCACAAUAGUUGGUAAGUUAGCAGCUGGUGACACAGCAAUUGGGCUUGAUUUAGCAUCGUGUGCCGAGACUAAUAAACCAUCUGCACCCGGGGAUGAUGUUUUAACAACAGAAAUGGAUCCAAAAUCAGAAGCGUGCAAAUUCUCUCCAGGACUUGUAAAUUCUCUCCAGUAAGUUGAUGCGUCUGCCUUCUGUCCCAAUGAAAACUGAAUAAAAGUAGGUUAAGUCAAAAAAUAGAACAUAAACAGUACCCUGAGAGUAGAAAUCAAUAACUUCCAGCAGUACAAUACUGGAUGGAAGUGUUAGAAUAUGAAUGAUAUAAUGUCCCACAUAAAAAAGGACUAGCAUGUACUGUGUAGAAUAUAACUACAAGCAGGGUGGAAACAUUGCCAAGCUGCGGCUGAGCUACAACUAUCCAAGGGUGAUCAACUCAACAACAUUCGCUUGAUAAUCGUAUUUUGUAUAUAUAUAUAUAUAUAUAUAUAGGUCAAAUUCUGUCGUUUCUAAGUAUUUUUUAAUGAACACCCUCGCCACAAAAAACAAGACGGAGUGUGACAGUAAGGGUGUUCAAAUCUUGCAAUGAGGUUCUAAGUUCCAUACUCAACACAGCCCCCCCAUAAUUUUUUUUUUCAUUUGGACACGUUUGAAACUCAUAAACUACAGUUAUGCUUUUUUUGAUGAAUCAAUUUCUGAACAUGUGUUUUUUGUCCCAAUUAGCUCUUACAAAAGAGCUAGUAACUAGCAUGCCAGGUAUCAGAAUUUUGUUAAAAUAAACUUAAAGGUAAAUUUAUAAAGUGGUUGUUAUACUAGCUAUCUUGCAUGGGGCAGAGUGUUUGGCUGGUCAAGAGCUCGCAUGUUCGAAAGAUAAACGUAGAAGAAAUGAGGAUGUUGAGAUUGGUGUGUGGGCAUACUAGGAGAGAUAGAAUAAGGAACAAAGAUAUGCGAGAAAAAGUGGUAGUGCUCUCUGUGGUGGACAAUUAACAAGAAGACUAGAGGGUUGGGGAUAAAGAACCUAAAAAUUCAAAGUAAGGCUCUCGUGAUGUAAUGGUUUUGGAAAUAUGCAAACAAUAACCAGCUGCUAUGGAGGAAAGUGAUUGGGACUAAAUAUCCUGAAGAAGAUAGAUGGAUAAAUAAAGAAUUGACCACACCAUACGGGAUUAUCCUCUAGAGAUCUAUUAGACAAUAGUGGAAUGAAGUUAAAAGAAACUCAAAGGUUAAAGUGAUGGAUGGAAACAAGACUAGGUUCUGGAAGGAUAAUUGACAUGAGGAUGGGAAUAUGGAAGUUAUUUUUCCUGAUAUCUACAACUUGGUAUUGCUUCAAUAGAGGACUAUAGCAGAAUUAUGGACACCACAUGGGUGGAACUUCAAUUUCAGAAGGCAACUUAAUGAACGGGAGGUAAUGAGAGUAGUUGAAUUUUUUAAUACCAUGGACUUAUUCAAUGGACUGCAAACAGUGAAGGAUGUACUAUGGUGGAUGGGAAAUGAAAAAGGAAUGUUCAGUGUCAACAAAGCCUACAAGAUAAUGAACCAAAUAAAUCACCCAGAUCCAAGAUGGCCAUGGAAGAAAAUAUGGAAAAGUAGGAUACCUCACACAGUGUCGUGCUUUGUCUUUGUCUGGUUACUAACCAAGGAAGUAGUUCUUACACAAGAUAAUGUCAUGAAGAAAGGAAAAACCUUGUGCUCCAUAUGUUUCCUCUGUGGAGAAACUUAGUGAUGGUUAACCAUGUAUUUCUACAUUGUAAGUACACCCAACAACUUUGGAGAAUCGUCUCAAGACUAAAAGGCAUUUCCAGGACAAUGCCUAGGAAAGUAUCCAAGACUUUAAUAUGCUGGGAGAACCAGGUGUACAUGCGAAGAACAGAGGUAGAUGGAGAAUUAUCCCUGGUGCUAUAUGGUGGGCUAUAUGGAAAGAAAGGAAUUCUAGAUGUUUUGAAAGCAUAGAGAAUAGUGUGCAGAAGGUUAAACUCAAUUGCAAUUUUGCUUUUAUGUUUUUAGUGUAAUCAACUAUACUCUAAUGAUAUUACCUCGAUAAUUGAUGUUCUAGACUAAAUUUAGAGAUAGAACAGUUGAUUUUGGAGUACUCUUGUAUAUAAAGGUUUCAGUACAACCCAUGUACUGUGUGAUAUAAUACAAAGUUGCCAAGUUCAAAAAAAAAGAUAAUAAUUUUUCAAGUACUAAAAGUUUAUAAAAUAACAAAUAAAGCAAUUAAAUCUGAGUUCAAAUUAGGUGGGUUGGGUUAUGACCCGAAUUUUAGAGCAUUUCAACCCAACUCGUUUCAGCCCAAGUAGCUUUAGGGCGGGUUAAUAACCCGCCCAUUUAUUAACUCAGACCUCUUUGAUCCGCCCAAAUCCAGCCAACCCCGCCCAUUCGACACCUUUAUUUUAAAAGAAGUAAAGUGGACCAUGCCAGAACACAUACCAGAUCUAUUGAGUUGAAGUAAAGUGGACUAUCAAAGGACACACAACAAUCUGUUGAGUUGUUGGAUUAGUGGGGAUUAAAAAGAGUGAGAAGAAACGGGGGAGAACAAUCCUUCCUUGUAUUUGGUGGACUGUAUGGAGCGAGAAAAUUUGAAGGUAUUUUGAAGAUAAAUAUAAUUCCAUUCAGAAAGUUAAAUGAAAUAACAUUGUAGAUUUUUGUUUAUUGUUUAAGGGCCAAUGUGUACAGGAUGCAUAACAGGUAGUAGAUCUCUUCGAAUCCUAGCAUUAUUUUCAUUAUUUUUCAUUUCUUUUGGACUGUUAGCAUAAUCUUAACGCUGACGAAUACAAAGUAAUAUCUCUGAAAAAAAACUGUUUAUCUGAAAAAAAAAAGGAAUAAAAAUGUUCAAACUUCCUUACAGCUCCAGUUGUUGGUCCCUUAAUACUUGUCCCUCACAACCAGCCAAACUUUCUUUGAUAACCGUCAUGUUUGGGCCAGCUUGCACCUUGACUAGUUACACCAGGUACUGCUACCUCCCACCAGCACAGAUACUAGGUAACUCUGUCCAUCAAGGCUUGGACAGACGGUAAGAAAUCACCUAGUGUUUUUAUCUCUGUUGGAAAUUAAACCUGAGACCUCAUGGUUCUCAAUCUACUUCAUUGACCACUAUGUCACACUUUUGGGUGCAAGUGUGCAACCAGCCAAACUAUUAUUCUGUAAACCAGAAUGAGAAGUGUCAACCACAAUAUUAUAUCAAGUUUCCUCUCUCCAUAUCAUCAUUGAGUUACAAUAACAUUACAUUAAUCAGAAAGUAAAUAAAAUUGUUUAAAAUAGACCAAAUAUAAUCCUGUCGUGUAUGCUUAAACACAUUUUUUAGAACAAUAGUGUUAAAUAUAAAAUCUUUUAGAACUAUAUUAGAAAUAAAAGGUCAAUGCAAAUCCCAAAUGAAGCCUACAUAGUAUAGUAAGAUCGAGGAAAUUUGCUCGCUAAACAAAUUUUCAACAGAAAUCACAUAUACUUAGGAAAGAAAAAGAGUUUCUGCGAAGCUUCAUAGAAAAAGAAUCAUGUACUUCUUUUUCAUUGAUAAGCACAGGAAACUGGAUAAAACUACCCAUAAAAAUCUCGAUGACAUGAGACCUCACCUCCAUUUCUGUCAUUAUCUCUCGAGGUUUCUCCCAGGUAGAGAUUCUUGUCCUUCUAUUAUAAUAGUAUCUAAAAAUCAAUUCAAGAAUUGUAAGAAUGUUACUAAUUGGUUGGAGUAAUAAAGCCAUAGGAAAUAUGACAACAUUAGCAACCAUAACUGGCCUACUGAUCAUCAAAAGAUGCUGAAAAUAGCAAUACCUACUAGCAUUUAGACACAUGUAAAUAUGUAUGAUAAUAGAGAAAUGGGGUCAAAAUGAAGUUAUCGGUAGUGGUGUAUCAAGUUCUGCUGAUCAACAGUCAGGUAGAAUUUGGUAGCGGUGAACGGCAGCCCAUAUGAUAACUUUGACAAAGAGGACUGAAACAAAUGGGCCUAUUAUCUCCAGUGCUAAUGGAAGCAGAAUGAUGUACAAAGCACUAGAUGUGGAUACUUGAGGAUUUCUUGGCAGUGAUGGGGGCCAACAUAUCCACCACUUGUUCAUAGACAAGAAAUUAAGUGUUUGUCCAAAUCGGCAUGCUCUUUUUUCUGGAGAACACAAAGUGGUAAAAAGAUUGGAUCUAAAUGAAAAUGAUUGCAGAGCUCCUUUUCUUGUAUACUGUGGUUUUACACCUUUCUUGUUCACUGGAAUCUUAAUUUGCUUACAAAAAACUAUCAUAGAAUUCAAAUGUUGACACUCUCAGUCAACACACACCCAUUAACCCAUUAACUUAAGUAUGUUACUUGUUGACAACAUUUAUGCAAAACGGGUACAAUAAAACACAUUGAAUUCUUACUGGAAUAACCAAGGGAGUUGUUAAUUCUCCAGUCUUCUACAUAGUUGUCGCAGAAUUCACAUUAUGAUUAAUUAGUGGCAUCCAGGGUUAUACCCCUGAUGGAAACGUAUGAUUAUUUAUCUGUGUCUGAUACUGGGAGCCAGAAGAAUCAACAUUUACCUGCUGUUAAAGACGAUAACAAAAUGUAUUUCAUCAAUAUAUGAAUGGAACAUCGGAAACUUAUUGACAAUAACCAAAAAAGAUCUUCCCAAGGCCUUACAUUAUAUGAAGAAGAAACAGGUAAAUUUGGGGCACCAGAACCAGGCAUGUGGUUAUUUGACAUCGGAAGAUUUCGCUGAAAAUCAUGGGGAAUAGGUGGUCCCUAAGGAAUACUAUGCUUUCCUACUACAGGUCUACCAGUAACCUAUUGCAUAGGUUGAGGAAAUUGGAUUUGAGAAGGUUGAGACAUCGCAACAUUUGAAUGUCCAAGUGGCAGAAAUUAUUAAGAUGACCCGGAACCAUAAGGUUGUGCCUGUGGGCUGGAAGCAUAGGCUGAAACUGCUAAAGAUGUGGGGAAAAUAGUUAUCAUAAUGUCUCUACAUUCAAAAGUCAUUUAUACCUCCCCCGAGCCUCCACAACUUUACCUGCAAUGACAUGGAUGGAAUAGCACCAGGAGCAGGACCAGCCAGAGGAGGUAUAGGAGGCUUCUCAACCAAUAUCCAUGCAAGGAAGAACAAAUGAAAUCAGAAUUUAGCUACUUUUCAAUCAUAUUUAGUUAAUUUUCUAAUCAAUGUCGAAAGAUUGUAUCCAUGCGCAACUCCCUAAAUUAAUUUGAAAGACAAGGAAAGAAUUUUGAAGCCAAACCACAUAGUAACAUGAAACCAUUUUCUUCAUCUAAUAAAUAGAAAGCUUGAAACGAGAAUAAAGAGAGAUAGGAAAUAGAUGACCUAUCAUAGCGUUAGAAGAGAAUGGACAAAAUGAUAAGCAUCUUUACCUUAUGGCUUGGGUUCAACAUCUACUGAUGGUCUAAGUAUCUUUUCUUCGGGUGUAAAGAAGCACGUCUGUUAAUGCAAAACUAUGAUCAUGGAACUGAAACAUGAGGUAUGAGUAGGUAUUAGAAUAACUGAAAAAUACUGAGACCAGAAUGGGUUGAGCCUCACUCUUCCCUUCUGAUGUUCUAUGUCAUACUGACAUCACUACUAGAAUCUGAAAGCCUGACUUAGUUAUUCGCUCUAUCAUCUCCCCCUUAGCUUCAAGUCAUCAUAUUAAGUUUAGGAGAUCCCUUACUAGACUCUAAACUGAAGUACACUCACUGCAAUCUGGGGUUUGAAAAACUACUAUACACGCAUAUCAUGGCACUUAACCCAAAUGACUACACCUAAAAGUUGAAAACCCACUGUUAAUACUACCUUCUGAGAUACACUUUAUCAUUCUAUAGACCCAGUAGUCAUCAUAUAAUACUUGCAUACUUCUAACUUUGGGUCUUCAUAGGUAUCCCCAUAGUCGGAGUGCACACCCUCUAGUGCUUUAACUCUUAUUUCUAUUAGUUCAACCUUCAAAAACUCAAACUUAGAAUCUAGCUCUCAACAUGGAUAUCACUAAGACUUCAAUGAAUCAUACUACUUCCGACAUAGCCUACCAAUAUCGCGACUCCAAACUUACAUCUCUCUACUAUGAGAACUAAGAUCAUAUAAAAAGUCUCAACACUAUCAAUCAAACUCCUUAACUUGGCUAUUUAGAACGCCAUAUACCAUCUAACUAGUCUUUCUCCACCUAGCAACUCAACGGUACCACUCAUCACACAAAACGUGUAAUAGUCUUAGAAAAUACCGCAACCCCAGAUCACCUUGGGUAUACUUCUACAUUAUAUAUGCAACAUCAUACUUCACUACGAAUCAAAUAAACUUAAGCUCUUGCAUAUAUCUUUCAAUCCUAUUAGAUUACUUUCAUAAAACUAGUAUCAUUAACCAAGAAAUCAUCACAUCCACCUUCAUGGACAUCAAUUGUUCAAAACUUAAUGUCUAGUGCUAAACAUGAUUUUACAACCCAACCUUACACAUGAUUCUCACUUGGAUACCAUGAAAUAGACAUCAAGAAACACUAGUACACUAGAACUUCCAAACAAAAAAUAAUUGAUCUUGACCUUAUGGUGUUCCUUAUCAUAACUCAUUAGCACGUACUAUUUUAACACAUCAAGCCUAAUAAUUUUUUUCCCACAAAACAUACAUCAUUAAUCUCAUACCACUAUUUUUACCACCACAUUCUACAUUAAAUUCAAGCAUAUAGUCCUGUACCAAUCAUCUAUCACUACUGAAAAAUGCAACAUAAUAUGCUAGUCCAUAAAAUUUGGGACAUACUAUACAAGCGCCUAAAAAAUCACUACAUACCUUCUCACAAGUAGUACUAGUUUACAAUUACCAACGAAAACAAGGUCAAGGGGUAAAGUUACAUAAUAGACAUGAUCAACCUUAAUCUUAUAUUAUAACCCCAUACAAUCUUUUCUACUUAUACGGAUUUCUCACCUCAUACUUACAUACCCAAACAUACAUUUAGACUACUUUCAAAUUCCACAAACAACCAUGAGUCUAUACUUACAACUUACUGGCUAAUAUAGCCAUUUUCACACUUCAAGCAAUCGAGAAAUCACCCUAACUAAAAACUCCUUCUCUACCUUCUACUAAACUAACACACAAGGACAAAUCACCUCUUUACCAACUCAAUCUCAUGCAAACAGAUUCAGCUAUAUAUAUAUAUAUAUUAAACUAACACAAGAACAACAAGUUGGACAACAAGUUGCUAGUGAAUCGAAAUAGGCCUCACACAGCUUCACUAGACUUCGAUUUCGUAUUUUGAACAAGAAAAUGAGAUGAAUGACAAGUCAACUAUGCUAGUGAAUCAAAAGAUCCCCACAGAGCUUCACUAGACUUUAUUUUUUUCAACAACACCUUGAUGACAAGAUUACAUGAGAUACAAAUUUAAUAUGCAAUAUCCAAUGAACUAAGAAUACACAUCUUACUUUGUAUAAAUAAAAUCGGAGUCAAACACUUCCUCCACGAACUACCAUACCAUCAACACAUGCAACUAGUUACCACAUUAGUCUAUCACCAUAAGGAGGUAAAUCAUUCUCGAACAUCGGUUAUUAUACUAAAAUAUUCAUUUACACAAAAGUCACCCUCGCUCUGACUUCUAACUUUGUGACUUCACAUCACCAACUUCUUGGUCUAAUUUCACUACCAAUAGGUCAUGACAACAACACUUUAGCACAUACUACUAUUCGGGUAGAAAUAUAGUUCUAACAUUCUACUACACAUCAUCCCCCCUAAAGCAAAACAUUUGUAACAUAAAUUUGAAGGGGACUAAAUGCAAUUAAUACCUCAAGAUGAAAAUCACGAUUCCAUCAGGAUCAAUGUUUACAUCGGAAUCAAUACACAUUGAAGCACUAAUGGACUCUUCUCAAGUUCUUGCACAAAUUUUAACUCUUAUAUGGUUCAAUCAGAAAGGACCAUACCAUUUAGAUUCUAAACUUCUUCACUUGAAUCACCACAAUAAUGAGACAUAUCUGAGGACAUUAGAGUAAGGAAAGAAUUUGGGAUGUCUUUUUUUUUUUACUUCCGUAUGGGCGACACCAUAGCACGAAUUAGAGUAUGAAAGAGGAACAUUCUGACUCUAUUGCAUGAACUAGAACAUGAAGAAAGAGAGACAUUCCUAAACGCCUAGUAGCCUCCUACUUAUAAGUGUGGCGCGCUACACACCCAUAAACAAGACUCUACCCGACGCGAUUUCACAGACACCCUGGGACCAUGAACCGUGCUUUGAUACAAAGUUUGUCACGACCCGAACCGGGGCCCUGGCCGUGACGAGCAUUCUGAACAAUGACUAAAACAACCAUGUCCCACAAUAUAUAUCGACAUCUGAACAACCGUCAGCGAAAUCUCUAAUAUAUGACUGAAACAAAUUACUGUCUGAAAACUGGUCCCCAGUAGACCCAAAAAUACUAAAUGAUAAAUGAACUGACACAGAACUUCCGAAAUAUAGAAGGCUCACCACUUGAUUCUGCAAAUCUGUCGAAAGAGAUUUACUGGUUAUCUGAACCCCUAAACUAUGCCUCCAAACCUGGGAGAGAAGGGGGUCAAUAUAAAAGUACUAGUACGCAGAGAAACCAAAAACAAAAUAUAAUAUUUUUUUCCAAAUAUAGGUGAGAGCCAUUAUAAAGCAGUUCUAUAUCAAAUUAUUUGAAAACACAUGGGCACAAUGUAAUAGUUUUCAACAAUAAUGUAAUACAGCUGAGCUAGGUGGAAUACCCUGCAUAUAACAUUUACACCAACUGUCAAAUCUCGGUUGCCGCUGAGAUUAGAGUAUAAGUGAGAGGAAGACAUACAAGAUCACAUAGCAGGGUGUCUCGACCCAAUAAAGUAUAGUACUGCCCAAGAUCACUUAUCCUGGGCGCCUAACCAUAGUCCCAAUUUGGGAAUGACAUAAAGUCAAGUACACAAGAUCACUUAGCCAAGUACCAAAUCCCCAUAUCGGCAAACAUGGUUUCCAGCGAUGAGCCCUUACACUCAAACGCCUUCUUCGGGCAUCCACCUAUCUCAUGUAAAAUCAAUGCAUCAAACUCCAUUUAAUUCAAUCACAUAUCUUAUUCUGUAGGGUAUGGUCAUACCCGACUUACAAGCCAUCAAUAUCACAUCAUUCUUUCAUGCAACUAUUAUAUUCAUCAUAUUUCAACAUAACAACACUCUUAUUGUAAGUCAAAACCAUGACCAUUUUAAAAAUAUUUCAUGUCACGCUUGUCAAGAUGAUUUCAAACAUUUCAUAUCAUAUGAGAAUUUAAAACGAGAUCAUAUAAAAAGAGGGAUUUCAUAUAAUUCAUGCUCUCAAGUUAACAUCUUUUCGGAAUACAUGCAUAUACAUAUAUCAUAUAUCAAACCACUUCGGGAAUAGGCCUAAAGACCAAAUCAAUAUCAUAAAAUGUUUAAAAUGGGAUUAUAUUCAUAAUUUCAAAACCCCCAUUUUUAAAACAUAAAUUUUUAAGCCCAUGAGAUUUUUUAGAUAACCCCGCGUACCUCUAUAUGCGAAGAUGAUAGGUGCUUCUUGAAACCUACGUUCUAGGGAUUCCAACUAUGCAAUUCGUUUCAAAAACCCACGGUUGAAUCUUGAGUUGCUUAGGUUUUUAUUUUGAAACCCUCAGGAGAGUUCUUGAGAAAUUUUGAUGAAUGAAGGUGUAUUUUGGGGUAUUUUGGGAACUGAAUUUCGUGUUUAUGGCUAAAUAAGGGUGGAAAAAGGACCAUUUUGGCCCAAAAAUGGAGUGUUUAAGUCACUUGAGUAAUAAUAUAUGCGGCACAAACCUUAUCACAUAAUUUAGGUUGUGCGUCACACUCUUUAUCGCACACAUUAGAUUGUGCGUCGCACACCUUAUGGCAUAAGUUAGGGUGUGCGUCGUACACCUUAUGGCAUAAGUUAGGGUGUGCAUCGCACACCUUAUGCUGUACGAUACACUACACUUUGCAAAGCUAUAACUUCUUCCUCGGGUGUCAAAAUUUUGUUAAAUUGGUAUCGUUGGAAAGAUAAUUCGAAUAUCUUUCAUUUGAUAUAUAUUAGGAACUCUAAUUCAAUAUAUACAAAGAGUAAUGGUCGAUUGAAGUUGACCUAAGUCUCAACGCUCACUAAAAUUCGAAUGAUAGGAAAACUUUCAACUUGUCCUUGAGCUUGGGGACCUCUAUGAUCUCAAUUCAUGCUCAAAUAGGUUUCCACACUACAUAAUUUAUUAACACACUAAAUUUGCAUUGGAUUAUGGAUUUUGGAACCUUUAUGUGAAGAAAAUGACAAUUUUCGUUCUCGUCCGAAAUGCGGGGUGUUACAAAAUUUUGUUAGAAAAUGGAGUACAUUUUAGCUGCAUCGUACUCCAAAUACACUAAACUGAACUUUAAAAGUAAUAAUGCAUUUCUUACCUGUUGGUGUGUAGCAUUCAAAAGUUUUAUUGUCUUUGGUCGGAAGAUAGCCACAACGACGGUUUCAAGCAUGAAGAUUAAACUAAAAAGAAGCCAUGCUCGCUCUGGAGUUCCUGCUACAUGAUGCAAUAUUACUCUACAAUGUUGAAGCCACUUUCCUAAUCCUUGGAGUCUAAGUUCUUUCGAGAAUGAAAUAUGAUUAGGUAACACAUCCUAAACAUCAUUUGAAUCGGUGACAGGAGGUUUACUAUCGCGAUGUUCUCCAUCAGCAUCCAAACUACUUCUCUACAAUAAGGCUAGAAUCAUUGGGUCCAAUCCAUUCUCCUUCAGCAUCACUGCAAAAUUAGGAUCAAGCCCUUUAUCUUGCAAUAAAUUAGCUAAUUCAUGAUCAGUGUGUCUUCCUUUCCGCUUUAACAUAGAUGUAAUCCUCGGAUCACUCAACUUUUCUUGAAAUGCAAGUGCGAAAUUCAAGUCCAGUAUCUGUUGGUUUGCAGAAGUGGAUGUACUAGAAUCACAGCCUUGGCUUUCAAGGCCACUGCUAGAACAAAAAAACAAUGAACUAUUGUGCUCUAAUUUUCUGUCAACAUAUGAUGAUCCUACUUCAGUCUCUUGAACAACUGAACGAUAGGAACUACUACGUAGAGCUAGACUUAGUCUUUCACUGUCUAUGCUCUUAUCACUAUUAAUCCCCUCAAUAUUAUUCCAGGUACUGCCAUCACUAGUGCAAGGAACAAUUGCAUUAUCAAUAUGACCAGCAUCAGCACUACUACUACAUUUGAUACUUGAGCCACAACCCUCAGAAGAGCUUGCGGAGCUAUUUUGGUCAUUUCUGUGGAAACCUUCUCUAAGGCGGAUAACUGUGCUCUACAAGGCAUCUCGUCUAGCUGCUGAUGGGUCUGUAACUGAUAAAUGCCGUGAAACAGCAGCACCCAACAACACAGAUGUUACAAUUUCAUAACUGAUACAAUGUCCAAAGUACCUGAAACAAAAUUAUUGCAGUAAAAGAUUAGAAGAUUUUUUUUGAUAACAAAAGAUUAGAAGUUUCUAUUCAACAAAUAAUAUUAAAAGGGAUGCAUAUGCCACAAGUAUAAGAAGACUUAAUUAUGGAAGAAAAUGAAUUAGCAUGGGUUAAAAACAAACCAAUAAUGAACUCCAAAAUAGAUCAGGAACACUCGAGAUGUACCGGCAACAAAAAGUAUGAUGACUCGACUUUUCAGAAGCUUAAAGCCAUACAAGCAAACUCCUAAGUUCCAAUCUGAUUGAAUGAAAAGAUAGUGAAUUCAUUACUUACCACAAAGAUAUAAGAAAUUAUUUCACAAUACGAGUCAGAAAAGGAGACAGAUAUAUGUAGAAAAUGAACUACCAAGGAUUAUCACGGCAGCUGAUGUUGUAGCCCCAAGCCAGUUUGAUUUCUUUUCUGUCAGACCAUACAGGAUAGAAUACACAAGAAGUACUACAAGUGAACCAACAUAUAGAAGUCCAAGAUGCAGAGCCCUGCAGAGCCCAAGUUCAAAGUGAAGAAGGGUAAAUUAUAGACUUCAGAGAAAAUAUUGAAAAGAUAGUGCAGAAAAUAUGAUGAGCAGUAUAAAUGAGAACCCACUGAACACAUAAUAUAAUAAGGUACUUUCUAAUCUAAAGCAGCAUUUAAAUUAAUUUUCUUAGCAGUGGGAUUUUAAGAUCUACUAUUUUUACUGGACUACUGGAGAGUGUGUUUUGUUCUCUCAGAGUUUGUAUUCCUUUUACUCAAAUAGGUUUGAGUUACACCCAUUGUUUAGCGUUCUUUGGCUCUUAAUUUUAAAAGUCCAUUAGAAUGAUUAGAGGGCAGGGUGGAACUCCCUCAUAGCAAGUCAAAUGAAGUUUAAAACUAUAUAAAGAAGAUGAAACUAGAGGCUUCUGUAUGUGUCUCACAUACUUGGCAUAAACCAUGUGUGAAUGAGCACAACAGAAUCAAAUGUACUGAGACAAAGCAAGCAUUUGAUUGCAGAUCAAAUGGAAGAGUCUGCCAACCAACCAAAUUUAAGAGCAGCUCUGGUCCAUGCACCAUUUUGAGGUAAAGUUAUAUGGUUAAAAAUUUGGACGUUACUUAAUAUAUGCACAAACUGAAAAUGAACUGCCCAGUUAGACAAGUGCUUUUUGUAUCUACCCAGUGACAACCUUAGUGAAAGAAUACAUCAAUGAGAAGUUAACUCAGUAAGCUUAAUGAGCUUUCUCCUGCAAGGAAUGAAAGUGUGGAUGACCCAACAUCAAAUAUACGAUUAUUAUUAUACACACAAUCUCCAUACAACAGCAACAACAUACCCGAUGUAUAUUCGGGCCGAAUAUAUGCAAACUAUACCUCUACCUCAGAGACGAGAAAAAAAUGGUAGCACCAAUCCUCACUAAAUACUUCAUAACACAAAAAACAGCCAAUACUUACAAAACCAAAUAAAGCAAAAGAAGUUCAUUGUCUUGAUCACCAGCAAGUAAAACAAAUGUUUACAAUUGGAGAUUCAAAAAGGUUGCAAAAGAAAGAAGCAAACUUUCUAUUUAACAAGUAUCAAAGGGGGGAAAAUAAGAGUAAAACCAGUAAGUAUACGAGAAGUAUGAACACUAUAGUCAAUGAACAAAAUAUGAAUUGUAGUUUAGCCAUUUAGCAUCCAUCACUCCAACAGAGAAUUAGGUCUUGUAAGAAGGUCGAAAGAUUUGCCUAUCGAGUCUUUCAAGAUUAUGAUUUGACCCUCUUUCAUAAGAAAGUCUUCGUUGAGGGUAUCUACCUUCCUUUUCAACAUAUUGAUUCAUAAUUCAACGGCAUGUUCAUCUCACUGUAGCACUUAACUUCCUCCCACAUGAAAUCCCUCUCCUGAAACACUUUUGGUAGUAUCUCCUUCACAAUGCCAAGUUCCUUCAUGCAUUCUUGCAAAUCAUUAGUAAGCUGGUUGAUAUUUUCAUCCUUUUUUAGCAGCUGCCAGAAUCAACCGUAAACCAUGAAAAACAAGAAAGACACAAAGAUCACCAAUAACAUUUCAUCAAAAAUUCAAAACAAAACCAUAGCCUAGAAGUUCAACCAAAUCAUGAAUCCUUUUUAACUGUUAAAAUUCACAGUAGAUAACUCGUGAACUUGUCCAAGAAUUAAGUCAGAUGAACGAGCAAACUUACCGAAACCCCUUCGGGUAACUUUACCACAUCAGAGCAAAAUCAGAUCAAUGGGUUUGAGGAUAUCACAAAGUGUAUCAUGUUCUUGGUUGGUUCAACUUAUUACACAUUAAGGCGAUCAGACAUUUCAUAGAAGACUACCACAUGCCAGCAACUCAUGUAUACAAGUUCAUAAAGAAAAUCGUGAACUUCAGAUGGAACAAAGAUGAACCUAAAAUCAAACAGAAGUAGAAAGCUAAUGCAGAGAGAGUAAGAUAUGAACAGACUAUCAUAUAUGAAGACGAGGUAUCCAAAGUUGAAAAAUAAAAACUAUUUCGUUGCAAUGAGAUCUUAACAUUUCAUGCUUACCUGAAGCUCGAGAUAUUUCAACUUAGGUAUGGCAUAAGAAAGAGUGUCCAACGCAUUUCGCACUUCAUAUUUGAGAAUGUCGUUACCUCUAACUAUUGCGACUAGAUCAGCCUGAAGCUGCUUUAUGUCCAUCUCCUCGGAAUAGAGCUUCUCCCUUAGCAUAGUUGUUAGCAAAGUCUCUGAUUUAAGAUCUUUAACCUUUUCCUGGUAGUUUUCUCAGACAUAAUCUCUAUUGUCUUGAGCUACUCGAUAUUCCGUUUGUAACUGAGUGAGCUGCAACCUUAGAUUUUGAUUCUCCUCUGACACUUGCUCUAUUCUCUUAGACAAAUCUCCAAGGUAUUUCUCCGAAAAUGACAUAUUGAUUCUAUUAUCUACUUCCUUCUCAUUAAAUAAAGAGACUUCCCUUGGUAAAGAGACAUUCUACUCUACAAGCUCCCUCACCCUUUCAUAGAGUCUAUGUUGUUCAAUUUGGUAUUUCUCAAGUUUUAAAGACCAAUCACUGGAUCUUCUAUCCAACUACUUUUCCAUUAUUGAUUGUAACUCAUUCUUUUCUGUCUCCAAUCUUCGUGUCCAUGAAUCUAUUUCUGCCUGUAAUAUGCUAGCUUCUUCCUUAGCAGAAGCCCUUUCAGCAACUUGAUUCCAUAGCAUGCUUAAAACUUCAGAAGCCAUUUGUACCUUCUCCUUUGUCAAUCUUCUAAUAGUCUAAAUCAACACUGGAAUGCUAAGGUCUCUGCCAUAAGAAAUAUUUGUCAUUACUUUGGACAAGCAAAUGCAAAUUAAAACAUCAGUUUAAGUGUGAAAAAGAAAGCUAUAGCAAAAUGAUAUGCAUACCGGCUUGAAUCACGACCAGAUUUCUUAGGAUGAACUUUCUUACUAUGACCAUGGAGAGAUUUGCUCAGAUUCGUGAAAUUCUUUUUUCCUAACCCACUGUCAUAAAAGAAUCCAGAUGACAAUGAAACACUUCUCCUAGAAGAAACUUCCUUGGACUUUAAUGGUGGUGAAGGGGUCUUGUUUGCAUCAUUAGUUGAUGAUCAAAAAAAGAAGAAGUUGUUCUUCAUCAUCUCUAUGUAUGGAUACUGUACAUGAAUCAAAACUAGUGUCCAUGAGAUUUCAAAGGAUAAAGCAAAACACUCAUAAACAGCCACUCACAAAUCAUUAUCCAUUCAUGAAAAUACUGCAAGCUAACUAAAUACUUAUGAUACAAAGAAAAACAUCUCUCUUUCUACAUGCUUCUUCUUCAACAACAACAUACGUAACCCCUACCUUGGCAAGUAGAAAAUUUAUUUCCCAUAAAUCCUCGGCAAGGAAAGCAAAAACACGAGGAUAUUAACAACAGUAGCAAGUAUGAAAAUAGAGGUAUACGAUACAAAAAGUAGAAAAAAAAAUAUGUACUAAUACUACUACCAGAAGAGACAUGACGCGAAACUAUUUAGUACUAGUCUUCUACUGAAAAUAAAUAAAAUACCCCACAAACAAAUAGCCCAAGAACAAUUCAAAGAACUUAUCAAAUCCUUCUGAUAAAACAAAUAAUCAUGGUAAAUAAUUAAAAAAAAAAAAAGAGAAAUUACUGAAUCAAAGAGUUGAAAGAGUAAGAGCCGGCAAAAGGUUGUCAGAAUCUGUAGGAUUCUUGUCAUUUUUUCUUGAAAUGUAAAAAUAGCAAAGGACUAGAAUGGAGAAAACUUUAUUUCUGUGUCUUUCAUUCAUCAUCGUACAAUGCAUAUAUACAACUAACAAGGAUCUGUAAAUUGCAAGUAAAUAUUUACAAGGAUCUGUAUAUGGCAAGUAAAUAUUUACAAGGAUCCAUAAAUAUGACAAGUGAAUAUUUACAUACACAUAAUGAAAAACUUGAGAAAUACCCAUGAGAGAGAGAGAGAAGAAAAGUGUAACAAAUAUUUUGUGUUAUUCAAUGGCUAUAAAUAGCCAUAUGAGGUCAAAUUUUCCAUAUAAUAGAAAUAAGAUGUAAACUAUAAAUUAACUUUUUCAAAUUAGCACACAAAUUAACUUAAAUUAUGAAAUUAAAGAUAUUUAUUUUUUCAAAAUUUAACUUUUCCAUAUAAACAUCACUGAAUUGAUAUAAGCAAUAUUUUGAAACGUGAUAAAUUAAUUAAAUAACACAAAAAUAUUGUAAUAUUGUAUUUCUUUUAUCUCUAGAUCUUUUUUAAUACAUAAGAAAUACUAAAGUCAUACAAUAAUCUCCUUUCUUUUUAUAGUCCAAACUUACCAUUUAAAAAUCGUUUCAUUUGAAUUAAUAAGAUCAUAGUAGAUUGUACAAAAUCAGUUAAUAAAUGAUAUAUAUUUCCAUUAAAUAAAUAAAGUACGAUAUAAUUGUAAUAAGACUACACAAUCAACUAAUUAAUUUCACUUAAUUAGAUUAAAUUUUAUGAUCAUAAUAUAUAGACUAAAGUUCCUUAAAUUUAAUGUUGUAAAUUUCAAAAUACAUUUAUGGCUAAAGUAGUAGUCAAUGUUCGUUAUUUUUUUUAAUCAAUAUAUGUAUAUCAAUUAUAGAACUUUGCAUAUAUUCUUUAUUAAAAUAAUUGUCAAUAUUAAUUGAAUUUUACCAUAAUUUAAUCUAAUUAGUUUGAUAACAGUACAAUUAUUAUUAAUAUUAUAUAUUUUUUAACCAUAAAUUUGUCCUAAUUUUAUAGAUUAUUCUAUUUAGUUAAUCUACAAUUACAUAAAGGACUCAAAUAUGGAAACAAUUGAUAUUAAUUACCUUUAUAAUUUCAAAAAUUUAAUCCCAUGAAUUUCUCAUACUCUUAUAGUUUGAUUAUAGCAAAUUGAUAUUAAUUACCUUUAUAAUUUUGGGAAGAAUUUUUAAAAGUUAACGAUUAUUUUUUUCCUAAUUGUUGAUUUAUUUCUCAAAAAUUUCUUAUAAAUUUAUAAUUUGAUUGUAGUUAAUUGAUUAAUUAAUUAUCUUUUUAAUUUGCUAAAAACUCAAAUAAGGUACAAUUAUUUUUUCUCAAUUACAGAUUUUCUUAAAUUCAAUCUUUUAUUGUUUUACUAAAAUAGUUCAAAUUUAAUUGUUUUGAGGCAUGACAUCUUUUUGUCUAUAAAUCUUUUUUAAUACAUAAGAAAUGCUAAAGUNNNNNNNNNNNNNNNNNNNNNNNNNNNNNNNNNNNNNNNNNNNNNNNNNNNNNNNNNNNNNNNNNNNNNNNNNNNNNNNNNNNNNNNNNNNNNNNNNNNNNNNNNNNNNNNNNNNNNNNNNNNNNNNNNNNNNNNNNNNNNNNNNNNNNNNNNNNNNNNNNNNNNNNNNNNNNNNNNNNNNNNNNNNNNNNNNNNNNNNNNNNNNNNNNNNNNNNNNNNNNNNNNNNNNNNNNNNNNNNNNNNNNNNNNNNNNNNNNNNNNNNNNNNNNNNNNNNNNNNNNNNNNNNNNNNNNNNNNNNNNNNNNNNNNNNNNNNNNNNNNNNNNNNNNNNNNNNNNNNNNNNNNNNNNNNNNNNNNNNNNNNNNNNNNNNNNNNNNNNNNNNAUUUCAUUUGAAUUAAUAAGAUCAUAGUAGAUUGCACAAAAUCAAUCAAUUAAUUAUAUAUAUUUUUAUUAAAUAAAUGAUGUACGAAAUUGUUGUAAUAAAACUAUACAAUCAACUAAUUAAUUUCAAUUAAUUAGAAUCAAUUUUAUGAUCAUAAUAUAUAGACUCAAGAUCUUUAAAUUUAAUGUUUUAAAUUUUAAAAUAUAUUUAUGGCUAAAGUAGAAGUCAGUGUUCGUUGUUUUUGUAACCAAUAUAUGUAUAUCAAUUACGAAAAUUUGCAUAUAUUUUUUAUUAAAAUAAUUGUCAAUAUUAACUAAUUUUUAACUCAAUUUAAUGUAAUUAAUUUGAUAACAAUAAAAUUAUUAUUAAUAUUAUAUAUUUAUUUACCAUAAAUCAGUCCUAAUUUUAUAGCUUGAUUAUAGUUAAUUAAUCUAUAAUUACAUAAAGGGCUCAAAUAUGAAAACAAUUGAUAUUAAUUACCUUUAUAAUUUCGGCAAUUCAAUCCCAUGAAUUUCUCAUGUUUUUAAUAGAUUGAUUAUAUUAAAUUGAUAUCAAUUACCUUUUUAGUUUUGGGAAGAAUUUAAAAAAGGUAACGAUUAUUUUUUUUCCUAAUUACUGAUUUAUUUCUCAGAAAAUUCUUAUAUAUUCACAAUUAGAUUAUAGUUAAUUGAUUAUUUAAUUAUCUUUAUAAUUUUCUAAAAGCUCAAAUAAGGUAACAAUUAUUUUUUUCUAAAUUAAGGAUUUUCUUAUAUUCAAUCUUUUAUUGUUUUACUAAAAUAUUUCAAAUUUAAUUGUUUUGAGGGAUGACAACUUUUUGUAUCUAAAUCUUUUUUUAAUACAUAAGAAAUGCUAAAGGCAUACAAUAAUCUCCUUUCUUUUUAUAAUCCAAACUUACCAUUUACAAAUUAUUUCAUUUGAAUUAAUAAGAUCAUAGUAGCUUGCACAAAAUUAAUUUAUUAAUUAUAUGUAUUUUUUUAUAAAAAAUAAUGUACGACAUAAUUGUAAUAAAAUUACACAAUCAACUAAUUAAUUUCAAUUAAUUAGAAUCAAUUUUAUGAUCAUAAUAUAUAGACUCAAAUUCCUUAAAUUUAAUGUUGUAAAUUUUAAAAUAUAUUCAUGGCUAAAUUAAUAGUCAGUGUUCGUUGUUUUUUACCAAUAUAUGUAUAUCAAUUACGAAAAUUUGCAUAUAUUUUUUAUUAAAAUAAUUUCAAUAUUAACUGAUUUCUUUCUCAAUUUUGAUCUAAUUAAUUUUAUAACAAUAAAAUUAUUAUUAAUAUUAUAUAUUUAUUUACCAUAAAUCUAUCCUAAUUUUAUAGCUUAAUUAUAUUUAAUUAAUCUACAAUUACAUAAAGGACUCAAAUAUUGAAACAAUUGAUAUUAAUUACUUUUAUAAUUUUAAAAAUUUAAUCCCAUGAAUUUCACAUAUUCUUAUAGUUUGGUUAUAUCAAAUUUAUAGUAAUUACCUUUAUAAUUUUGGGAAGAAUUUAAAAAGGUAACGAUUAUUUCAUUUCCUAAUUACUGAUUUAUUUCUCAAAAAUUUCUUAUCAAUUCACAAUUUGAUUAAUUAAUUAUCUUUACAAUUUGCUAAAAACUCAAAUAAGGUGACAAUUAUUUCUUUUAUUAAUUAUGGAUUUUCUUAUAUUCAAUCUUUCAUUGUUUCACUAAAAUAGUUCAAAUUUAAUUGUUUUGAGGGAUGACAUAUUUUUGUCUAUAAAUCUUUUUUAAUACAUAAGAAAUGCUAAAGUCAUACAAUAACCACCUUUAUUUUUAUAAUCCAAACUAAUUGCAUAUUUGGAAUCCCCAGAACGCAGGCUUCAAGAAACACCUAUCAUCUUCGCAUUUAGAGGUACGUGGGGUUAUCCUAAAAUCUCAUAGGCCUUUAAAUUCAUGUUUUACAAUGGGGGUUUUAAAACUACGAUCAUGUUUUGAAUGUUUCUAUAAUAUUGAUUUGGCCUUUAGGCCUAUUUCCGCAGUGAUUUGACAUAUUAUAUAUGUAUAUGCAUGUGUUUUGAAAAGGUGUUAAUUUGAGAGCAUGAAUUAUAUGGAAUCCCUGUCUUGAUGUGAACUUGUUUUAUAUUUUCAUACGAUUUAAAUUGUUUGAAAACGUCUUGAAAAGCAUGAGAUGAAAUGUGUUGAGAAUUGAUAUGAUUUUGACUUGAAAACGAGAAGGCUAUUUGCGUUGAAACAUGUUGAAUACAAUGGUUGAAUGAGAAGAAUGAUGUGAUAUUGAUGGUAUGCAAGUCGGGUAUGACGAUACCCUACAGAAUAUGAUAUGUGAUUGAAUCAGAUGAAAUUUGAAUGCAUUGAUUUUACAUGAGAUAGGUGGAUGCCCGAAGAAGGCGUUUGAGUGUAAGGGAUCAUCACUGGAAACUGUGUUUGCCGACAUAGGAAUUUGGUACCCUGCUUUGUGAUCUUGCAUACCUGACUUUAUGUCAUUCCCAAGUUGGGACUAUAGUUAGGAGCCCUACUUUGUGAUCUUGUGCACAACCAUUAGGCCGAGACACCCUGUUGUGUAAUCUUGUGUGUCUUCCCCUCACUUAUACUCUAAUCUCGGUGGAAACCAAGGUUCAACAGUUGGUGUAAAUGUGAUAUGUAAGGUAUUCCACCUAGCUCAGCUGCAUUAAAUUGUUGUUGAAAACAAUUACAUUACGCCCAUGUGUUUUCAAAUGAUUUGAUGUGAAACUGCUUUAUAAUGGCUCUCAACUAUAUUUUGUAAAAAUAUUAUGUUUUGUUUUGAUAUCUCUGCGUACCGGUACUUUUGUAUUGACCCUCUUCCCUUCCAGGUUCGGAGGCACAGUCUAGGGGUCCAAAAAAUCAGUAGAUUCCUCAGACAGAUUUGCAGAGUCACUUGGUGAGCCUUCUAUAUUUCGGAAGGCCUGAUCUCUGGCAGUUUCAUUUAUCAUUUAUUAGUUUUGGAUCUACUGGGGGCCUUGUCCUAGUUUUCAGAUAGAUAUUUAUUUCAGUCAUAUAGUAGAGAUUUUGCAAACAUUAAUAGAGAUAUUGACUUGAGAUUAUGGGACAUUAUUCCCCGUUAUUGAUUUCAUAUGUUUCUUGACCAUGUUUCCGUAAUAUUAUUUAUCUUCCGUAUUUCUUUUAUCAUAUGAGUUAUGUACAUGAUUAUCAGACAAAUAAGGGUAUUUUGGGCCUUCAUGGUUCGGAAUGCUCGUCACAGCUAGGGCCCCAGUUUGGGUUGUGACAAACUUGGUAUCAGAGCACGGUUCAUGGUCCUAGGAUUUUUACAAAAUCACAUCGGGUAGAGUCUUAUUUAUGGGUGUGUAGCGCGCCACACUUAUAAGCAGGAGGAUACUAGGCGUUUAGGAAUGUCUCUCUUUCUUCAUGUUCCAAUUUGUGGAAUAGAGUCAAAAUGUUGCUAUUUCAUACUGUCAUUCGUGCUAUAGUGUCGCCCAUAUGAAGGUAAAGACAUCCCAAAUUCUUUCCUUACUCUGUUUUUCUUAGACAUGUCCCAUUAUUGGGGUGAUUCAAGUGCAAAAAGUUUAGAAUCUACAUGAUAUAGUCUUUUUCGAUUGUGUCAUAUAAGAAAAAAAAUUAUGCAAAGACUCGAGAGGAGUCUGUUGGUGCUUCAAUAUGUGUUGAUUCUGAUGUAAACAUUGAUCCUGAUGGAAUUGUGCUUUCCAGCUUAAGGUAUUAAGUGCAUCUAGUCCCUCCCAAAAAUCUUGAUACAGAUAUGGAUGGUGUAUAGCAGAAUGUUGGAACUGUAUUUCCACCCAAAUAGUAGCAUAAGUUAAAUUGUUGUUGUCAUGACCUAUCGGUAAUGAAAUUAGACCAAGAAGUUAGUGAUGUGAAGUCACAAAUUUAGAAGUCAGAGUGAGGGUUAUUUUUUGUGUAAAUGAAUAUUUCAGUUGAAUAACCGAUAUUUGAGGAUGAUUUACCCCUUUAUAGUGAUAAACUACUGUGGUAGCUAGUAGCACAUGUGGAUGGUAUGGUACUCCAUGGGGGAAGUAUUUUACUCUGAUUUUUAUUUAUACAGAGUAAGAUAGGUAUUAUUAGACCAUUAAAUAUUAUGUGUCAAUUUCCUAUCUCUUGUACUAUGUAAUAUUGUUAUCAUGGUGUUUUUGAAAAAAAAAAAAAUUUAAGUCUAGUGAAGCCAUGUGGGGAUCUUUCGAUUCACUAGCAUAGCUGUCUCAUGUAAUAUGUAAUCUUGUUAUCACGAUGUUUUUGGAAAAAAAAAUGUAAAAACUUUUUAAAGUCUAGUGAAGCCGUGUGGGCUCUUUCGAUUCACUAACAUAGUUGCCUUGUUAUUCAUCUCAUUUUUUGGUUCAAAAAUAUAAAAUUAGAGUCUAGUGAAGCCGUGUGAGGCCUAUUUUGAUUCACUAGCAACUUGUUGUUCUUUUGUUGGUUUAAUAUACGUAUGGCUGAAUCUGUUUGCAUAAGAUGGAGUUGGUAAAGGGGUGAUUCGUCCUUGUGAGUUAUUUUAGUAUAAUUUGAGGAAUUUGAAGGCAGUCUAAAUGUAUGCUUGAGUAAGUAAGUAUGAGGUGAGAAAUCCGCAUAAGUAGAUAAGAUCGUAUAGGGUUAUAAUAUCAGAUUAAGGUUGAUCAUGUCUAUUAUGUGACCUUACCACUUGACUUUUUUCGUUGGUAUUUGUAAACUAGUACUACUUAUGAGAAGGUAUGUAGCAAAUUAUGAGGUAUUUGGAUAGUACUAAAUGACUGGCAGAGAUUUUUCAAAGUUUUACAGGAGUUCUUGAAACUAUUUUCUAAAAAAUUAAGAGUACUUUGAAAAAAAUCUAUAUAAAUCUUUUACUUACUGAUUUCCUAGACAUCAAUUAGGACGGGGAGUCAGGGGUGGAAGUCCCAACAUGAUGAAAUACCUAAAAGAUGGCGAGGGCAAAUCAAGGAUAGUAGGAGGUCAACACGGAGUAGUUUCUUUCAAACUAAUCAUUUUUUGUGGAUGCAGGGAUCGAUACACAAAAUGAGCGUUUCUUUCGAAAAAUCCCCAAGCAAGUCGGGAGCCAUGAUAGAGCAUAUAAUGCUUAAUAACGGUACUUUUGGUAGCCUAAAAAUCGGCUCAACACCCAUUUAUUGACGACCUUUUGAAUUGUCCAUCUCAUUUCUUGAGAUCAUGGAGGACAAACAAAAGUGUCUUGUCUUCUUUACAAAUAUUGUAUUUAGAAUUUUUCUAAAAAAAAUAAUCGCUAGCAAAAGCAACUUUGUGUCUACUAAUCUUCUACCUUGAGUAUAGGUACAUGCAGAAAGCAAGACCUUGACAAAUGAUUUCAGGAGAAACUAUUUUUAAUUUACCGAAAGAACCAUUGCAUGUUAUUGCCAAGAGGUCCAUUGCAUAUCAUCGUUAUUCAAUAUCUGUUCACGCGCUAGAUACAACGCUGGCAUCGAGGAUAUCAUUAGCAUUUAAUAUAUCCAUUGACACAAAAGACACAAUGCUGGCGUCAAGGAUAUCAUCAUCAUUCAAUAUCUAUUGACGCGCUAGACACAACACUGGCGUCGAGGAUAUCAUCAGCAUUCAAUAUAUCUGUUGACACGCAAGACACAACACUCGCGUUAAGGAUAUUAUCAUCUUUCAAUAUUUUUUGAUGCGCUAGACAAUGCUGGCAUCGAGGAUAUCAUCAGCAUUCAAUAUAUCUGUUAACACACAAGACACAACGCUGGCAUCGAGGAUAUCAUCAUCAUUCAAUAUUUGUUGACGCACUAGACACAACGCUGGCAUCGAAGAUAUCAUCAUUAUUAUAUAUCUGUUAACACACAAGACACAAUGCUGGCAUCGAGGAUAUCAUCAUUAUGCAAUAUCUGUUGACAUGGAAGACACAAUGCUGGCAUCGAGGAUAUCAUCAUCAUGCAAUAUCUGUUGACAUGCAAGACACAAUGCUCGCGUCGAGGAUAUCAUCAUCAUGUAAUAUCUGUUGAUGCGUAAGACAUAACACUGUCAUCAAGGAUAUCAUCAUCAUUUUAUAUUUGUUGACACGCAAGAUAUAAAUGCUGGCAUCGAGGACAUCUUAUCAUUUUAUAAAUCAGUAUAUGAAUGCAUCGAGAGCAUACGAUUUGAAGGGACACCUUUAAGUCGCUAUCUAAGGAUGAAUGUAUAUAAGAUUUCUUGGAAAUUAACAAUUUGAGGGUCAUAUAUAAGUCAUAUUAUUUGAAAUAGGAUAGUGUGCAAGAUCACCUAUAAUUUGAUAGCCGGUAGGUCAUCCGUAAGCCACAACAACCUCCUAAUCGGAUAGUGUGCAAGAUCACCCAAAAAUCGAUAGUUCAAAUCCAUAAGUCGAAACUAAAUCCUUACCGGAGAAUAUGGAAGAUUAUCAAAUUGAUACGUCCAAGGAUUCUCUAUAAGCCGUGUCAUAUCUAAGAUCGAUUAUGUGCAGGAUUACCCAAAGACUAAUAAUUUGAGGGAUUAUCUAUAAGUCAUAUUUUAUCCAAGGUCGGAUGAUGUGCAGGAACACCUGAAAGAUAGCGAUUGGAGGGAUAUCUGUAAGCCAUCUCUUAUUCAAAGUAUGAUAAUGUGCAGGAUUACCUAAAAGCUAGAAAUCAAAAGGAUAUCUGUAAUUCACCUCGUAUCCAACAUCAAAUAAUGCGUAAGAUUAUCCAAAGAUUGAUAAUUUAAAGGAAAUUUAUAAAUUGAUCAUCGGCUAUAAAUGGUGAGAUUAUCCAAAGGGUUGCCACACCAGCACAAGACUACACGGUUGUAGAGACUGUUCUGCAUAAAGUAUCACUGGUGUCCAAAAUGGGCACCCACUUUGAAGACAUAUUCAACCGACAAAUGUCAUAAUUAUACAACAACCAAGAGGGUUGUUGUGUUUGGUCUUGUGGUUUAUUUCAUUCCAAACAGGUACAUGAAGAGAUGACUCCGCUUUUCAAGCCACAACUCAUGUGCAGAUAUGGUAAAAGACUGCAUACCUCUUUAGUGAAUUAUGUUUAGCACUAACACUUUUUGCUUGAAGCAUUGUCAAGAGUAUCCGAGAGGAUGAAUAUCUCAAAUGAACACCACAGGUGCAUAUGACUUCAAAUAAGAUGCAACACCCGAAUCCAACCCGUUUUCUUUUUCCUCUUUAUGAUCACGCAUGUUCCAUGAGAAUCCAUACGAGAAGAUGUCGAGAAUCUUCUAGAAACACACUUAGGUGUCUCAUCCAACGUUCAAAUCCCAAAAUUCUCGGAUAGAGGUUUACGAAUUCGUACAUAGAUGGAGUAUUUUCAUUGGCUUGUGAAGAUUAUUCCCUUUCCACCAAUUUCUAUUGGCGACUUUUUGGAAUUUCGUUCAAGAAAAUCAAAAUAGAGGUACAGUUCGUUAGGGUCCGGAUCUUUUGAAUUUCAAAAAUGAACCCUCAAUUUCCUUCUAUAAGUAGCUCUCUUUAGAGAAAGAAAAAGGGAUUUUUUUGGGGAUUUUGGAAUUUUUUUCACUGGCCUCUCCUUUCCUUUAUGGGUUCUCCUCUUCUUUCUCUUUGGAGUUCAAAAUUUUAGAGGCAAAGAGUGUUCAAAAGUUUUGGGUUGAAAAUUUAGGGUUAGAGAAAAUCUUCAAAAAUUCAGAAAUACACAAAAAAAAAAAGGGUUAGAAAGGGGGCUCUCAGAGGGAAAAAAUAUUCUCUUUACGCCUAAGAAACAUACAUUCUUAGGAGGUGCAUCUGAACUGUCGAAGCAGUUGUGAGUUUUUCAGUGGUCGGAAUCCUAUAAUCAGCUUGUUAUCCCAUUUUGCUGCCCCAAAAGAGGUAAAUACACCUUUCUUUUUAAUUUUGUUGUGGUUAUCAUUUUCUUCUUCGUGGUUCCACUUCUGUUUGCUGGGAAUGACUGCUGUAGAGGCCUGGAAGGCAUAGGAUUUUCAUGUUUGAUAUAUUGUUCUACUAAAAAACUCAUUAUUGCCCGUGUUUGAUUGGUUGUCGUUCAUGCUUGAUCUCUCUUAUUUUAUUUUGUUUGAAUGUUACAGUUAGCUUUAAUGCUUCGACUUUAGAAACUAUUUUGCUGGUCUCAUAUUCGAUGUUUCUUUGUAGUUCAUAGAGUAGGAGAAUAAAAUCUUUACGUAUUUUCUAAAUUCAAAAAAAUGUUCAAAGAAUAGAUAUUAGGCAGCCUGUUCGCAUAUCUUUUUCACUCAAACGCAGGAAAUUGUUAUAAAUAAGAACUAGAAUGUUAUUUUCUUUCGACUUGCCACUUUAGAUGUACAAUAGUCUUAUUUUAUUCUAAAGUUUAUUUUAAAAUAUGAGAGUGGACCAUAGGGAUGAAUUAUGUUUUCUUCAUGGCUAAUUCAAUUUGCCGUAAUUGACUCAUGAGAACAAAUUAAAGUUUGACGGGNNNNNNNNNNNNNNNNNNNNNNNNNNNNNNNNNNNNNNNNNNNNNNNNNNNNNNNNNNNNNNNNNNNNNNNNNNNNNNNNNNNNNNNNNNNNNNNNNNNNNNNNNNNNNNNNNNNNNNNNNNNNNNNNNNNNNNNNNNNNNNNNNNNNNNNNNNNNNNNNNNNNNNNNNNNNNNNNNNNNNNNNNNNNNNNNNNNNNNNNNNNNNNNNNNNNNNNNNNNNNNNNNNNNNNNNNNNNNNNNNNNNNNNNNNNNNNNNNNNNNNNNNNNNNNNNNNNNNNNNNNNNNNNNNNNNNNNNNNNNNNNNNNNNNNNNNNNNNNNNNNNNNNNNNNNNNNNNNNNNNNNNNNNNNNNNNNNNNNNNNNNNNNNNNNNNNNNNNNNNNNNNNNNNNNNNNNNNNNNNNNNNNNNNNNNNNNNNNNNNNNNNNNNNNNNNNNNNNNNNNNNNNNNNNNNNNNNNNNNNNNNNNNNNAAUGCUAUGGCUUAUUAAUUGUUAAAAUCUUGGACGUAUGUUAAUUUCUUCAUUCCUUUCUUUUCAUUCACCCCCUUGAAGUUCAAAUGGGCCCCUUCUCUCUUGUCAUUUCAUAAAUGGGCCAAUGAGGCCUAUCCUUCCGAGUUAAUCCCAAAAGAAAAUCCAAGAAUCCAUCACAUGGUGUAUGAAUACGAGGAAUCGAAAGAAGAAUGGGUUAAAGUUCCAUCUUUGAAGCGGCAAAGGGGACUUGAAAAUCUCGUUAUUUCUUCUUUAUUAAUUUAUUUAUCCAUUGUUUCCAUUAUUUAUUUAUUUACUUAUUUAUAUUUUUGUUUAUUUAGUGAAUUAUUUAUUUAUUCAUUUGGGCCUCGAAGCCAAAGUUGUAAAUUUAAAAUAGGUGGAACGAGACUUGAGCUAUUUGCUUACUUGUUUUACGUGUGUUUUACGAACCUAGUAAAAUCCUUAGUCAAGUCGCUAAAAAACUGGUUUUGUAUAAACACCAAAAUAUUUCUAAAAUUGCUUUUCUUUUCAAAAAAUAAACUUUUUCAAAGUUAAUCAAAAGACGAUUUUCAAACAAUCCGGAUAACCAUAAGUUAGCGAACAUUUUAGAUGCCUAAUACCUUCCUAAAACGUUAAUAGGAACUGCUUAUCUAGAAUCUCUAACUUAAAACGAUUUUUCUAUUUUGAAUCGUUUGCAGUAACUCUCUAACGGUUUCUUAAUUCCUUUUCAAAAUUAAGUGGCGACUCUCAAAAAGUCAAAAAUUCCGCAAAACAAUAUCAACCACAAUCACAUCCCCACAUCUACUACCCCCACCCGAAAGUAGCAGAAGAAUAAAGGUUUGUAGUAAUUCAAUCCUCUUGACGCUUGCGCUCCUUCUCUUUUAGUUCAUUAACAAAUUUGUUAAAUAUUUCAAGCAGCAAGCCCUUAUCACCCAUUAUUCUGUAAAAUAAUAACAGCAAAGAAAUUCACAUUCAAUAGAUUACGACAUAAUGAGAAUCAUGAGAUUAUGAAUAAAAAAGUAAAAAUCCAGAGCAUUUCAUUUUAUAGCCAAAGAGGCUAGACAAAUUAAAACUAGAGAUUUAGCAGCAUACUUCAUCAGAACCGUGAAACAAUCACAAAUGCCAGAAAUUAAAAAACUAAAACAAUCACAAAUGUCAUAAAUUUAAAAACUAACUGCUAGACCUAUUAACUGCUAGAUAUCAAAACAAGAUAACCCUUGCAAUUCUCUCUUCCCACAUACAUAGAUUAUACGCCAUGACCAUAAAUAACCUCCAAAAUCCAAAUGAUAUAUGAAGAAUAUCCUCAUUACAAAAUAGAAAAUGAUCGUUGAUAUCAUCCAGUUAUGUUGUUUAACCAGUUUCGUAGAGUAAAACUCUUAUCCACUAACUGUAAAAACAGAAAACUACAAGGCAAAUUUCUUUGAAUUAAGCAACUUAAUAUAUGUACGGUAGGUGUAAUAUUAAACACCGCCGUCCAGGAAAUAAAAACUAAGGAAAAUGGUACCAAAACUGAAGAAUUGGAAGCAAAAGCUAACAUCAAAUAUUUGAUCAAUGUGGUCCUCGUCUUUAUUCUUGAAGGUUUCAGGCUUACUUGCUAACCGACACACUACUAUUCUAUUAACUCUAUUACAAGAAGAUCCAAAUUUAAUGUGGGAUAGGUUAUGGUUGAUACUAAAUAAAAAUGCCACUAACCACAGUUGACUACCUACGAGUUGCCAAUUUAGCAAUCACAAACUGACCGAAUUCCAGUGAAACAUAACAUGGAAGUACUACUAAUGCUUUUGCACUCAAUCCACUCAUCUUAUGCAGGACCUGUCCCAAAGACAAAAAGGGGACAAAUACAUAGAAAUCCAUUUAGUGACUGGGGUACUUCAAUUUUCACAACAUUUAAUUCAACAUGGGUCGAUGUGAAACAGUAUACAGUGCUUAGCCAUAAUUAGACCUUUAAGUUGGUAUCUGUCAUUAGUGGAGAGCUAAUAUACUUGUCGAUUGCAACCUUAAAAUCAUCAAGCGUCCAGGCUGAUGUCAAUCCAAUCUGAAAGUAGAGACGGCUCAGCCAAAAUAUUAGGUACUAACUGAAGCACAACAAAGGUUAAAAUGAAGAGUGGUGAUUACCUCGACCAUCCUAAUUGCAUCUUUAAUUUGUGACUUGUGAUCAAGAUACUGAAGCAACAUACAAGUAACACAAAUUCAGAAUGCUUAUAAGUAACAAAAAUAGGAUACCAAAUGGAGCUUUGUCCAUGCAUUUGAGUUACCAUAAAGUUUAUAAAUUACAAGCAGGGUGAUGGGGAUGAAAUUUCUUUCAUGAAUACCAACAUUUCUCCACUUGUUCAAAGUCAUCUACAAUAUCACAAGACACUUGACACAUAAACUUAAUUGCACUGAUCAGGUUAAAUUGAAGGAAAAAUCAAGCACCCCUGUUUGGAUAAUAGAAAAAAAGUGAAUAAAUAAAAAUGGAUAGCAUCUCUGUUAACAGCGCUUUCGUUAUAUUUACUUAAUAAGAAUCAUUUAUGCACACAAACAGUAAUACAAACUUUAAAGAUAGAAGUUGACAUCUUUAUCUUACAAGGGAAAAAGAAAAGAUUUUCCGCAUCUGAGUUUAUGUAUAACUCUCACCAUCCCAUAGCAAGAGCCUAACUCAAGAAAACAUUACCAAAUUCAAUCACUGAAUAAGAGUACGAACAAGAUCAUUACCAUGCUAGGAUACCAGGUAAACUCCCUCUUUCAUCAAGCAAGGAGAUAAAUGCUAAUAACAUUUGAUCAUUCAACUUCAAUUCUUUUCGGAAAGGGCAGAGGAUGAAACAAUAUAUCGUUUAGUUAGGCGCAAGUGUGUAUUACGGCAAAAAAAAAUCAUAGUGAGGGAGAUGCAACUUUAUUUAGAGAAACAGAGAUGCUCUCAGGUUCUUUUUCCGAGGCUAAUCUUUUCUAAGCCUUUACUUUCAUUACAUCUCAACUACCUCUUCAGAGGCGAAUUCUGGCACUAAGUUUAUUUAGUCCAAUUUAUAUGGUUGAUAACACAAUAUUUUGAAUUAGGUUUUAAGUUGCACGAUAUCAUCCGAAGUUAAAUCAAAACUGGGGUGUGGUACAAAUGGACAAAACAUGGUCGAAACUUGACCAGACAAACUACUUUCAGGUCUCAUUUGUUUGCACUUAUUGGAUUUAUGAACCUGUUCAGACCUCAAACCAUUAAGUGCAUUUAUUUUUUUAGGAUUUUAGCUCUUAAUAGGUCUGAGUAGGUCUUAAUCAUUCAGAUGUGGAACCAAGUCUAAAUAUCAUUUACAGAUAUUCUUGUGUAGGAUAAAAUUCACCACUACUCUAUCCACAAUCACUUGCCACCACCACCAACCACUUUCACCAUCAAAACCAACAUCACUACCACCUACACUGCCAGCCGCUACCACACCUACAACUUCCAUUAUUCUAAUUAUAUCCACCGCCAACUAGGGGUGUUCACGGUUUAGUUUUUAACCAAACUGAACCGCGAUCCAAACCACACCGAUUAAAAAAACCUAUAUUUGGUUAGGUUUGGUUUGGAUUUGAAUUUUAAAAAACCGAUACUAAUUUUGUUUGGUUUGGUUUUCCUCUAAAAUAACCGACAAAAUAACCAAACCGAACCAAUAUACAUAUAUAUAUUAUAAUUAUUUAUAUGUUUUUCAUAAAUAUAAUCUAAAUAUUUGUUACAUUUUCUAUUUUAAUCAUGAUUUAACUUUAGUCGUAACACAUUCAGUCAUAUGUCUUCAUCUAGUUGACAAUACAUUAUGAGAUUUUAAAUGAAUUUCAUAUUUUGAAUGACAAAUGAUACUAAUUGUGAAAAUAAUAUCUUGUUAUAUAUUGAAAUUUACAGCUGAAAUUCUUUAGACUAUACACAAUCACUAAUUUUAACUUUCUUUUGAACCUUGUUGGGCAAGAAGUUUAUGUGUUUACCUUUUGGGGUUUAUCAUAUCAUUCUAUUAAAUAUAGUUUUUAAAAUUUUUUUUAAAAGCGUUCAUAUGGUGUUAUCAUGGGUUUGCCGAAGUAUAACACUCAGUUGAGAUCAUAUUUUCAAGAUUGAGAUACAACACUCAGUUGACAUCUCAUAUGUUAGAUUGGAUUUGUUUUUUAAAAUUCUCAAAUUUUAUCAUUAACUAAAGUUAUAAACCAAAAAACCCGAAUCAAACCGAACUAAACCGAUAAGAACCAAACAGAUGGUUAUUGUUUUUUUUGGUUAGGUUUGGUUUUAGAAAUUUAAAAACCGAUUAAGUUGGUUUGGUUAUGGUUUUGACCAAUAACCAAUCCAUAUCGACCCAUGAACACCCCUACUGCCAACGCCGCCACCAUCAACUGCUACCGGUCGAUCCCUACUACAAACCAACUCAUCUAUCAGAACUAGCAUUACCACUAAUAACCACCAACACAUCAUCAACUUCCACACAUCGCUAACAACCACUAACAGAUCAUCAACUUCCACACAUUCUUCGGACACCAUCACCACCACUGUCACCGGCGUCACCACCUCUACCACUACCAUCACAGCUAACAGCGUCUCCAAUGACCACUAACACAUCGUUAACCAUCAUGCAUAUAGUUUUCCUUCACCACAAUCAACACCUCCAACUACUAACAUUAACCAACUUCACAUCACAACCACCACUACCACUACUAAUCGCCAAUAUCAUGACAGUUACUACAAUGCCAUCUAUCUCUACUAUCACAACUAUCAUCACCAACAUUGCUAAUCACUAACAUCAAUUAAUUUAUUACAACCACCACCACCAUUACAAACCAUCUCCACUAUCACUAACAAACAUAAAUGUUUCUUUUUUUAAUCAAAUAAUAAUUUAAUUGCAUUAAAUUAAAAAACUUUCUAAUAUAUAAUUAUAUUAUAUUUAGAAAUAAAUAAAUUUUACACAUUCAGAUAUUGAGAAACACCCAACCUUAAUCAUUUAGUUUUCAGAUCUAGAGAUAAUAUCUUAACCGUUCAGAUGUGCAUUCAAAAUGAUUCAAAUAUAUGAAUAUUAAUAAAAACAAAUGCAGUCUUAGCUGAAACACAAUGGUAUGGUUGUGUGAUACUUUAAAGGAGUCCUCGAAAGCCAAAGAAACUACGUGAAAACAUGGAAGUUUGAUCAUCACUUCUCAGAGUUGUUCUACUCGAGAAACUAUAACAAUUAAGGUAAUAUAACCAUUAACAGCAUUCAACGGAGGAGAAGUCAAUUACAAUUGUCCGUGAAGUAGCAUUUAAUACAGCUUUGCUAGAUUGAAAGAAUCAUCUAUAUCUAUACUAAAUUAAAAGCAUGGAACCCCUAACUUAAAAGUUUGCGACAAUACCAUUCCUAUCAGCCUAAAUACCUACUAUCUAGUAAAAAAAGAGGAAACUAAUUGGCAUAAAGAGAAACAAUACAGAUGUUAAUAGGAACAACCAGUCAUUGUUCUUAUCUCAACAAAAUAUAUGUUAUUUAAAAAAAGCAAGCAGAGGGGUAACUCUCAAAUGUCAAUCUCAUGCUUUUAUCCUACCAAGUAUGUUCUAUUCUUUAAUGCACAACAACAAUAACAACAACAAAUCCAGUAUAUUUCCACAUACUAAUGCACUAACUUUCUUUUUUACCUAAUUAAUUGAACUUUUUAGUGAGGAUCUAAAUGAUUUUCAGACUUUGUUUAACAUCUGAUUCAUUAAGAUGUAUUAGUAAUAGGUUGAAUCUUUUGAAAAAAAACACUUAAUGGGCUGAUAUCUUAACCAUUAAGAUUCAGACCUUCAUUAAGUGAAAGCAAAUGAAAAGGGAUUGUAGUGUAAAGUCUAUAAAUAUGGCUUAGAAUAACAAAUGUAGUUGACACAAUUCAAUACUCCUAUUAUCAACCUAUUUCACCUGUUUCUCCAGCUCAUCCAUAACAUCUGUAAAUAAGUCUUUUGCUAUUGAUUCUAAAGUAUUUGAUGAGACAGCUACAUAUGCAGCAAAAUCUUUAAUCUGCAAGAACAAAAUAAAGAAGGAAAUUAUUGGAUGAAAAAAUCAAAAAGACAAAAAGGGAACUCAUGAAGGUAAUCACUCACUGAACACAAGAAAGAAAAACUAACUUUGAUGCAAUAAUCACGCCAGUUAGUUUUUGCAUUAAGUAUUCCCGCAGGAACAUGCUCUUCCAUCAGUUUUCGAAACUCAUCAAAAUUUUUACGUUCAGCUUUCCUCAAUUCUUCCUAUUUGAAUCAAUGGUGUAUGCCCAGUGAGAAAGAGAUAAAUCAAAGUCUCCAAACAUAAAUUUAAUUUUAACCCCCGAGUCUAAUAAGCAAUAUACCAUCCGUAGUUUCCUUUGCUCCUCCUCUUUGCUCUCUAAAUCACAUAUAUAUUCCUAAAACAGAAAAGGUUGCAACAUAACUUUAAAACAGAGGUGUACAAAUGAGAUGUUUGGAAAAAGUUAUUUAUGAUGUAUUAGAAAAAUGAGUUGUACCUGGAAAAUCUCCAAACGAUCAAUUUUGUCAAGGCGGGAGCAUCUUUCAUCAUUUUCCAAGCGGUCCUGAACUUUCCGCCACUGGCUACUGGCCUGAACAAAAGAACUCAGCAACAGUGGAACUAUAGAAGUUCUAUCUCCUGGAAAUAGAAAAACAUAAUCUAGGAACUGAUGCUAAUUCCACUAGAACAAAUACCUUAAUAAAGUCACAGGAUUUUAAAAAUUCUAAGUACUCCACUCUAUUGCGCUUCUGCUCCUCCAAUGCCUUCUCAUGCUCCUAAUAAAAUCCAGUACAAAGUAAAAAAAAUAAAAUUUCUCUAUAAAGAAGACAAUAUUUACAAAGAGACUUUAACUACACUUGCAUGAAAGUAUUGAAAAACUUUUUCUAUUUUACGACGGAGGGGGAGAGGAAGAAGCAUAUCAUAGUUUCAAGUUUCAAGAAAAAUUACAUACAAUACAUGGAAGUCUAUUUAUAUUAGAAUUCAAUGGUGAACAAAUUUAAAUCUUGUACCCUUGAGAAGCCAUUAAAAAUGUAUUCAAAGAACACAAGAUUUUAAGUUGAAUAUCUACAACAUUCCUUCUUUCUACUCUUUAAGCAAAAUAAAAAAAGGGAACAAACUAAAAGACAUCCUGCAAAGGAAAGGAAUGGAAUGACUGUUGUUAAUCAAGUGGACCAGUGCCUAACUCAACUUCGAAAACUAGGUCAGGUGGUGAAGAUUGUCCUUGAUCAUAUAAGGAAACUACAGCACAUACACCUUACUAGUGUGGGAUUCUCAUACACUAAUCGCACACCAAGACUAGACAUUUGUAGCAUCAGUUAACCUUGGUUGGCCAACAUCUAAUAGUCUAACAUCAAGAUAGAUCUGCCUCUAAUACCAUGUUUAAGAAAUUGGACCUUGUUUCUAGCUCAAAUGAAAGUCUAACUCAAUUUGUGAGGAGCCAAAGACCAUAUAAGGAAACUACAGUCCGAACACUUAGUUUUUAACAUAUAGAAACUUACAAGAAGGUUCUGCAAAAGGAGCUUCACCUUUUUCUCAAGUUCCUCCACAUAAUCUUCAAAAAGGUCCUCACAGUCUUUAGCUCGCUCAACAGCUUUAAAACGCUCAUCAUGUUCGAAUAUGUUCGAAUAUGGAGAUUUCCUUACUGAAUAAUCAAUAGCAAAUAGUCAGUGGAUCAAAUGGAACUUACACAAGUAAUGGAUCAACUUCAAGGUACCAAAACACAUACAAACAAUGACCAAGAUUAGAAAACAAGCAGCAGACAACUUAACAUUACAAGUGAAAGACAAACCUCCAUCUUGACGAUGGUGACAGCUCCUUGCAAUCCUGUAAGAUUGAGAACAACGGACAUUGUUGUGAAAAAUACCACUUAUUCUUUUGAACAAGUCAAAUACCAGUCUCUAACACAUCAUGAAUAUUAUGAUAAUAUCUUUUUAUUUUUGAAACUGGUAAUGUGAAUAUCAUGAUUUAUCAAAUGGAAGACAACCACAAAAGAAAAUUUCACUUACUUCUAACAUUAUCCUGAAAUCUUCCCGAGCUUUUUUCUGUUUAACACACCUCUCUUCAGCUUCCAGUUUUUUCUUUUGGCUCAGAUACUAGAACAGACACACAACUUCAAAAUGAUCAUUAUAGACCUUGGGUGUGUUUGGUAUGAAGGAAAAUGUUUUCCUAGAAAACAAGUUGGUUUCUUACUUGUUUUCUUAUGUUUGGUUGAUGAAAGGAAAACAUUUUUCAAAAAAUGUUUUCUAGUGUUUGGUUGGUGAAUAAAAAAAUAUUUUUCAGAAAAUACAUUUGAGAGUUGUACAAACAUUUCAACUUAAGAGUGAGAUUGAAAGAGAGUUUUGGAAAAUGUUUUUCCUACAUUUUGAAGGGAAUUCAUUUUCCUUAAAUUUAAGGAGAAUAAGUUGAUUUGGAAAAUAUUUUCCAAAAUUUUUAAGUCAACCAAACAUGGAACAAUUGGAUAUCAAACACAAUCUAUCUUUUUGCAAUACAGUAUGCUGAAAUAUUGAAGCAGCAAUUAACCCAUUCCAAUGCCGACUUGGAGAGAUACCUCAUUAAAAGCUUGCUUCCACUCACAAAGGGAUUUUAGAGCUCCAUAUCUCCGGUCAUUAAUUACUGCUCUCAUGGCCUGACAAAUACAAUUCAUGUCAAAUGAUCUCCCUCAAUUGUUUGGUACGCACAAAAUAGUCAAGUAAUAAACCUGAUCCUACGUGCAAUCAGACCCAAUAUUUGCAGAUUCCAAAAGAGUUUUGAAUGCAUUCUUUGCCUCCUAAAUAAAAUCAGAUACUUAAAAUAGAAAUAAGAGAAAUUUCGAGAACAUACAUUAAACAAGGGAAAAAGCAAUAAUCAACUAUACCGCUUUGCUCUCAUAAACUAAUGGUCCCAGCUCGACUGUUUUCUCAUCUGAUGGAGUAGCACCUCUGAUUUCAGUUAUUGCAGCAUCUUACUUGACAUUCUACAUUUUAGGCACAACAUCAAGCACAAAGGGAAAAAUCAAACCUCAUUGGAAUUUGUAGCAUAUUCUUUACCUGUUAGCAGUUGACUAACAACUGCACUACAAAAUUGUUGGAUCAACAUCUAGCAUAACAGCUACGAAAAGCUUUCUUGGUGUUUUAACCAGUAACCAGUAGUAAUUAACUAAUCUCAUAAGUAUUUGAGAAGGACAAAGUACCUUUCUAUUCUCCGAAGAAAAUCCAUCACCAUACACUACUGCAUCUUAAGUUGUAGUAGUCUCAGAACUACAGAAAAAUUGAAUUCCAAAUAAGAAGCAACACAAACCAGAGGCAAAUUUAUAACAUAUAAAUUUGAAAACAUACACCGGUGGCGCGACAAAAUUUCCCAAGGUUACUGCAAUUCCAAUUUUCUCCGAAUUAGCAACAGCUGGCGAAGUAAGUUCUGAAGAAUUCUUCAUUUUGACUGUUUCAAUCAUCGGAAUAGAAACCUUACCAGAUAAACUUGAUGAUUCUGAAGCCACAAUAGUUGGUAAGUUAGCAGCUGGUGACAUAGCAAUUGGGCUUGAUUUAGUACCGUGUGCCAAGACUAAUAAACCAUCUGCACCCGGGAUGAUGUUUUAACAACAGAAAUGGAUCCAAAAUCAGAAGCGUGCGAAAUGGUGUCCUUUUUACGUGCCAACUGUGAAUUUAUAAAUAAUUGAACUUUAUAAGAAUAGAGUUUCCAAGAAAACAGAAUAUUGCCCCUUCUUAUCAUGCUAGCAACUGUGAAUGCAUAAAGAUUUUAUGAGAACUAGAGCAUCCGAGAAAACAGAAUAUUAUCCCUUCUUAUCAUGCUAUUUAAAGCAUAUAACAAUCCCUUCUUAUCAUGCUAUUUAAAGCACGAAAUAAACCCAUAUUGGAUUUAAAUAUAACAUCACCUUGACUUCAUCAGGCAUUCUCCAUUUGGACGUUCUAGUAACCUUCUUGUAGUAAUACCUACAGAAAACAAACAAAGAAAUCAGCAUUAUGCACAAGUAACACACAAAAGUACCCACUGUAGAAGAACAAUUGGAAAGAGGCCAAAAAAAUAUAUAAGUUACACAUUUUCUUCCCUCAGGACUUGUAAAUUUUCUCCGGUCAGUUAAUGUGUCUGCCCUCUGUCCCAAUGAAAACAACAUAAAAGCAGGUCAAGUCAAAAAAUAGAACAUAAACAGUACCCUGAGAGUAGAAUUCAGUAACUUCCAGCAGUACAAUACUGGAUGGAAGUGUUAGAAUAUGAAUGAUAUAAUGUCCCACAUGGAAAAGGACUAGAAUUUACUGUGUAGAAUAUAACUACAAGCAAGGUGGAAACAUUGCCAAGCUGCGUUCGAGCUACAGCUAUCCAAGGGUGAUCAACUGAAUAACAUUCGCCUGAUAAUCACAUUUUGUAUAUAUAUAUAUAGGUUAAAUUCUGUCAUUUCUAAGUAUUUUUUUAUAAACAACCUUGCCACAAAAAAUAAGACUGAGUAUGAUAGUAAGGGUGUUCAAAUCCUACACUGAGGUUCUAUGUUCCAUACCCAACACAGCCCUUCCAUAAUUGUUUCUCCAUUUGGACACGUUUGAAAAUCAUAAACUACAGUUAUGCUUUUUUUCGAUGAAUAAAUUUCUGAACAUGCGUUUUUUGUCCCAAUUAGCUCUUGCAAAAGAGCUAGCAACUAGCAUGCCAUGUAUAAGAAUUUUGUUAAAAUAAACAUAAAGGUAAAUUUAUAAAAUGGUUGUUAUACUAGCUAUCUUGCAUGGGGCAGAGUGUUUAGCUGGUCAAGAGCUCGCAUGUUCGAAAGAUAAACGUAGCAGAAAUGAGGAUGUUGAGAUUGGUGUGUGAGCAUAGGAGAGAUAGAAUAAGGAACAAAGAUAUGCGAGAAAAAGUGGUAGUGCUCUCUAUGGUGGACAAUUUACAAGAAGAAUAGAGGGUUGGGGAUAAAGAACCUAAAAAUUCAAAGUAAGGCUCUCAUGUUGAAAUGGUUGUGGAAAUAUGAAAACAAUAACCAGCUGCUAUGGAGGAAAGUGAUUAGGGCUAAAUAUCCUGAAGAAGAUAGAUGGAUAACUAAAGAAGUGACCACACCAUACGGAGUUAGCCUCUAGAGAUCUAUUAGAUCUAUUAGACACUAGUGGAAUGAAGUUAAAAGCAACUCAAAGGUUAAAGUGAUGGAUGGAAACAAGACUAGGUUCUGGAAGGAUAAUUGACAUGAGGAUGGGAAUAUGGAAGUGACUUUUCCAGAUAUCUACAACUUGGUAUUGUUUCAAUAGAGGACUAUAGCAGAAUUAUGGACACCACAUAGGUGGAACUUCAAUUUCAGAAGGCAACUUAAUGACCGGGAGGUAAUGAGAGUAGUUGAAUUUUUUAAUACCGUAGGCUUAUUCAAUGGACUGCAGACUGUGAAGGACAUACUAUGGUGGAUGGGAAAUGAAAAAGGAAUGUCCAGUGUCAACAAAGCCUACAAGAUGAUGAACCAAAUAAAUCACCCGAAUCCAAGAUGGACAUGGAAGAAAAUAUAGAAAAGUAGGUUACCUCACACAGUGUCGUGCUUUGUCUUUGUGUGGUUACUAACCAAGGAAGUAGUUCUUACACAAGAUAAUGUCAUGAAGAAAGGGAAAACCUUGUGCUCCAGAUGUUUCCUCUGUGGAUAAACUUUAGAGACGUUUAACCAUGUAUGUCUACAUUGUAAGUACACCCAACAACUUUGGAGAAUAGUCUUAAGACUAAAAGUCAUUUCCAGGACAAUGCCUAGGAAAGUAUCUGAGACUUUAAUGUGCUGGGAGAAGUAGGUGUACAUGCGAAGGACAGAGGUAGAUGGAGACUUAUCCCUGGUGCUAUAUGGUGGGCUAUUUGGAAAGAAAGGAAUUCUAGAUAUUUUGAGAGCAUAGAGAAUAGUGUGCAGAAGGUUAAACUCAACUGUAUUUUGCUUUUAUGUUUUUGGUGUAAUCAACUAUACUCUAAUGAUACUGCCUCGAUAAUUGAUGUUCUAGACUAAAUUUAGAUAUAGAACAGUCGAUUUAGGAGUACUCUUGUAUAUAAAGGUUUCAGUACAACCCAUGUGCUGUUUGAUAUAAUACAAAGUUACAAAGUUAAAAAAAAAGAUAAUAAUUUUUCAAGAACUAAAAGUUUAUAAAAUAACAAAUAAAGCAAUUAAAUCUGAGUUCAAAUUGGGUGGGUUGGGCUAUGACCCGCAUUUUAGAGCAUUUCAACCCAACCCAUUUCAGCCCAAGUAGCUUUAGGGCGGGUGGAUAACCCGCCCAUUUAUUAACUCAGACCUCUUUGAUCAGCCCAAAUCUAGCCAGCCCCGCCCAUGUGACACCUUUAGUUUAAUAGAAGUAAAGUGGACCAUGCCAAAACAGAUCUAUUGAGUUGAAGUAAAGUGGACUAUCAAAGGACACACAACAAUCUGUUGAGCUGUUGGAUUAAAGGGGAUUAGCAAAAGUUAGAAGAAAUGGGGGAGAACAAUCCUUCCUUGUAUUUGGUGGACUGUAUGGAGCGAGAAAAGUUGAAGGAAUUUUGAAGAUAAAUAUAAUUCCAUUCAGAAAGUUAAAUGGAAUAGCAUUGUAGAUUUUUGUUUAUUGUUUAAGGGCCAAUGUGUACAGAAUGCAUAACAGGUAGUAGAUCUCUUCAAAUCCUCGUAUUAUUUUCAUUAUUUUUCAUUUUUUUUUUUGGACUGCUAGCAUAACCUUAACUCUGACGAAUGCAAAGUAAUAUCUCCAAAAAAAAAAUUGUUUAUCUCGAAAAGAAAAGAAUAAAAAUGUUCAAACUUCCUUACAGCUCUAGUUGUUGGUCCCUUAAUACUUGUCCCUCACAACCAGCCAAACUUUCUUUGAUAACCGUCGUGUUUGGGCCAGCUUGCACCUUGACUAGUUACACCAGGUACUGCUACCUCCCACCAGCAUAGAUACUGGGUAACUCUAUCCAUCAAGGCUUGGACAGACGGUAAGAAAUCACCUAGUGCUUUUAUCUCUGUUGGAAAUUAAACCUGAGACCUCAUGGUUCUCAAUCUACUUCAUUGACAACUAGGUCACACUCUUGGGUGCAAGUAUGCAACCAGCCAAACUAUUAUUCUGUAAACCAGAAUGAGAAGUGUGAACCGCAAUAUUAUAUCAAGUUUACUCUCUCCAUAUCGCCAUAGAGUUACAAUAACAUUACAUUAAUCAGAAAGUAAAUAAAAUUGUUUAAAAUAGACCAAAUAUAAUCCUGCCGUGUAUACUUAAACACAUUUUUUAGAACAAUAGUGUUAAAUAUAAAAUCUUUUAGAACUAUAUUGGAAAUAAAAAGCCAAUACAAAUCCUAAAUGAAGCCUACAUAGUAUAGUAAGAUCGAGGAAAUCUGCUCGCUAAACAAACUUUCAACAGAAAUCACAUAUACUUAGGAAAGAAAAAGUGGUUCUACGAAGCUUCAUAGAAAAAGAAUUGUGUACUUCUUUUUUCAUUGAUACGCACAGGAAACUGGAUAAAACUACCCAUGAAAAUCUCGAUGACACGAGACCUCACCUCCAUUUCUGUCAUCAGCUCUCGAGGUUUCUCCCAGGUAGAGAUUCUUGUCCUUCUAUUAUAAUAGUAUCUAAAAAUCAAUUCAAGAAUUGUGAAUGUUAUUUUAAUUGGUUGGAGUAAUAAAGCAAUAGGAGUCAGGUAGAAUUUGGUAGCGGUGAACGGCAGCCCAUAUGAUAACUUUGACAAAGAGGACUGAAACAAAGGGGCCUAUUAUCUCCAGUGCUAAUGGAAGCAAAAUGAUGUACAAAGCACUAGAUGUGGAUACUUGAGGGAUUUAUUGGCAGUGAUGGGGGCCAACAUAUCCACCACUUGUUCAUAGACAUGACAUUAAGUGUUUGUGAUGUAGACAUUAACCUAUUCAUACGAGUAACCUAUGUGAAUAUAAUCCAAAAGCAAGAAUUCUGGAAAGCCAAAUCGGCAUGCUCUUUCUUCUGUCUGGAGAACACAAAGUGGUAAAAAGAUUGGAUCUGAAUGAAGAUGAUAUUUUUGCAGAGCUCCUUUUCUUGUAUACCGUGGUUUUACACCUUUUUUGUUCACUGGAAUCUUAAUUUUCUUACAAAAAACUAUCAUAGAAUUCAAAUGUUGACUCUCUCAGUCAACACAGACCCAUUAACCCAUUAACUUAAGCAUACUUGUUGACAAUAUUUAUGCAAAAUGGGUACAAUAAAACACAUUGAAUUCUCACCAGAACAACCAAGGGAGCUGCUAAUUCUCCAGUCUUCUGCAUAGUUGUCGCAAAAUUCACAUUAUGAUUACUUAUUGGCAUCCAGGGUUGUACCCCUGAUGGAAACCUAUGAUUAUUUAUCUGUGUCUGAUACUGGGAGCCAGAAGAAUCUGCAUUUACCUGCUGUUAAAGACGAUAACAAAAUGUAUUUCAUCAAUAUAUGAAUGAAACAUCGAAAACUGAUUGACUAUAACCACAAAAGAUCUUCCCAAGGUCUUACAUUAUAUGAUGAAGAAAGAGGUAAAUUUGGCCCACCAGAACCAAGCAUGUGGUUAUUUGACAUCGGAAGAUUUUGCUGAAAAUCAUGGGGAAUAGGUGGUCCCUGAGGCAUACUAUACAUUCCUACUACAGGGAUACCAGUAACCUGUUGCAUAGGUUGAGGAAAUUGGAUUUGAGAAGGUUGAGACAUCGCAACAUUUGCAUGUCCAAGUGGCAGAAAUUGUUGAGAUGGCCCGGAACCAUAAGGUUGUGCCUGCUGGACUGGAAGCAUAGGCUGGAACUGCUAAAGAUGUGGGGAAAAUAGUUAUCAUAAUGUCUCUACAUUCAAAAGUCAUUUAUCCCUCCCCCAAGCCUCCACAACUUUACCUGCAGUGACAUGGAUGGAAUAGAACCAGGAGCAGGACCAGGCAGACGAGGUAUAGGAGGCUUCUCAACCAAUAUCUAUGCAAGGAAGAACAGAUGAAAUCAGAAUAUAGCUACUUUUCAAUCAUAUUUAGUUAAUUUUCCAAUCAAUGCUGAAAGCUUGUAACCAUGCGCAACUCCCUAAUUUAAUUUGAAAGACAAGGCAAGAAUUUUGAAGCCAAACCACAUAGUAACAUGAAACCCUUUUCUUCAUCUUAUAAACAGAAAGCUUGAAACGAGAAUAAAGAGAGAUAGGAAAUAGAUGACCUAUCACAGCGUUUGACGAGAAUGGACAAAAUGAGAAGCAUCUUUACCUUAUGGCUUGGGUUUAACAGAUACUGAUGGCCUAAGUAUCUUUUCUUCGGGUGUAAAGAAGCACGUCUGUUAAUGCAAAACUAUGAUCAUGGAACUAAAACAUGAGGUAUGAGUAGGUAUCAGGCUAACUGAAAAAUUCUGAGACCGGAAUGGGUUGAGCCUCACUCUUCCCUUCUGAUGUUCUAUGCCAUACUGACAUCACUACUAGAAUCUAAAAGCCUAACUUGGUUAUUCGCUCUAUCAUCUCCCCCUUAGCUUCAAGCUAUCAUAUUAAGUUUGGGAGAUCCCUUACUAGACUCUAAACUGAAGUACACUCACUGUACUCUGGGGUCUGGAAAACUACUAUACAUGUAUAUCAUGGAACUUAACCCGAAUGACUACACUUGAAAGUGGAAACCCCACUGUUAAUACUACCUUCUGAGAUGCACUUUAUCAUUCUAUAGACCCAGUAGUCAUCAUAUAAUACUUGCAUACUUACUAACUUCGGGUCUUCAUGGGUAUCCCCCAUAGUUGGAGUGCAUACCCUCUAGUGCUUUAACUCUUAUUUCUAUUAGUUCAACCUUUAAAAACUCAAACUUAGAACCUAUCACUCAACAUUGAUAUCACCAAGCCUUCAAUGAAUCGUACUACUUCCGACAUAGCCUACCAAUAUCGCGACUCCAAACUUACAUCUCUCUACUAUGAGAAUCAAGAUCAUAUAAAAGGGUCAACACUAUCAAUCAAAACUCUUUUACUUGGCUAUUUAAAACACCAUAUACCAUCUAACUAGUCUUUCUCCACUAGCAACUCAACGGUACCACUCGUCACACAAAACGUGUAAUAGUCUUAGAAAAUACCGAAACCUCAGAUCACGUUGGGCAUACUUCUACAUUAUAUAUGCAACAUCAUACUUCACUACGAAUCAAACAAACUUAAGCACUUGCAUAUAUCGUUCAAGCCUAUGAGAUUACUUCCAUAAAACUAGUAUCAUUAACCAAGAAAUCAUCACAUCCACCUUCAUGGACAUCAAUUGUUCAAAACUUAAUGUCUAGUGUUAAACAUGAUUUUACAACCCAGCCUUAUGCAUGAUUCUCACUUGGAUAACAUGAAAUAGACAUCAAGAAACACUAGUACACUAGAACUUCUGAACAACAAAUAAUUGAUCUUGACCUUAUGGUCUUCCUUAUCAUAACUCAUUAGCACGUACUAUUUUAACACAUCAAGCCUACUAAUUUUUUCCCACAAAACAUACAUCAUUAAUCUUAUGCCACUAUUUUUACCACCACAUUCUACAUUAAAUUCAAGCAUAUAGUCCUGUACCAAUCAUCUAUCACUACUAAAAAAAUGUCCUACAACAUAUAUUGACAAAGGGGAAAUAAUGUCCCACAACAUAUGUGGACAUCUGAACAACCGCUUGCGAAAUCUCUAAUACAUGACUGAAACAAAUUACUAUCUGAAAACUAGGACAAGGCCCCAGUAGACCCAAAACUACCAAAUGAUAAAUGAACUGACAGACAUCAGGCCUUCCGAAAUAUAGAAGGCUCACCACUUGAUUCUGCAAAUCUGUCGGAAGAGAUCUACUAGUUAUCUGGACCCCUAAACUAUGCCUCCAAACCUAGAAAGGAAGGGGUUCAAUACAAAAGUACUAGUACGCAAAGAAACCAAAAACAAAAUAUAAUGUUUUUUUCCAAAUAUAGGUGAGAGCCAUUAUAAAGCAGUUCCAUAUCAAAUCAUUUGAAAAUAUAUGGGCAUAAUAUAAUAGUUUUCAACAACAAUGUAAUGCAGCUGGGCUAGGUGGAAUACCCUACAUAUAACAUUUACACCAACUUUCAAAUCUCAGUUGCUGCCGAGAUUAGAGUGUAUGUGAGGGGAAGACACAUAAGAUCACACAGCAGAGUGUCUCGACCCAAUAAAGUAUAGUAGUUCCCAAGAUCACGUAGCCUAGGCUCCUAACCAUAGUCCCAAUUAGGGAAUGACAUAAAGUCAAGUACACAAGAUCACAAAGCAGGGUACCAAAUCCCCAUGUCGGCAAACAUGGUUUCCAGCGAUGAGCCCUUAUACUCAAACGCCUUCUUCGGGCACCCACCUAUCUCAUUUAAAAUCAAUGCAUCAAACUCCAUUUAAUUCAAUCACAUAGCUUAUUCUGUAGGGUAUCGUCAUACCCGACUUGCAAGCCAUCAAUAUCAUAUCAUUCUUUCAUGCAACCAUUAUAUUCAUCAUAUUUCAACAUAACAACCCUCUCAUUGCAAGUCAAAACCAUAACCAUUUUCAAAAUAUUUCAUGUCACGCUUGUCAAGAUGAUUUCAAACAUUUCAAAUCAUAUGAGAAUUUAAAAUAAGAUCAUAUAAAAAGAGGGAUUUCAUUUAAUUCAUGCCCUCAAGUUAACAUCUUUUUGGAAUACAUGCAUAUACAUAUAUCAUAUAUCAAACCACUUCGGCAAUAGGCCUAAAGACCAAAUCAAUAUCAUAAAACGUUUAAAACGGGAUUAUAUUCAUAAUUUCAAAACCCCAAUUUUUAAAACAUGAAUUUUUAAGCUCAUGAUAUUUUUGAGAUAACCCCACGUACCUCUAUAUGCAAAUAUGAUAGGUGCUUCUUGAAGCCUACGUUCUGGGGAUUCCAAAGAUGCAAUUAGUUUCAAAAACUCACGGUUGAAUCUUGAGUUGCUUGAGUUUUUAUUUUGAAACCCUAAGGAGAGUUCUUGAGAAAUUUUGAUGAAUGAAGGUGUAUUUUGGGGUAUUUUGGGAACUGAAUUACGUGUUUAUGGCUAAAUAAGGGUGGGAAAAGAACCAUUUUGCCCCAAAAAUAAAGUGUUUAAGUCACUUGAGUAAUUAUAUAUGUGGCGCAAACCUUAUUAGAUAAUAUAGGUUGUGCGGCGCACUCUUUAUCGCACAUAUUAGGUUGUGCGUUGCACACCUUAUGGAAUAAGUUAGGGUAUGCGUCGCACACCUUAUGCUGCACGACACACUCCAUUUUGGAAAGCCAUAACUUCUUCCUCAGGUGUCGGAAUUUUGCGAAAUUGGUAUCGUUGGAAAGAUAAUUCAAAUAACUUUCAUUUGAUAUAUAGUAGGCACUCUAAUUCAAUAUAUACGAAGAUUAAUGGUCGAUUGAAGUUGACCUAAGUUUCAACACUCACUAAAAUUUGAACGAUAGGAAAACUUUCAACUUGUCCUUGAGCUUGGCUACCUCUAUGAUCUCAAUUCAUGCUCAAAUAGGUUUCCACACUACAUAAUUUAUUAACAUACUAAACUUGCAUUGGAUUUAUGGAUUUUGUAACCUUUACGUGAAGAAAAUGAUGAUUUUCGUUCUCGUCCGAAAUGCGGGGUGUUACAAAAUUUUGUUAGAAAAUGGAAAAUACAACCAUAUGGAGUACAUUUUAGUUGCACCGUACUCCAAAUACACUAAACUGAACUUUAAAAGUACUAAUGCAUUUCUUACCUGUUGGUGUUUAGCAUUCAAAAGUUUUAUUGUCUAUGCUCGGAAGAUAGCCACAACGACGGUUUCAAGAAUGAAAACUAAUCUUAAAAGAAGCCAUGCUCGCUCUGGAGUUCCUGCUAUAUGAUGCAACAUUAAUCUACAACGUUGAAGCCACUUUCCUAAUCCUUGGAGUCUAUGUUCUUCCGAGAAUGAAAUAUGAUUAGGUAACACAUCCUUAACAUCAUUUGAAUUAGUGACAGGAGGAUUACUAUCGCAAUGUUCUCGAUCAGCGUCCAAACUACUUCUCUACAAUAAGGCUAGAAUCAUUGGGACUAAUCCAUUCUCCUCAGCAUCAAUACAAAAUUAGGAUCAAGCCCUUUAUCUUACAAUAAAUUAGCUAAUUCAUGAUUAGUGUGUCUUCCUUUCUGCUUUAACAUAGAUGUAAUCCUGGGAUCACUCAACUUUUCUUAAAAUGCAAGUACCAAAUUCAAGUCUAGUAUCUGUUGGUCUGCAGAAGUAGAUGUACUAGAAUCACCGCCUUGGCUUUCAAGGCCACUGCUAGAACAAACAACCAAUGAACUAUUAUGCUCUAAAUUUCUAUCAACAUAUGAUGAUCCUACUUCAGGCUCUUGAACAACUGAACGAUAGGAACUACUGCGUAGAGCUAGACUUGGUCUUCCACUGUCUAUCCUCUUAUCACUAUUAAUCCCCUCAAUGUUAUUCUAGGUACUUCCAUCACCAGUGUAAGGCACAGUUGCAUUACCAAGAUGACCAGCAUUAGCACUACUACUGCGUUUGAUACCUGAGCCACACUCUUCAGAAGAGCUUGCGGAGCUAUUUUGGUCUUUUCUAUGGAAACCUUCUCUAAGGCAGAUAACUGUGCUCUGCAAGGCAUCUCGUCUAGCUGCUAAUGGUUCCGUAACUGAUAAAUGCCAUGUAACAGCAGCACCCAACAGCACAGAUACUACAACUGCAUAACUGAUACAAUGUCCAAAGUACUUGAAACAAAAUUGUUGCAGUAAGAGAUUAGAAGAUUUUUUUUUAUAACAAAAGAUUAGAAGUUUCUAUUCAACAAAUAAUAUUAAAAGGGAUGCAUAUGCCACAAGUAUAAGAACACUUGAUUAUGGAAGAAAAUGAAUUAGCAUGGGUUAACAACAAACCAGUAAUGAACUCCAAAAUAGAUCAGGAACACCCGAGAUAUACCGGCAACAAAAAGUACGACGACUCGACUUUUCAGAAGCUUAAAACCAUACAAGCAAGCUCCCAAGUUCCAAUCUGGUUGAAUGAAAAGCUAGUGAAUUCAUCACUUAACACAAGGAAAUAAGAAAUUAUUUCACAAUACGAGUCAGAAAAGGAGACAGAUAUAUGUAGGAAAUGAACUACCAAGGAUUAUCACGGCAGCUGAUGUUGNNNNNNNNNNNNNNNNNNNNNNNNNNNNNNNNNNNNNNNNNNNNNNNNNNNNNNNNNNNNAGUACUACAAGUGAACCAACAUAUAGAAGUCCAAGAUGCAGAGCCCAAGUUCAAAGUGAAGGAGAGUAAAUUAUAGACUUCAGAGAAAAUGUUGAAAAGAUAGUGCAGAAAAUAUGAUGAGCAGUAUAAAUGAGAACCCACUAAACACAUAAUAUAAUAAGGUGACUUUCUAAUCUAAAGCAGCAUUUAAAUUAAUUUUCUUAGCAGUGCGAUUUUAAUAUCUACUGUUUUUACUGAACUACUGGAGAGUGUGUUUUGUUCUCUCAAAGUUAGCAUUCCUUUUAUUCAAAUAGAUUUGAGUUACACCCGUUGUUUAGCGUUCUUUGGCUCUUAAUUUUAAAAGUCUGUUAGUUGAGAACAUUUUGGCCUAUCUUCAUAUCUUCCAUAUCUUAUAANNNNNNNNNNNNNNNNNNNNNNNNNNNNNNNNNNNNNNNNNNNNNNNNNNNNNNNNNNNNNNNNNNNNNNNNNNNNNNNNNNNNNNNNNNNNNNNNNNNNNNNNNCAUCGUGUUUACACCAAAAAUAAAGAAGUGCUAAACUAUUCAUGUUGAUCUUCUGGACAUCCUCAAAACAACCCUUGUUUCUUUCUGUCCAAACUGUCCACCAUAUACAUGUUGAACAAUUUUCCAUCUCUCCUCCUUUAUUACAUUUACAUCCCCGUUCCAGCUGCUUAGUACUUUUUUAAUGCUCCCAGGCUCUACCCACCUGAUCCCCUUCAGGUUGAAAACAUUCUCUACAACUGCUCUGUCCAUUUCCAAUGUAAGAAAAAAUGGUUGAUUGAGUAAAGAAAGGAUCUUGGGCCUAACUUAACCCCAAAAGCUAGCACAUGAGAGGAGGAUUGCUCAAGUCCAUAUAAGAAGACCGAUAGUUCACUCCCCAACAAUGUGGGACUUUCACCCACUCUAACACCACCUUCACGCCCACGCCAAACAAGAGCGUAGUCCGGGAGCUCAAACGUGGAUGGACCUGCUGUUUGAGAAGGAAUAUCAACUGCUAUUUGUAUGCAAGAGAGAACAGAUGAGCUGUUAUUACUGAAUGCAUUGGGUCUAUCAGCACGUACAGGUUUAUGCAUUAUGCCAUUAGGUUUUGCAGCAGUUCCAAUAUUUUCAGCAGCACCACAAGUUGAAUUCUAAUGCACUGCAGUAAGGAAAGAAAACUUAAACAUUAACUUGAGACAACAACACAAGCUUCUCAAAUGCAGGUUCGAGCAAAAACAAAGAUAAUAAGCAAAUAGAAGGCAAUGAAGAUAAAGGAUAAGUCUAGAUAAGCUUAGGGACAGGCUCCAAACUGAACAUAGUGCUCGUCAUUCUUGUUGCAGAUAAGAUCAGACAACUUAUAAUUUUGACGUUAAGAGUUUCUUGUAGAGGGUGCUGAAUCCAUUUUGCAACUUGGGAGGCCUUGUAAAGCAUAGAAAGGCUCAUUUUUGUAAAGAAAAUACUGCCCACAUAGUAUAUAUGCUAUCAUUUUCAAAAAAAUAUGGUGCUUGCUGGUUUUACCAAUAUCAUGUAUGCUUGUACCUUCCAAUGCAACCUUCUGGCGAAAAAACUAACCACCAAUAGGCAUCUUUCACCAUAGAAGAUUCUAGGACUGUCUUACUAGGAAUUAGGUAAGUGCAAGUUCUUGAAGCAAAAUUGUUUGCAUCAUUGAAGAUUAGAAAGCCAGGUAUACAAGAGAUUAGACAUGUUAAAGAAAAAAUGACAGGUUUAAUAUCAGGAAAGACAUAGAAAACUCUCAUUGACAUAUAAAUGAUGGAUCCCAAAUACCUUCAGAAGUUACACACAAAAGGAAAAUGGUACAAAAACCAAUUCCACCUUCAUAAUAACUAUGUCUUCUUUAUGUAAGCAUAAACAUUAUCAGGAAAGACAUCAAAGAAUCUCAUUGACAUUUAAAUAAUGGUUCCCAAAUAACUUCAGAAGUUACACGCAAAAGAAAAAUGGUACAAAAACCAAUUCCACCUUCAUAAUAAUUGUGUCUACUUGAUGUAAGCAUAAACAUAAAGAACAUAUUAACAUACCAAAAAAUUAUCAAAAUGUUCUACAAUAUAGUGCAUAGUUUUUUUCGUUUUUUGAAAUUGAACGCAGUCCAUAGUUUAAAAAUAUGCAAACAACAUUUAAUGUGGCAGGUGAAGCAUCAAGUACUGGAAGGAAAAUUUAAAACAUGGUGGAGGCAAAUGAAAGAGAAUAUCUAAAAGAAUGAUCAGAGGGCAGGGUGGAAUUCCCUCAUAGCAAGUCAAAUGAAGUUUAAAACUAUAUAAAGAAGAUGAAACUAGAGGCUUCUGUAUGUGUCUCACACACUUGGAAUAAACUAUUUGUGAAUGAGCAUAACAGAAUCAAAUGUACUGAGACAAAGCAGGCAUUUGAUUGCAGAUCAAAUGGAAGAGUCUGCCAACUGACCAGAUUUAAGAGCAGCUCUGGUCCAUGCACCAUUUUGAGGUAAAGUUAUAUAGGUAAAAAUUUGGACAUUACUUAAUAUAUACACAAACUGAACAUGAACUGCCCAAUUAUACAAGUGCUUUUUGUAGCUACACAGUGACAACCUUAGUGAAAGAAUUCAUCAAUGAGAAGUUAACUCAGUAAGCUUAGUGAGAUUUCCCCCACAAGGAAUGAAAGUGUGGAUGACCCGACAUCAAAUAUACGAUUGUUAUUAUACACACAAUCUCCAUACAACAGCAAUCCUCACUAAAUACUUCGUAAGACAAAAAUCAGCCAAUACUUACAAAACCAAAUGAAGCAAAAUAAGUUCAUUGUCUUGAUCACCAACAAGUAAAAGAAAUGUUUACAAUUGGAGAUUCAAAAAGGUUGCAAAAGAAAGAAGCAAACUUUCUCUUUAACAAGUAUCAAAGGGGGGAAGAAUGAGAGUAAAACCAGUAAGUAUACGAGAAGUAUGAACACUAUUGUAGUUUGGCCAUUUAGCAUCCAUCACUCCAACAGAGAAUCAGGACUUGCAAGAAGGUCGAAAGGUUUGCCUAUUGAGUCUUUCAAGAUUGUGAUUUGACCCUCUUUCAUAAGAAAGUCUUCGUCGAGGGUAUCUACCUUCCUUUUCAACAUGUUGAUCUCAUAAUUCAACAGCAUGUUCAUCUCACUGUAGCUCUUAACUUCCUCCCACAUGAAAUCCCUCUCUUGAAACACUUUUGGUAGUAUCGCCUUCACAAUGCCAAGUUCCUUCAUGUAUUCUUGCAAAUCAUUAGUGAGCUGGUUGAUAUUUUCAUCCUUUUUUAGCACCUUCCAGAAUCAACUGUAAACCAUGAAAAACAAAAAAUACACAAAGAUCACCAAUAACAUUUCAUCAGAAAUUCAAAACAAACUCAUAGCCUAGAAGUUCAACCAAAUCAUGAAUCCUUUUUAACUGUUAAAAUUCACAGUAGAUGACUCGUGAGCUUGUCCAAGAAUUAAGUCAGAUGGACGAUCAAACUUACCGAAACCCUUCGGGUAACUUUAGCACAUCAGAGCACAAUCAGAUCAAUGGGUUUAGGGAUAUCACAAAGUUUAUCAUGUUCUUGGUUAGUUCAACUGAUUACACAUUAAGACGAUCAGACAUUUCAUAGAAGACUACCACAUGCCAGCAACUCAUGUAUACAAGUUCAUAAAGAAAACCGUGAACUUCAAAUGGAACAAAGAUGAACCUAAAAUCAAACAAAAGUAGAAAGCUAAUGCAGAGAGAGUAACAUGCGAACAGGCUAUCACAUAUGAAGACGAGGUAUCCAAAGUUGAAAAAUAAAAACUAUUCCAUUGCAACAAGAUCUUAACAUUGCCUGCUUACCUGAAGCUCGAUAUAUUUUAACUUGGGUGUGGCAUAAGAAAGAGCGUCCAGUGCAUUUUGCACUUCACAUUUGAGAAUGUCAUUACUUUUAACUGUUGCGCCUAGAUCAUCCUGAAGUUGCUUUAUGUCCAUCUUCUCGGAAUAGAGCUUCUCCCUUAGCACAGUUGUCAGCAAAGUCUCCGAUUUAAGCUCUUUAACCUUUUCCUCGUAGCUUUCUCGAACAUAAUACAUAUUGCCUUGAGCUACUCGAUAUUUUGCUUGUAACUGAGUCAGCUGCUGCCUUAGAUUUUGAUUCUCCUCUGACACUUGCUCUAUUCUCUUAGACAAAUCUUUAAGGUGUUUCUCAGAAAAUGACAUCUUGAUUCUAUUAUCUACUUCCUUCUCAUUAAAUGAAGAGACUUUCCUUUGUAGAGAUAUAUUCUGCUCUGCAAGCUCUCUCGCCCUUUCACGGAGUCUAUGUUGUUCAAUUUGGUAUUUCUCAAGUUUUAGAGACCAAUCGCUGGAUCUUCUAUCCAACUCUUUUUCUAGUACUGAUUGUAACUCAUUCUUUUCUGUCUCUAAUCUUCGUGUCCGUGAAUCUAGUUCUGCCUGUAAUAUGUUGGCUUCUUCCUUAGCAGAAGCCCUUUAAGCAACUUGAUUCCGUAGCAUGUUUGAAACUUCAGAAGCCAUUUGUACCUUCUCCUUUGUUAAUCUUCUAAUAGUCCGAAUCCACACUGGAAUACUAAGGUCUCUGUCGUGAAGAAACAUUUGUCAUUACUUUGGACAAGCAAAUGCAAAUUAAGACAUCAGUUUAAGUGUGAAAAAGGAAGCUACAGCAAAAUGAUAUGCAUACCGGCUUGAAUCACGACCAGAUUUCUUAGGAUGAACUUUCUUACUGUGACCAUGGGGAGAUUUUCUCAGAUCCGUGAAAUUCUUUUUUCCUGACCCACUGUCAUAGAAGGAUCAAGAUAACAAUGAAACACUCCUCCAAGAAGAAACUUCCUUGGACUUUAAUGGUGGUGAAGGGGUCUUGUUUGCAUCAUUAGUUGAUGAUCGAAAAAAUAAGAAGUUGUUCUUCAUCAUCUCUGUGUAUGGAGACUGUAUAUGAAUCAAACUAGUGUACAUGAAAUUUCAAAAGACAAAGCAAAACACUCAUAAACAACCACUCACAAAUCAUUAUCCAUUCAUGAAAAUACUGCAAGCUAACUAAAUACUUAUUAGACAAAGCAAAACAUCUCUCUUUCUAUAUGUUUCUUCUUCAACAACAACAUACGUAACCCCUACCUUGGCAAGUAGAAAAUUUGUUUCCCAUAAAUCCUCGGCAAGGAAAGCAAAGACACGAGGAUAUUAACAACAGUAGCAAGUAAUAAAACAGAGGUAUACAAUACAACAAGUAGAAAAGAAAAAUAUAUACUAAUACUACUACCAGAAGAGACAUGACGUGAAACUAUUUACUCUAGUCUUCUACUGAAAAUUAAUAAAAUACCCCACAAACAAAUAGCACAAGAACAAUUCAAAGAACUUAUCAAAUCCUUCUAAUAAAACAAAUAAUCAUGGUAAAUAAUUAAAAAAAAAAUUACUAAAUCAAAGAGUUGAAAGAGUAAGAGCCGGCAAAAGGUUGUCAGAAUCUAUAGGAUUCUUGUCAUUUUUUCUUGAAAUAUAAAAAUUGCAAAAGACUAGAAUGGAGAAAACUUUUUUUUCUGUGUCUUUCAUUCAUCAUCGUACAAUGCAUAUAUACAACUAACAAGGAUCUGUAAAUUACUAGUAAAUAUUUACAAGGAUCUAUAUAUGGCAAGUGAAUAUUUACAAGGAUCCAGAAAUAUACUAAGUUACUAAGUCCUACAACGACAGGUGAAACGAUGAAGACAGAAGACCAUAAUUCCUGUUGUACUAUUUCCAAGAAAAAACAUUCGCAUACAAGCAAGUUGGAAAACUAAGCGCAUGACUUCUCUACAAUGUACGCUAUACUCUCUUCAUUUUGGGAUGUGGAAAAUAUUUGACCUUAUUAACUAGAUUCAUCUAUGUUGAUUCCAAUAAAAAAGUUCUAGGCCUUUUGAGAUUGCUUUAUUCCAUAUAGUAUUGGUCUCUCAUACCUUUGUACACCUACAAUCAUCAUGUUGCAGGUCCAGCGCAUGUGCUACUAGCACCAAAAAUCAAAAUUAAUAUCUUAAACAUUAUGUAUACUCCAAAUCGUCAUACAAAAUGGAGCCACCGGAGCUUUCAUGUCUAAUGAAUUUUUCAUUUUUCAUAAAAUGGAAAAAGUACCUNNNNNNNNNNNNNNNNNNNNNNNNNNNNNNNNNNNNNNNNNNNNNNNNNNNNNNNNNNNNNNNNNNNNNNNNNNNNNNNNNNNNNNNNNNNNNNNNNNNNNNNNNNNNNNNNNNNNNNNNNNNNNNNNNNNNNNNNNNNNNNNNNNNNNNNNNNNNNNNNNNNNNNNNNNNNNNNNNNNNNNNNNNNNNNNNNNNNNNNNNNNNNNNNNNNNNNNNNNNNNNNNNNNNNNNNNNNNNNNNNNNNNNNNNNNNNNNNNNNNNNNNNNNNNNNNNNNNNNNNNNNNNNNNNNNNNNNNNNNNNNNNNNNNNNNNNNNNNNNNNNNNNNNNNNNNNNNNNNNNNNNNNNNNNNNNNNNNNNNNNNNNNNNNNNNNNNNNNNNNNNNNNNNNNNNNNNNNNNNNNNNNNNNNNNNNNNNNNNNNNNNNNNNNNNNNNNNNNNNNNNNNNNNNNNNNNNNNNNNNNNNNNNNNNNNNNNNNNNNNNNNNNNNNNNNNNNNNNNNNNNNNNNNNNNNNNNNNNNNNNNNNNNNNNNNNNNNNNNNNNNNNNNNNNNNNNNNNNNNNNNNNNNNNNNNNNNNNNNNNNNNNNNNNNNNNNNNNNNNNNNNNNNNNNNNNNNNNNNNNNNNNNNNNNNNNNNNNNNNNNNNNNNNNNNNNNNNNNNNNNNNNNNNNNNNNNNNNNNNNNNNNNNNNNNNNNNNNNNNNNNNNNNNNNNNNNNNNNNNNNNNNNNNNNNNNNNNNNNNNNNNNNNNNNNNNNNNNNNNNNNNNNNNNNNNNNNNNNNNNNNNNNNNNNNNNNNNNNNNNNNNNNNNNNNNNNNNNNNNNNNNNNNNNNNNNNNNNNNNNNNNNNNNNNNNNNNNNNNNNNNNNNNNNNNNNNNNNNNNNNNNNNNNNNNNNNUCCUAAUUUUAUAGCUUGAUUAUAUUUAAUUAAUCUACAAUUACAUAAAGGACUCAAAUAUGGAAACAAUUGAUAUUAAUUACCUUUAUAAUUUCAAAAAUUUAAUCCCAUGAAUUUCUCAUAUUCUUAUAGUUUGAUUAUAUCAAAUUGAUAUUAAUUACCUUUAUAAUUUUGGGAAGAAUUUAAAAAAGGUAACGAUUAUUUUUUUCCUAAUUGCUGAUUUAUUUCUCAAAUUUUUUUUAUAAAUUUAUAAUUUGAUUAUAGUUAAUUGAAUAUUUAAUUAUCUUUCUAAUUUCUAAAAACUCAAAUAAGGUAACCAUUAUUAUUGAUAUUAAUUACCUUUAUAAUUUUGGCAAUUCAAUCCCAUGACUUUCUCAUGUUUUUUAUAGAUUGAUUAUAUCAAAUUGAUAUCAAUUACCUUUUAAAUUUUGGGAAGAAUUUAAAAAAGAUAACAAUUAUUUUUUUCCUAAUUACUGAUUUAUUUCUCAAAAAAAUCUUAGAAAUUCCUAAUUUUAUUGUAGUCAAUUGAUUAUUUAAUUAUCUUUAUAAUUUGAUAAAAGCUCAAAUAAGGUAAUAAUUAUUUUUUUUUAGAUUACGGAUUUUCCUAUAUUCAAUCUUUUAUUGUUUUAUUAAAAUAGUUCAAAUUUAAUUGUUUUGAGGGAUGACAACUUUUUGUCUCUAAAUCUUUUUUAAUACAUAAGAAAUGCUACAGGAAUACAAUAAUCUUCUUUCUUUUUAUAAUCCAAACUUACCAUUUAAAAAUUAUUUCAUUUGAAUUAAUAAGAUCAUAGUAGUUUGUACAAAAUCAAUUAAUUAAUUAUAUGUAUUUUUAUAUAAAAAAUGAUGUACGACAUAAUUGUAAUAAAAUUACACAAUUAAAUUUAAUGUUGUAAAUUUUAAAAUAUAUUUAUGACUAAAGUAGUAGUCAGUGUUCAUUGUUUUUUUACCAAUAUAUGUAUAUCAAUUACGAAACAUUGCAUCUAUUUUUUAUUAAAAUACAUUGUCAAUAUUAACUGAUUUCUAUCUCAAUUUGAUCUAAUUAAUUUUAUAACAAUAAAAUUAUUAUUUAUAUUAUAUAUUUAUUUACCAUAAAUCUAUCCUAAUUAUAUAGUUUGAUUAUAUUUAAUUAAUCAACAAUUACAUAAAGGACUCAAAUAUGGAAACAAUUGAUAUUAAUUACUUUUAUAAUUUCAAAAAUUUAAUCCCAUGAAUUUCACAUAUUCUUAUAGUUUGGUUAUAUCAAAUUUAUAUUAAUUACCUUUAUAAUUUUGGGAAGAAUUUUAAAAAGGUAACGAUUAUUUCUUUUCCUAAUUACUGAUUUAUUUCUCAAAAAUUGCUUAUCAAUUUACAAUUUAUUUAUUUAAUUAUCUUUACAAUUUGCUAAAAACUCAAAUAAGGUGACAAUUAUUUCUUUUCUUAAUUACAGAUUUUCUUAUAUUCAAUCUUUCAUUGUUUCACUAAAAUAGUUCAAAUUUAAUUGUUUUGAGGGAUGACAUUUUUUUGUCUAUAAAUCUUUUUUAAUCCAAACUUAUCAUUUAAAAAAUAUUUCAUUUGAAUUAAUAAAAUCAUAGUUGAUUGCAUAAAAUCAAUCAAUUAAUUAUAUGCAUUUUUAUUAAAUAAAUGAUGUACGAAAUUAUUGUAAUAAAACUAUACAAUCAACUAAUUAAUUUCAAUUAAUUAGAAUCAAUUUUAUGAUCAUAAUAUAUAGACUCAAGUUCCUUAAAUUUAAUGUUGUAUGUAAAUUUUAAAAUAUAUUUAUAGCUAAAGUAGUAGUCAACGUUCGUUGUUUUUUUUCCAAUAUAUGCAUAUCAAUUACGAAUCUUUCCAUAUAUAUAUUUUUUAUUAAAGUAAUUGUCAGUAUUAACUAAUUUCUAGUUCAAUUUAGUCUAAUUAAUUUGAUAGCAAUAAAAUUAUUAUUAAUAUUAUAUAUUUAUUUACCAUAAAUCUGGCCUAAUUUUAUAGCUUGAUUAUAUUUAAUUAAUCUACAAUUGUAUAAAGGGCUCAAAUACGAAAAUAAUUGAUAUUAAUUACCUUUAUAAUUUCGGAAAUGUCACGACCCAAAUGGCCAUGAGUGGUACCCACACUAAUCUUCCUAUGGGAGAACCAUCUAAACCGAACCAUUACCUAGUCACUUAGUCAAUAUUAAGAUGAUAUUGUUAUAAAAUCACAUAAUAACAAUAAUCCAGGACUAAUUAUUACUAAUGCGGAAGUCAAAGCUACUUACUAAAAUCCCCAAGACCCGAAAGUCAUCGUACAAUAACUACUAACCAAGAUCAUGUCUAAGAAUAUAUACAAACAUAAAAUAAACAAAGAAUGUCUCACUGUUUGAAAGAUGGACAAGAAUAAAUAAGAUGACCCAUGGCAGCCUGGAGAUGGAGUGCUCAAUCUUGGAUCAAGAUCUGUUAUCAAACUCUAGAGGUGAGGUCAUGUCUGAGCCUCUAGAACGCUUUAUGCACUCAACAAAAGAAGAGUACAGGGUAGUAUCAGUACAAACCACUAUGUAAUGGUAGGCAUCAUAGGUCAACUCAAUUUAAUAGCAUGUACACAACAUAAAUCAAAUAACAAGUAACCAGGCAUCGUCACAUAACAAAUAUUCAAUAACAACAACGGGUCAACAGUGCUCACAAACAAGCCACAUAACCAUCAAGAGUAUCAACCAUACUGUAAACAUCCACCAAAUCAACACAAGUAUGUACACACAUGUAGCAAUCAUUUUUUUCCUAAUUACGGAUUUUCUUAUAUUCAUUCAUUUAUUUGUUUACAAAAAUAGGUCAAACUUAAUUAUUUUGAGGGAUGAAACCUUUUUUAAUAUUUUUUAUUCAAAAUUGUCUUAGUUUUAGGCUAGACUAUCCUUCUUUAUUAUAUAGAUAGAUAAUUUCAAAAAAAUUAAUUAGAGUAUUUUCUUAUAAAAAUAAUAUAAAUAUUAUUUUAUAAAAAUAAUAUAAAAUAUGGUAUAUUAAUAAUAUUUGCAUUAAUUAUGCUUCUAUUUUCUUAUGCAGUAUUUGAUUCUACGUAUUAAAAAUAACUUUGAAUCAAUGGUGAAAGUGGAGGGACUUCUUUCUUAAUUGGGGUUUUUUUUUUUUGGGAAAGUUGACACUUUCUUGACUACCAACCACCCAACACAAAGCUGACACUUCUUGGUAGAUUGGCUAUUUUUUCAUACGGUACUAAUUUAUAUACAUUUUCUUUGAUAUUUGUUAUAUUGUUAGUUUGAUUUUGUGUAUCGUAUUAAUUUAUAUGCAUUUAUCUUUUAUGUUUGGUAUAUUAUUAUGAUCCUAAGCUGGGAGUCUAUUGGAAACAUCCUCUCUACUUCACCUGAGUAGUGAUAUGAUCUGCAUACACUAACCUCCCCAGACCCUACUAUGUGGGAAUACAUUGGGUGUUGUUGUUGCUGUUGUUGUUUCUUAUACAGUAUUUGAUUCAAAAUAUUAAAAAUAACACGAAUUACAUAAUAUUUUUUUUACAUAAUACCCCCACUUUAAGCAUGUUAAUGCAUGCAUUAGAUCCAUUGCAUUACUAAUGUCAUAAAUUUUGAGGUAUUAGUAAUACACACCUCAAUACAUAAUAGAGUAUAUAACUAAUUUUUGCAUUAGUUAUACAUAAGAUAAAAAUAUAUAUAUCAAACCAGGGACUACUAAUACACAUUAAAUUAAUGGAUGCAUUAAUUUUUAUGUAAUACAUUCCAUGCUUUAUCAAAGAUUUGAUUAUUAUUCCUUGUCUUGAGCCGGGAGUCUAUCAGAAACAACUUUUCUACUUCUCUGGAGGUAGUGAUAUGGACUACAUACAUCUUACCCUCUCCAGACCCCACUAUGUGGAAAUACACUGAAUUUAUUGUUGUUGUUGUUAUUAAUUUUUUAAUACACUCUAUCAAAAGACUCCAUGCUUCUCAUUUAAUUAUACCUUUAGCUCCUCCUUAAUUAUGAUAAUUGCUCUCUGACUCCACCUUGNNNNNNNNNNNNNNNNNNNNNNNNNNNNNNNNNNNNNNNNNNNNNNNNNNNNNNNNNNNNNNNNNNNNNNNNNNNNNNNNNNNNNNNNNNNNNNNNNNNNNNNNNNNNNNNNNNNNNNNNNNNNNNNNNNNNNNNNNNNNNNNNNNNNNNNNNNNNNNNNNNNNNNNNNNNNNNNNNNNCAAAUAUUUAUAUAUUUUAAUUUUGAGUGUUGCACAAAUAAAUACUUAGACUAUCACAUAAAGUUAAAAUAAAUAUAUAUAUGCGAGUCUUGUAUUGCAAUUUUUCAUGCAAAAUAUGUGCAUCUCAUACAAUUUGUCAAGUAAUUAAAGCGUUUGUGUCUAGGGGAGUGCAUCGGUCGGUUCAGUUGGGUUUUACAUAAUAUCGUUAGAUUUAUCGAUUUUUGGUUUUUAAAUAUGCUAAACCAAUAACCAAACCAGUAAAAUAUUUUUUUUUGGUUUUUAGUCCUUAACGAUUCGGUUUUCGGUUUAACCGAUAAGAAAAUACUCAUAAAAUAGAAAUAGUAGUAACUAACAUGUAAAAAAUGAAUCUUAGUUGCCACAAAAAUCCUACAUGAAGUGUUUAAAUUUACAAAAACCUUCAAGUUUGAACUAAAUGUUGUUAUGAGAAAUUAAGAGUUUAUAUAAUGGAAAUAAUAGGUUUGUUAAUUUGUAGAAAUAAAAGAUAAAUAUAUAAUAAUUCAUAUAUAUAUUCUUAUUGGAUUAUCGGUUUACCCAAUAACCCAAUAAGAAAAAAUCAAACCAAACCAAUAACCCAAUAAUUUUUUGUAACACCCCAUACUUUUAGACUUGAAUGUAAAUUGUCAUUUCUACUUGUACACAUUCCAAAAAUCAUAAAUCUAUUGUGAAUAUAGUGUUUUAAUCAACUAUGUGGUGUAUAAAUCUAGUUGAGCAUGAAUUGAGAUCAUAGAGGUCCCCUAACUCAAGGACGAGUUGAAAGUUUUUCCAUCGAUUGAGUUUUAUUAAGCGUUAAAACUUGGGUCAACUUCAUUCGGUUAUUAAUCUUUGUAUAUAUUGAAUUAAAAUUCCUACUAUAUAUCAAAUGAAAGGCCUUCGAAUUAUCUUUCUAACGAUACCAAUUUUGCAAAAAUCCUACACCUGAGGAAGAAGUUAUGGCUUUGUAAAGUGAAGUGUGUCGUCCAGCAUAAGGUGUGCGCCGCACAACCUAAUGUGUGCGAUAAAGAGUGCGCCGCACAAUCUAUAUUAUGCGAUAAGGCGCACAACCUAUAUUAUGCGAUAAGGUGUGUGCCGCAUAUAUUAUUACUCAAGUGACUUAAACACUCUGUAUUUGGGGCAAAAUGAUCCCACCCUUAUUUAGACAUAAACACGAAAUUCAGUCCCUAAAUACCCCAAAAUACACCUUCAUUCAUCAAAAUUGCUCAAGAACUCUCCUUAGGGUUUCAAAAUAAAAACCCAAGCAACUCAAGAUUCAACCGUGGGUUUUUGAAACUAAUUGCAUAUUUGGAAUCCCCAGAACGUAGGCUUCAAGAAACACCUAUCAUCUUCUCAUAUAGCAGUAUGUGGGGUUAUGCUAAAAUCUCAUGGGCCUUUAAAUUCAUGUUUUACAAUGGGGGUUUUGAAACUAUGAAUAUAAUCAUGUUUUGAACAUUUCUAUAAUAUUGAUUUGGUUUUUAGGCCUAUUUCCAAAGUGAUUUGACAUAUUAUUUAUUUAUAUGCAUGUGUUUUUAAAAGGUAUUAAUUUGAGAGCAUGAAUUAUAUGGAAUCCCUCUCUUGAUAUGAAUUUGUUUUAAAUGUUCAUAUGAUGUAAAUUGUUUGAAAACAUCUUGAAAAGCAUGACAGGAAAUGUUUUGAGAAUUGAUAUGAUUUUGACUUGAAAACUAGAGGGCUAUUUAUGUUGAAACAUGUUGAAUACAAUGGUUGAAUGAGAAGAAUGAUGUGAUAUUAAUGGAUUAUAAGUUGGUUAUGAUGAUACCCUACAGAAUAUGAUAUGUGAUUGAAUCAGAUAAAAUUUGAAUGCAUUGAUUUUACAUAAGAUAGGUGGAUGCUCGAAGAAGGCGUUAGAGUGUAAGGAAUAAUCGCUGGAAACCGUGUUUGCCGACAUUAUGUACCUGAUUUUAUGUUAUUUCCAAGUUGGGACUAUGGUUAGGAGCCCUGCUUUGUGAUCUCGUGCACUACCAUUGGGUCGAGACACCCUGUUGUGUGAUCUUGUGUCUCUUCCCCUCACUUAUACUCAAAUCUCGGUGAGGUUUGACAGUUGGUGUAAAUGUGGUAUGUAGGGUAUUCCACCUAGCUCAGCUGCAUUACAUUGUUGUUGAAAAUAAUUAAAUUACACCCAUUUCAAAUGAUUUGAUAUGAAACUACUUUAUAAUGGAUCUCAACUAUAUUUUGUAAAAAUAUUAUGUUUUGUUUUGAUAUCUCUACAUACCAGUACUUUUGUAUUGACCCCCUUCCCUUCCAGGUUUGGAGGCAUAGUUAUGGGGUCCAGAAAAUUAGUAAAUUCCUCAGACAGAUUUGCAGAGUCACUUGGUGAGCCUUUUAUAUUUCGGAAGGCUUGAUAUCUGGUAGUUUCAUUUAUCAUUUAUUAGUUUUGGAUCUACUGGGGGCUUUGUCACAAUUUUCAGAUAGAUAUUUAUUUCAGUCAUGUAGUAGAGAUUUCGUAGACGUUAUAGAGAUGUUGUGUUGAGAUUGUGGAACAUUAUUCCCUGUUAUUGAUUUCAUAUGAUUCUUGACCAUGUUUCUGUAAUAUUUUUUAUCUUCCACAUUUCUAUUAUCAUAUGAGUUAUGUGCAUAAUUAUCAGACAAAUAGGGGUGUUUCAGGCCUUCAUGGUUUGGAAUGCUCAUCACGGCCAGGGCCCCAGUUCGGGUUGUGACAAAAUUGGUAUCAGAGCACGGUUCAUGGUCCCAGAGUGUCAACAAAAUCACGUUGGGUAGAGUCUUAUUUAUGGGUGUGUAGCACGCCACACUUAUAAGCAGGAGGCUACUAGGUGUUUAGGAAUGUCUCUCUUUCUUCAUGUUCCAGUUCGUACAAUAUAGUCAAAAUGUUCCUAUUUCAUACUGUCAUUCGUGCUAUGGUGUCGCCCAUAUGAAGGUAAAGUCAUCCCAAAUUCUUUCCUUACUCUGAUGUUCUCAGACAUAUCCCAUUAUUGGGGUGAUUCAAGUGCAAAAAGUUUAGAAUCUACAUGAUAUAGUCUUUUCCGAUUGUGUCCUAUAAGAAAAAAAAUUAUGCAAAAACUCUAAAGGAGUCUGUUGGUGCUUCAAUAUGUGUUGAUUCUGAUGUAAACAUUGAUCCUGAUGGAAUCGUGCUUUCUAGCUUAAGGUAUUAAGUGCAUCUAGUCCCUCCCAAAAAUCUAGAUAUAGGUGUUGACGGUGUAUAGCAGAAUGUUUGAACUGUAUUUCCACCCGAAUAGUAGCAUAAGUUAAAGUGUUGUUGUCAUGACCUAUCAGUAAUGACAUUAGACCAAGAAGUUAGUGAUGUGAAGUCAUAAAGCUAGAAGUCAUAGUGAGGGUGAUUUUUGGUGUAAAUGAAUAUUUCAGUUGAAUAACCGAUAUUUGAGGAUGGUUUACCCCUUUAUAGUGAUAAACUAAUGUGGUAGCUAGUAGCACGUGUGGAUGGUAUGGUAGUCCAUGGGGGAAGUAUUUUACUCAGAUUUUUAUUUAUACAGAGUAAGAUGUGUAUUCUUAGACCAUUAAACAUUGUGUCAAUUUCCUAUCUCUUGUAAUAUGUAAUCUUGUUAUCAUGGUGUUUUUGAAAAAAAAAAAUUUAAAGUCUAGUGAAGCCGUGUGGGGCUCUUUCGAUUCACUAGCAUAGUUGCCUUGUCAUCCAUCUUAUUUUCUUGUUCAAAAUACAAAACCAAAGUCUAGUGAAGCCGUGUGAGGCCUAUUUCGAUUCACUAGCAACUUGUUGUACUUUUGUUGGUUUAAUAUAUGUAUGGCUGAAUCUAUUUGCAUGAGAUGGAGUUGGUAAAGAGGUGAUUCGUCCUUGUGAGUUAGUUUAGUAUAAGGUAGAGAAGGAGUUGUUAGUCAGGGUGAUUUGUUGGUUGCUUGAAUGUGAAAAAUGGCUAUAUUAGCGAGUAAGUUAUGAUUAUAGACUCAUGGUUGUUUGAGGAAUUUGAAGGCAGUCUAAAUGUAUGCUUGAGUAAGUAAGUAUGAGGUGAGAAAUCCGCAUAAGUAGAUAAGAUCGUAUGGGGUUAUAAUAUCAAAUUAAGGUUGAUCAUGUCUAUUAUGUGACCUUACCUCUUGACUUUUUUCGUUGGUAGUUGUAAACUAGUACUACUUAUGAGAAGGUAUGUAACAAAUUAUGAGGUAUUUGGAUAGUCCUACAUGACUGGCAGAGAUUUUUUGAAGUUUUGCAGGAGUUCUCGAAACUAUUUUCUAAAAAAUUAAGACUACUUUGAAAAAAAUCUAUAUAAAUUUUUACUUAGUGAUUGCCUAGACAUCAAUUAGGACGGGGAGUCAGGGGUGGAAGUCCCAACAUGAUGAAAUACCUGAAAGAUGGCGAGGGCAAAUCAAGGAUCGUAGGAGGUUAAAACGGAGUAGUUUCUUUCAAACUAAUUAUUUUUUGUGGAUGCAGGGAUCAAUACACAAAAUGAGCAUUUCUUUCGAAAAAUCCCCAAGAAAGUCAGGAGCCAUGACAGAGCAUAUAAGGCUUAAUAAUGGUACUUUUGGUAGCCCAAAAACCGGCUCAAGACCCAUUUAUUGACGACCAUUCGAAUUGUCCAUCUCAUUUCUUGAGAUCAUGGAGGACAAACAAAAGUGUCUUGUCUUCUUUACAAAUAUUGUAUUUAAAUUUUUUCUAAAAAAAAUAGUCGCUAGCAAAAGCGACUUUGUGUCUACUAAUCGUCUACCUUGAGUACAGGUACAUGCAGAAAGCAAGACCCUGACAAAUAAUUUCAGGAGAAACUAUUUUUAAUUUAUCGGAAGAACCAUUGCCUCUCAUUGCCAAGAGGGCCAUUGCAUAUCAUCGUUACUCAAUAUCUGUUGACAUGCUAGACACAACGCUGACAUUGAGGAUAUCAUCAGCAUUCAAUAUAUCCAUUGACACGCAAGACACAACGCUAGCGUCGAGGAUAUCAUCAUUAUUCAAUAGCUAUUGACACGCUAGACACUACACUGGCGUUGAGGAUAUCAUCAGCAUUCAAUAUAUCUGUUGACACGCAAGACACAACGCUGGCGUUGAGGAUAUCAUCAUCAUUCAAUAUCUGUUAACGUGCUAGACAAUGCUGGCAUCGAGGAUAUCAUCAGCAUUCAAUAUAUCUGUUGAGACACAAGACACAAUGCUGGCGUCGAAGAUAUCAUCAUCAUUCAAUAUUUGUUGACGCACUAGACACAACGCUGGCAUCGAGGAUAUCAUCAUUAUUAUAUAUCUAUUGACACGCAAGACACAACGCUGGCGUUGAGGAUAUCAUCAUCAUGCAGUAUCUGUUGACAUGCAAUACACAACGUUGGCAUCAAGGAUAUCAUCAUUAUGCAAUAUCUGUUGACGCAUAAGACACGAUGCUGGCGUCGAGGAUAUCAUCAGCAUUUAAUAAAUCUUUUAACAUGCAAGACACAACACUGGCAUCGAGGAUAUCAUCAGCAUUCAAUAUAUCUGUUGACACGCAAGACACAAUGCUGGCGUCGAGGAUAUCAUUAUCAUUUUAUAUCUGUUGACAUACAAGACAUAAACGCUGACAUCGAGGAUAUCUUAUCAUUUUAUGAAUCAGCAUCUGAAUGCAUCGAGAGCACACGAUUUGAAGGGAUGCCUUUAAUUCGCUAUCUAAGGAUGAAUGAUAUAUAAGAUUUCCUAUAAAUUGACAAUUUGAGGGUCAUUUAUAAGUCAUAUUAUUUAAAAUAGGAUAGUGUGCAAGAUCACCUAUGAGUUGAUAGCCUGUAGGUCAUCCAUAAGCCACAACAAUAUCCUAACUGGAUAGUGUGGAAGAUCUCCCAAAAAUUGAUAGUUCAAAGGUUAUCCAUAAGUCGCAACUAAAUCUUUACUGAAGAAUAUGGAAGAUUAUCAAAUUGAUACGUCCAAGGGUUCUCUAUAAGCCGUGUCAUAUCCAAGAUCGAUUAUGUGCAGGAUUAUCCAAAGACUAAUAAUUUAAGGGAUUAUCUAUAAGUUAUAUUAUAUCCAAGGUUGGAUGAUGUGCAGGAACACCUGAAAGGUAGCGAUUGGAGGAACAUCUUUAAGCCAUCUCUUAUUCAAAGUCGGAUAAUGUGCAUGAUUACCUAAAAGGUAGAAAUCAAAAGGAUAUCUGUAAGUUGCCUUGUAUCCAACAUCAAAUAAUGCGUAAGAUUAUCCAAAGAUUGAUAAUUUAAAGAAAAUUUAUAAAUUGAUCAUCGGCUAUAACUGGAGAGUUUAUUGUUCCAUAUGCAACAAAUGAUAUAGGUACCCAAAGGGUUUCCACAUCAGCACAAGAUUACAAGGUUGUAGAGACCAUUCUGCAUAAAGUAUCGUCGGUGUCCAAAAGGGCCACCCACUUUGAAGACAUAUUCAACUGACAAAUGUCAGAAUUAUACAACAACCAAGAGGGUUGUUGUGUUUGGUAUUGACGGUUAUUUCAUUCCAAAAAGGUACAUGAAGAGAUGACUCUGCUUUUCAGGCCAUAACUCACGUAGAGAUAUGGUAAAAGACUGUGUACCUCUUUCGUGAAUUAUGUUUAGCAUGAACACUUUUUGCUUGAAGCAUUGUCGAGAGCAUCCUAGAGGAUGAAAUUCUCAAAUCAAAACCACAGGUGCGAAUGACUUCAAAUAGGACGCAGCACCUGAAUCCAACCCGUUUUCCUUUUCCUCUUUAUAUUCAUGCGCGUUUCACGCGAAUCCAUACGAGAAGAUACAGAGAAUCUUCUAGAAACACACUUAGGUGUCUCAUCCAACGUUCAAAUCCCAAAAUUCUCAGAUAGAGGUUUACGAAUUCGUACAUAGGUGGAGUAUUUUCAUUGGCUUGUGAAGAUUAUUUCCUUUCCACCAAUUUUGUAUUGGCCACUUUUUGGAAUUCCGUUCAAGAAAAUCAAAAUAGAGGUACAGUUCAUUAGGGUCCGGAUCUUUCGAAUUUCAAAAAUGAACCCUCAAUCCCAUUCUAUAAGUAGCUCUCUUUAGAGCAAGAAAAAGGGAUUUUUUUAGGGAUUUUGGAAUCUUGUUUCACUUGUCUCUCUUUUCCUUUGUGGGUUCUCCUCUUCUUUCUCUUUGGAGUUCGAAAUUUUAGAGGCAAAGGGGGUUCAAAAGUUUUGGGUUGAAAAUUUGGGGUUAGAGAACAUCUUCAAAAAUUCAGAAAUACACAAAAAUGGGGUUAGAAAGGGGGGCUCUCAGAGGGAAAAAAUAUUCUCUUUAUGCCUAAGAAACAUACAUUUUUAGGGGGUGCGUCUGAACUGUCAAAGAAGUUGUGAGUUUUUUGGUGGUCGAAAUCCUAUCGUCAGCUCGUUAUCCCAUUUUGCUGCCCCAAAAGAGGUAAAUACACAUUUCUUUUUAAUUUUGUUAUGGUUAUCAUUUUCUUCUUCGUGGUUCCACUUUUGUUUGCUGGGAAUGACUGCUGUAGAGGCCUGGAAGGCAUAGGAUUUUUGUGUUUGAUAUAUUGUUCUACUAAAAAACUCAUUCUUGCCCAUGUUUGAUUGGUUGUCGUUCAUGCUUGAUCUCUCUCAUUUUAUUCUGUCUGAAUGUUACUAGUUAGCUUUAAUUCUUCAACUUUAGAAACUAUUUUGCUGGUCUCAUAUUUGAUGUUGCUUUGUAGUUCAUAGAGUAGGAGAAUAAAAUCUUUAUGUACUUUCGAAAUUCAAAAAAAUUUUCAAAGAAUAGAUAUUAGGCAGCGUGUUUGCAUAUCUUUUUCGCUCAAACGCAGGAAAUUGUAAUAAAUAAGAACUCGAAUGUUAUUUUCUUCCGACUUGCCACUCUCGAUGUACAAUAGUCUAAUUUGAUUCGAAAGUUUACUUUGAAGGAAUAGGAUUUUCAUAUUUGAUAUAUUGUUCUACUAAAAAACUCAUUCUUGCCCGUGUUUGAUUGGCUGUCGUUCAUGCUUGAUCUCUCUCAUUUUAUUCUCUCAUUUUAUUCUGUCUGAAUGUUACUAGUUAGCUUUAAUGCUUCGACUUUAGAAACUAUUUUGCUGGUCUCAUAUAAUAUGUUGCUUUGUAGUUCAUAGAGUAGGAGAAUAAAAUCUUUAUGUAUUUUCGAAACUCGAAAAAAUGUUCAAAGAAUAGAUAUUAGGCACCCUGUUCGCAUAUCUUUUUCGCUCAAACACAGGAAAUUUUUAUAAAUAAGAACUCGAAUGUUAUUUUCUUCCGACUUGCCACUCUCGAUGUACUAUAGUCUCAUUUGAUUCUAAAGUUUAUUUUAAAAUAUGAGAGUGGACCAUAGGGCUGAAUUAUGUUUUCUUCAUGGCUAAUUCAAUUUGUUGUAAUUGACUCAUGAGAACAAAUUAAAGUUUGAAGGGCUAAUGUUUCUUUCCUUUCUUGCUUUUCUUGUUCGCAUAUAAGUUGUGGCAUCUUGUCUCAUGAUUAAAUUACCUAAAAUUGGGUUUAUGUAGUGUUUAAAUCUCAUUUGUUUGUUAACCCAGUGGUAACGAAGGCAUUAAGAUUUCAGCCUUGCUUUUCUUGAAGUUUCAGCUAUCGUAUUCCUUGCCUAAAGUGAUUAAGUCCUUAAUUUUGUAUGUUUGGCAUUCUGGAAUUUGAACGUUGCUUGUGAUCCAUCGUUUAUGUAGUAUGAUCCAGGAGUUGUAACUCUUUUUUGUGACAUACUUAAUUGGGUCCUUUUGUGGCAUUAAAGUGAUAAAUUAUUUUCUUUAUUUCGCUAAAGACCAUAAGAAAUUUCUUGUUGAAGCUUUAUUUCAACCUGUAGUUGAAGAGGGGGCGACCCUAUUGGAGUUUGCGAGGGCGUUUGGGCUGGUGGUGGUGAACUCGGGCUUCCCGAAGAAGGACGAGCACCUGAUCACUUUUCGGAGCGCGAUAGCCAGGACCCAGAUUGACUUUUUGUUGCUUAGGAAAGGGGAUAGGGCGUUGUGUAAGGACUGUAAAGUCAUCCCGAGUGAGAAUCUCUCGACCCAACAUAGGCUUUUGAUUAUGGAUUUGGGUAUAAAGAAGAAUAGAAAGAGGAGGAGUAAGGAGUGUAGACCGAGAAUUAAGUGGGGCGGCUUGACGCCAGUGAAUGCGUGGGAGAUAGGGGAGAGGUUGGCGGGAAAGGGGGUGUGGGAGUGUAGGGGGGACGUGGAUAGUAUGUGGGACAGGGCGGCAAGGUGCAUCAGGGAGAAUGCAAGGGAGGUGUUGGGUGUUUCUAGGGGCCGGGCCGGUCACCAUCGGGGGGAUUGGUGGUGGAAUGAAGAGGUGGAGAAGAAAGUGGAGACCAAGAAAGAGGCGUAUGCUAAGUUGGUGGAAAGUAAGGACGAAGAAGAGAAGCGGGUAAACAGGAAAGAGUACAAGCUAGCGAGGAAGGAGGCGAAGUCAGCGGUCACGGCAGCUAAGACGGCCGCUUUUGAGAGCUUGUAUGCAGGGUUACAGGGGAAAGGAGGGGAGAAAAAGUUGUUUAGACUCGCUAAGGCUAGGGAGAGGAAGGGUCGUGACCUCGAUCAGGUGAGGUGCAUUAAGGGGGAGGACGGUAGAGUGUUGGUGGAGGACGGCCACAUAAAGAAGAGAUGGCAGUCGUACUUUCAUAGGCUCUUGAAUGACGAGGGGGACAGAGCUAUUGUGUUAGGGGAACUGGAGCACUCAGAGGAGUGUCGGGAUUUUAGCUAUUGUAGACGUUUUAAGGUAGACGAGGUUAGACAGGCAGUCCGCAGGAUGCGAAGGGGUAGGGCGACGGGGCCGGAUGAGAUACCGGUGGAGUUUUGGAAGUUCGUUGGAGAGGCUGGUGUAAGGUGGUUGACUGCAUUGUUCAAUGAAAUUUUCAGGACGGCAAAGAUGCCCGAGGCGUGGAGGUGGAGUACCAUGAUCCCCCUCUAUAAGAAUAAGGGGGACAUUCAGUGUUGCAAUAACUAUAGGGGGAUUAAGUUACUGAGUCACUCUAUGAAGAUCUGGGAGAGAGUGGUCGAGGUGAGGCUGAGACGGAUAGUGUCUAUCUCGGAAAACCAGUUCGGAUUUAUGCCCGGCCGCUCGACGACGGAGGCAAUUCACCUGGUACGGCGGUUGGUGGAGCAAUAUAGGGAAAGGAAGAAGGAUUUGCACAUGGUGUUCAUCGACCUAGAAAAGGCGUACGACAAAGUCCCCAGGGAGGUGCUUUGGAGAUGCUUGGAGGUGAGUGGAGUACCGCAGGCAUAUAGAAUUCUGUUCAAGAAAAUCAAAAUAGAGGUACAGUUCUUUAGGGUCCGGAUCUUUUGAAUUUCAAAAAGGAACCCUCAAUCCCCUUCUAUAGGUAGCUCUCUUUAGAGCAAGAAAAAGGGAUUUUUGGGGGGAUUUUGGAAUUUUUUUUCACUGACCUCUCCUUUCCUUUAUAGGUUCUCUUCUUUCUCUUUGGAAUUCGAAAUUUUAGAGACAAAAGGGGUUCAAAAGUUUUGGGUUGAAAAUUUGGGGUUAGAGAAAAUCUUCAAAAAUUUAGAAAUACACAAAAAAAAAAAAGGUUAGAAAAGGGGGGCUCUCAGAGGGAAAAAAUAUUCUCUUUACGCCUAAGAAACAUACAUUCUUAGGAGGUACGUCUGAACUGUCGAAGCAGUUGUGAGUUUUUCGGUGGUCGGAAUCCUAUCGUCAGCACGUUAUCCCAUUUUGCUGCCCCGAAAGAGGUAAAUAUACCUUUCUUUUUAAUUUUGUUGUGGUUAUCAUUUUCUUCUUCGUGGUUCCACUUCUGUUUGCUGGGAAUGACUGUUGUAGAGGCUUGGAAGGAAUAGGAUUUUCAUAUUUGAUAUAUUGUUCUACUAAAAAACUCAUUCUUGCCCGUGUUUGAUUGGCUGUCGUUCAUGCUUGAUCUCUCUCAUUUUAUUCUCUCAUUUUAUUCUGUCUGAAUGUUACUAGUUAGCUUUAAUGCUUCGACUUUAGAAACUAUUUUGCUGGUCUCAUAUAAUAUGUUGCUUUGUAGUUCAUAGAGUAGGAGAAUAAAAUCUUUAUGUAUUUUCGAAACUCGAAAAAAUGUUCAAAGAAUAGAUAUUAGGCACCCUGUUCGCAUAUCUUUUUCGCUCAAACACAGGAAAUUUUUAUAAAUAAGAACUCGAAUGUUAUUUUCUUCCGACUUGCCACUCUCGAUGUACUAUAGUCUCAUUUGAUUCUAAAGUUUAUUUUAAAAUAUGAGAGUGGACCAUAGGGCUGAAUUAUGUUUUCUUCAUGGCUAAUUCAAUUUGUUGUAAUUGACUCAUGAGAACAAAUUAAAGUUUGAAGGGCUAAUGUUUCUUUCCUUUCUUGCUUUUCUUGUUCGCAUAUAAGUUGUGGCAUCUUGUCUCAUGAUUAAAUUACCUAAAAUUGGGUUUAUGUAGUGUUUAAAUCUCAUUUGUUUGUUAACCCAGUGGUAACGAAGGCAUUAAGAUUUCAGCCUUGCUUUUCUUGAAGUUUCAGCUAUCGUAUUCCUUGCCUAAAGUGAUUAAGUCCUUAAUUUUGUAUGUUUGGCAUUCUGGAAUUUGAACGUUGCUUGUGAUCCAUUGUUUAUGUAGUAUGAUCCAGGAGUUGUAACUCUUUUUUGUGACAUGCUUAAUUGGGUCCUUUUGUGGCAUUAAAGUGAUAAAUUAUUUUCUUUAUUUUGCUAAAGACCAUAAGAAUUUCUUGUUGAAUCUUUAUUUCCUCCUGUAGUUGAAAUUUCUUUAAUUAAUUAUGAAUAGUUUCUUCAAACAUUAUAGACUUUUGCUCCUGUGGCAUUUUUACCUGUGUAUGAGUGUAUUUGAAUGAAGCAGGAAUGCUAUAGCUUAUUAAUUGUUAAAAUCUUGGACGUAUGUUAAUUUCUUCAUUCCUUUCUUUGCAUGCACCCCCCUUGGAAUUCAAAUGGGCCCCUUCUCUCUUUGCAUUUCAUAAAUGGGCCAAUGAGGCCUAUCCUUCCGAGUUAAGCCAAAAAGAAAAUCCAAGAAUCCAUCGCAUGGCGUAUGGAUACGAGGAAUUGAAAGAAGAAUGGGUUAAAGUUCCAUCUUUGAAGCGGCAAACGGGACUUGAAAAUCUAGUUAUUUCUUCUUUAUUGAUUUAUUUAUCCAUUGUUUCCAUUAUUUAUUUAUUUACUUAUUUAUAUUUUU